UUCAACAAACCUUCAAAAACAAAAUAGAAAAACUUGUAUUGUUUUGAUGGUCAUCAACACUCACUAUCAAGUCAGUAAUCAUUUAAAACGACUAUUCAUUAAUUAAUCUCUCAUAUUAUUUACUAACUUAAAUUGUUAGAUUUAUUUCACUAAUGACUUUCAACUAUGUGUAAAAGCAUAAUACUUUGGCAUAAUUUUUUUUGUCUUCAUAGGGUUUGCCUCCUCGAGCUCUAUGGUCGUCCUCGUGAAUCCAUACUAUGAACUAAACUUCACCCUUGUUGCUCAAUCUUGUCUUUACAUUUUGACUUAUGUUUUUUCUAACUCAACGUUGCAUCAAUCAAUCUCAUUAUCUCUGACAUUUUGAAUUCAUAAUGAUACACACAUUAUCAAGGUUGCUAAAAUAAUUUAUUAGGAAUGAUUUGAACUAAUUUGAACAUUUUAUCAUUGGAUUCACAUCAAUAGUGUUUGUAACUCUCUAUGGGUAGUUUAGUGAGUAAUUAGAUGUCCUAUGAGACGGCUAUAAUGCUUGGUCAAUCCAUUGGUAGUUGAUAGUUAUAAUAUAACCAAAGUAAUAUAAAAUCCUAUUGAAUAUUGAUGUUUUAGCCAUAUAGUGUUGGGCUACCAUGCAUGGGAUUUGAAUUAAUUGCUUGUUUGGGCAGCUAUAGACAAUGCAAUUGACUUAUGUGGAUGUGUGUUUUUAUAUGGAGAGGCUUUUCAACAUCCAUCCAUUUUAACACAAUUGAAGCAUGACAACUCUUGUGUGCAUGCCAACUCAUUAGCAAAUACGCAUUCAAAGCUUGGCCUUCGUGUUCAAACCUAUAACCUAUGAAAAGAUGCACAAUAACGUCAACAUCGUCCUAAACUAUUUUUCGAAUAAUAUACCUUUUAACAUGCUAUAAAUAUGCAUAAUUGUUUUCUGUUUUAGCUUUAUAUUUUCUAUUUUUAAAAUUCACUUAAUUUUAUUAUUAAACUUACGAAUAAAUCCAAAAAUGUAAAUAUAACAAUGGUAAAGGUUACGGAAGGACCAAAAGGAAGAUCUCUCAACUAUUAGAAAAGAGCUAUUAAUUAGUUUUUACCUCUAAUUGAACACUGAAUGAUGAGACCUUAAUUAAUUAAUGUGAGACAAAUAAGAAAAACAGUUGAUUUAAUUAUUGUUUUAAGUCUAUCCUAAACUGUAGGUUUUAUGUCUUAUUUUUUAGAAUAAAAAGAGACAAGAAAUUCAACCUAUGAUAUCAGUAUUCUUUAUUUAAAUUGUUUUAAUAAAUAAUAUUAGAGUGCAUUUCCAAGAUGCCCCCACCCCGUUUGAGGUUUCUAUUCAUACUAUUUAAAAUAAUAAUAAUAAUAAGGAGUGGGGUUGCAUUUUCUAAAUUCUUUUAUUGCUUAUAAUAUAAUUUUAAUAACGAAUGAUAAAUUUUUUUUUAAAAAAAGGAAAAACAAUAUAUUAUUUGUUUUGUUUUGUUCGGGUUUAGUGAAUAGUGGGUUUGGGUGUUGCGGAAGAGAUGAUGGGCCCAUUAAGAUUGAUAAAUGAUAAUAGAGAGGGACGGGCCCACCACUCCAUCUAACCUUCCCUAAUCCGACACGUGUCAUUACAUUAUUAUUAUUAUUAUUAUUAUAUUUUGUGCCUUUAAUAAUACAGUUAGGCAAAGGGGAAAGAGAAAGAGAAUAAAGGCAAUCAAAGCAUCUACCCCAUACCCCUUUCGUACCUUCGCUCUUUCUUUUACUCACUCUUUCCUUUACACUUCUCAAACCCACCCCAUCCGACUUCACUCGUUUUCUUUUUUCCUUUUCCAUAAUUAAACCUUUCAUUUUUCCUUCUCAAAUCUACUACACCCUUCUUCCUCUCAUUUUUCUUCUCUACCCCAAGUUUAGUACUGAUAUCCAACAGUUGGUUACAUUUGUUUAAUUGUACCUCAAUAACCUCUAAUCUCCAUCUUACUACAAACAAUUUUUUUAUUUCCACUUACCAUUUGCUCCUCCCUUCAGAUUGGAGAAGGUGUAGGAGAUAUUGAUAUGGCACAUUCUUUGAUGUUCAAUUCAAACAUGUGCAGUCUCAACGUUUUAUAGUUGUAUCUAUCAAAGUUGUAGAGUGCCCGUGGUGAGCUCACCACCUGACUUGUUGUACAAUCUCAACGCAUAAAUUUAGUAUCAACUAGGAACAAAAUUUGUUUAUAUUUAGUAGUGAUCCGUAGGAGACCACCAAUUUUCUCUUGUAGUUUGAUCUCAAUUUUAGUUUAUUUAACUUACAAUGUUAGUGUAUUUUAUCACUCAACUUUGAAUUUUUCACUUUCAAAUGGAACAAUAUUUAUUUAAAAUUAUAAUCAAUUUAAAAUAAUUUUAAUGCAACUAGCUUUAACUAAUUUUCAUCCUAAUUAAGAGAAAAAUAAAUAGAAGAAUUAUUGCAAUAAACUAGCAAAAUUUUAUAUUUUAUCAUUGAUAGACACUAAUAGAACAUUUACUUUAUUUUGUAAAUAUUUUGGUUCAAUUUACUAUAUUUAUAAAUGCACCAAUAAGAAAACAUAGGAUGACUAUCUUAAAUUAAUCAAUGUUUUUUUCAAAAAUGAUAAAAAAUACAAAGUUAGAAUUAGUAAAAGUUUUGGAUAAAAGUUUCAAAUACUUAUAAACCAGAGUAAAAGAACACUAAACUCAAAAUCCAAAACCAUAUAAAAAUAAAAAAGUAAAUUGUUAUAUUUUAAAACCAAUGACCAAAACGGAUACAUGCUUAAACCAUCUUUCAGACCGAAAAAAGAUAUCUCUUUCAAUAGGAAGUUGAAGAUCCUAAUUAAUCUUCUGCUUAUGAAUGUGAGAAUAUAACUAAUCUAAUCACAUAUAGAUGAGAGAGAAACUAAUUUUCUACUAGUAAAAAAAACUUAACCAACGCUUAUGACCAUAUAUAUCAUAUAAAAGAGUAUGUUCUCUAUUACAAGAAGGUGCUAAAAAUCCCAAUCAACAACUAGGGCACAGUUCUAGAGCAAAUGACAUUUUGAGCUAAAAUGAGGAAAGCAAACGAAGGGAGACAUUAUAGGCCAACUACGAGCAAAGAAAUAGUCAUUUAACACUCAUUAGUUAGAAUAGCAAAUCCUCUUUUAACUUGAUUUAAAAUAUCAACAAUCUCUUUUAUUGAUCAAAAUUUUGAAUCCACACUUCUCUCUGCCUUUAUGUCAAGAGAAAUAGUAACAAGUAGCAAAAUUUGAUAAAAACUAUUUAUAAAAUAUAACAAAAAAUUUAAAUUCUAUCAAUAAUUGACAUUGAUAUUAAAUGUCUCUAAUAUUAAAUGCUUUAGUACUUAUGUAAUUUAAAGUAUGAUAAUUUAGUAUCCUUACAUUGUCAAUAUACUUAGCUUAACUGAUAUUUGUAUCUUUUUUAGAAUUGGAGGUUUCACGUUCAAGUUGAAUUUAAUAAGACUUUUUUGAAUUAAAAAAAUCUUUAUUUUUAUAAAAAAAAAAAAAGAAACUGUAGUAAUUAAAACUCAUAUAGUGAGGCAUUGAGCAUUGAGUUAAAUUGCAAAAUAAAGACUAAGUUCACCGUAUGUGGAAAGGUGAUAUAUAUGUGUUGUUAUAUCUGCACAAGUAAAUGGAAAACUUGUUAAGAUACAAUUAAGAGCAUGGAUUUAAUUGCUAUAUUAUUGUUCUUAUUUUCCAAAAAGUAGUUUCUUUUUUAAAUGGUUUAUAAAUUUAAAUUAAAAACCAAAUUGGAUGUUGUAGAAAAAAUACAAAUCAAAAUAAUUCCUAUGUAAGAGCUGAAUGAUGCGAGCUAAUUACAUUCAUAAACAUAAACCUAAAGACAAAAUUAAAAUUAUUAGUGUUCAUGGUUGGAACUUGUAUGCGUUUGUUGUUGUGGCUCGUGACUUGAUUUUCAAUUUACUUUUUUUUUUUUUGUUCUGUCUCACUUUUCAAGUUGACAUGCUUAAGAGAUUGUCUCAUCAACGUGGCAAGCCUACUUCACUCUAAUACUCAAGCUAUAUAGUAUAGGAAGUAUAUGGUUUAACAAUGCACAUAAAAAGAAAGGUUAGAGCUCUCAUUUGAAGAUUACUUAAUUCCUUCCUUUUGGAGUCGUUGAAUGGGGCUAUUUAUUGGUCUUUCCUCUUAAAAUCGUCUUUGAUUACCUAAAACACUUAUGAUAUCAAGCUUAUUUUUUAUACUCAAUGUUGCACAGUGCGAGACAAAGCACUGAGCACAUUCGAUUAUUUUUCAAUUGGUAUAGGUUUUACUGGCUCAGUUGGUCAACCAAAACCUUGAGGCCAAUAUUCCCAUAUGCUUCUUUAUGGUACCUCUAUAUAGGCAUUAGAUUUGUUGUAGGAUUUAGGCUCUGUCGUGGGUAACACUUAGCAAAUUAGUUCAUUUCUUCGUUUUUUUAGUAAACAAUAAUAGAAGUGAUGAACAAAUAAAGUUAAACGAUCAUGAUAAUUAGAGUUAAGAGAAUGACCAAUGAUGAUUGAUGAUUCAAAAAUCAAAUUGAAAAAUAGAUGUCUUACAACGUGAAAAGUCAACCCAUGAGUAACUGAUUCACAUUGUAUGAUUAACAUGGAAGAAUUCAUAACUUGAAUCACGAUGCAUCAAAUUACGAAAGGAAAAUAUUAAUAGUUUCUAAAUUAUAAUGAAAUUUGUUUUAUAGCUUUCGAAAUGUUUACAUGGAUAACAAUCUCCACAGUGAACAAAUACAACUUCUCCAACUAAGAAUCUAUCAACAGUUGCAAUUAUAACAAUUAAAUUUAAAAAAAAAAUAACAUAUACAUGACAACAUUUAAUUUUUUUUAAUAAAUAUAUAUCAAUUAUAAAGUUUAUCAUUACUAUACACUUGAUUAUUAUUAUCCCUAAAACUACUACGAAGUAUAAUUAUCCAAUAUCACAAAAGUAAAAGUUGCAUCAAAGAGACCAACCACUAACAUAGUCAAUAGAACUUAGAGCAUAAGUUGGUUGAUAGCGAGAGAUAUCUUAGAAAGUACAGAGAUAGAUUAGAGUUCUCUAUACAAUAAUAAUAUCACAUUUACUUAAUAUAUUUAUAAAUAUUCUACAAAAGUUUCAUACUUUGUUACUAUAUUUUGAAAAAAAGAAAACAAAGAAUUAAUCCUUAUAUAUAAUUUAUAAUUAUUAUUUAGUCCUUAGAAUUUGAUAAGAAGUCGGAGAUAAUCAAUUUUAUCACACUAAGAGGACUCUUUAUGAACUUUUAUAUUAAAUUCUAAUAAACAUGAUAACUCCUUAUUAAAAUCUAUUACUAAUAAGAGUUUUUUUUUUAAAAAAAAAACUUUGAAAGUAGAAAAACAAGAAAUAUAAACUCUAUCCCAUGGAAAUCUCUGGUUUAUAUUUUAUAUUUCAAAUACACUGUAGAAAUAUUAGAUUAUAUUUUUUCUCAGCUCCUAAUGUAUACACAAAUAUAGGUGAAAUAUUAACAGUUUAAUAUUAGCUAUGGAGAAAUAAGAAAUAUGAAACAAACUCAUUUAUGUCUUUUUUUUUUUAAUAUAAAAGAAAAGAGAAAAAGAAACAAAAUAUUAUGGCAAAAUGCAAAUUUAAUUUUUCAAAAGAAAUCACAAGAAACAAAAUAUCUUUUAAUGUAGAUUAUAAAAAUUUAAAAUGACAAUAUUUUGUAAAAUAAAUACAAAUCCAAAGUUUGAUAAAAUUUGUAAUUUGAUAAGAUUAGAUUAGAGAGUAGUAAAGAACAAAAAUAGAAGUUAUAGGGACUAAUUUUGUAAUUAAGGAAUAGUGAAAAUUAAAAAAGAAAAAAAGGAAAAAGAAAUGAAAGAAAAGGGAGGGGUAGGACAGGAAAGAUACCAACUGUUAGAGGAGUUGGAGCAAAAUUUGGAAUGUUUUGAAUAAUAGUCAUUAAAAAUAUAAAUGACUGAGUCGACUCGUUGCGAGUUUAACCGAGUCUAUAAUAAAAAAUCCGAGUGAAAAUGGAGACGAGUUACGAUGAGUCACGAUGGGCCACCCUCUUCCAUCGGCUGGUUCAACUUUUAGGUCAAGUUGAGUUUUCUUUUCGCUUUUCCCUUUUAAUUCUUUUUUUUUUUUUUUUUAGUUUUUAAUUUUAAUUAUUAAUUCGAAGAAACGGAAUUUGACUGCGAGAAGAAGAAUCAGUGGAAGAAGGGCAAGUAGAUCUGAAACUUCAUACAUACGCCGGAGAUUGGGGGAGAAAAAUCCGGGGACGGUCGGCGAUUGUUUCUCGAUUUCAACCAUACCAAAAAAAUAAUUAAAAAAAAAAAAUAAACAGAACAGAACAGAAGCGGAGAUUUUUUUUUUUUUUUUUUUUGGAAUCGUUAUGCUGAAUGACUGAUUUUUCAGCUUUCCGAACGGGCGGUUUCAAAAGGAAAAUGCCGCGCCCUCAUUUUCAUAAGCUUGUUCUCACCUCAACUAUCCAAGCUAGGAAAUUGGUACUCUUUUGAUCCUUUUUUUUUUUUCUUUUUCUUUUUUUGUUUUCUGGGUUUUGCUUCUUUUGCUUGAUUAUCGAGAAGAAUCGGGCUAAACUUCGGUUCUGUCUUUCUUUUUUCUUUUAGACUUCAUCUACUAUUGCUUCUUCUGUAUCUUCUGCUGAGUUCUUUUGCUCUAGCAACGAAUUUUCUUAUGGAUUAAAGCUAAAACCCUGAGUUUUAUGUUCGUUUUAAUCAAGGAAUAAGGAAAGUUUUAUUGGGCUAUACUCGAAUUUCUUGAUGAUUUACUUACUUCUCUGUUUUUUAGUUUUGGUUAAUCGAAGAAGUUGUUUAGUCGUACUAGGUCAGACUCCAAAAUUUUCAUUUCAUUGUCUAUCAGUCUGCUACCGCUAUAUACGACUAUUAUUAUUGAAUUUGGAGCUGAACCCUUCAUUAUUUUACCCUGUUAAUCAUGUUUCUAAAGUAUCUUUCUGUUAGUAAAUAAACAUGAAAUUGAUGAAGUUAUCUCCUGGGCUGGAAAUAGUUUUUUUUUUUUUUUUUUUUUUUUUUGCGUUUGUUUUGUGUUGCAUUGGUUAUGCUUUCAAAAGGGUUUCCUUUUCAGUUGCAUGAUUAGGCAGGAUGUGUUUCCAUCAGCUACAAAUCAAUUGGCAGUAAAAUCCCAGUUUUCUGUGGGCUUGUUUUAACUCAACAUUCUCAAUUUUUGAUUCGUGCCCUUCAAGUUCUUGCUUCUCAGCUUUUAGUGAUAGCUUUUUGGGUUUGUUCUAAUUUGAUGUACAUAAUAUAGCUAUAUCAUAGACGAUAAUUGUGUAAACAAAAUAUUUUCAUUCCUCUUUCACUGAUUUGUUUGAUCUUUUUGAGAUUUUCAAUUGAAAUGCUUGGUUCUCUUAGAAGAAUCUUCAAGUAUAAUGACUAUUCUUUCAUCCCUAAGCUUUGAAUAUCAUUAGAUAAUAAAUCAAAUAGGAUUUUGUUUUCAUAUACAGAUACUCUCUUGAAAUAUCUUGUCAACUGUUAAUUGUCGAGUAUAUGAUCCGUAUCUUCAUUCUUCAUCUCAUUUUUUAAUCUUUAAACUUAAUUCCUUGGCUACAAGUUCUUUAACAUCUUUCCAUUGUUUCUUUGUGCUGGAUUAGUCCAGAGCAACGGUUGGAUCUUGACAAAAGUGAACAAACAUUAUACUCCUUCUGUUGUAUUGUUAUUCUUGAUGUACAUUGUUUUAGCUUUUGUUUGCACUUCAUGUUAGUUUGCUACUUUGUGACUGUUCGUUUCUUAUAAUGCAGUUUAUUUAUGCCAUGAUUUGUUUUUGUCUGGUUUCUUUUUGGCUUGGGCUCUCCUUCUCUCUGGCAUUUUUCUUAUUCUUACAUAAUGUCAUAAUGAAAGUUGUUUUCAUCUAAAAUAGGGUUUGGUUGUACGUAGCGCAUGAUUCAUCACAUCAUUAUAUUUGUCGUUGGCUACAACCCCUUUAUAGAAUUCCUUUGUUUCUUUAAUCAUAAAUCAAGUAUUUUAGUAUCUUCCCUUUUCAAUAAGGAACUGUUUUCCUACCAUUUAAUUUGUUGAAUGGUCAUACCACUGCAGUCAUCUUGUCAUAUAUGUCCAUUUCUUGGACUGGAGUUAAGUUUCUAUAUUGUCAUUCAUUUGCAUUGCAUAACCCUUCCUUGCUCAACAUUUUUGCAGAGAAUCCCAGAAACUUUUGUCAGGAUGAUCAGGGAUGAGCUUUCAGCAGUUGCAACCCUUACUGUUCCUGAUGGCCAUGUUUGGCGUGUAGGUUUGAGGAAAGCCGACAAUAAAUUUUGGUUUGAAGAUGGAUGGCAAGGAUUUCUUGAGCAUUACUCAAUACGGGUUGGGUAUUUACUAGUAUUCAGAUAUGAGGGAAACUCAUCGUUCUGUGUUUUUAUCUUUAAUCUUAAUACAUCUGAAAUAAACUAUCAAUCGGCUGCUCUCAGUAAUAAUCAAAGGAAUAAUUACAGCAUUCAAAACCGAAUCUUUGAAGAAAUGGAGGAUUAUGAUAUUCCUGAAGCCAUUCCUUCCAAUCAGUCCAUGAAUUCCGGUUCCUUGCGGAAUAAGCUAUUUGGUGAUGAAUGGAAUCUGCACCAAUCAAAAUCUGCAAGUACAUUACAAGCUGAGUAUUUAUCUACUAGAGAUAUUGGGGUUCAGUUUAGUGCUGUGGAGGUUAAAAAAUCUGCAGAUGAGGUGAGAUUCCAGAAUUUGGGUGAUGAUGCAGCACACAGAGUUAAAAAGAGUGGAAGCAAAAAGCGAAAAAUCGAGUCUAGUAAGCUUUUGUCUUAUUGCUUUACAGUUUGCACUGUAAAUGUUUGAAUUAUCUUACCCAGUAUUUUUCGAACUGCAGGCGAGCACCAUCCAUCUGCUCAUAAUAGUGAAGAUUUAGGAGACAUUCGUUUUAGAUUUUAUGAAAGUGCUUCUGCUAGAAAGAGAACUGUGACAGCAGAAGAAAGAGAAAGAGCUAUCAACUCUGCAAAAGCUUUCGAGCCUGGUAAUCCUUUCUGCAGAGUCGUCUUGCGACCAUCCUAUCUAUAUAGAGGUUGCAUAAUGGUAAGAUAUUGAGGUUGAAAUUUAUCAUAUGAAAGCUUUUAAAUUGAAUCACGUGAGCCCUAACAAGGGUAUUCUGCACUCUCCUUUACAGUAUUUGCCAUCUUGCUUUGCUGAAAAGAAUCUAAGUGGGGUUUCGGGAUUCAUCAAACUUCAGACGCCUGAUGGGAGACAGUGGCCGGUCCGAUGCCUUUAUAAAGUUGGUAGAGCGAAGUUAAGUCAGGGAUGGUACGAGUUUUGCCUGGAAAAUAAUUUAGGGGAGGGCGAUGUUUGUGUGUUUGAGCUUCUUAGGAUGAGAGAAAUUGUACUCAAAGUUACCAUGUUUCGUGUCAUUGAAGAAGGCGGACGAAUGGCAAACCCAAAUCCUGCUAGCAUGAUGAAUCCACCUCCGCUGCGAAGUGUUAGCCACAUUAAGCUGAUCAGAAAUUAAUGGACAAUAUUUCCAGGUUACCCUUUUGUAUCAAAUCUGUCUCUUUUUUGUGGUAGCUUGUUGAUUCUGAUCCCUUGUGGUAUUAGCUGUUGUUUGAUGUUUAUAAUCUUUCGAGAUUGACUUAAGUUGGAAAAAAAAAAGGAUCCGUUUAGAGUUUACGUAUUAAAGCUGUAUUGACUUUAGUUGUAUAUAGAUUUUCAAAUUUUUGUUGAUAUCAAUCUAGACAAGAACAUCAGCAAGUGUUUGUUUUGGUUCUUCAUGUUGAGAGUGUAUUCAAUUAUUAGAUUUUACUUUAUCUCAACAACUUCAUCUAUUUGUCUGUGUAGCUGUUGGUAAGAUAGGAUCAAUGGCAAAUUGCUCAGGUUUUAGGAGAUAGUUGAUUUAGGCCUAUGUCAUAGCUCUCGUGAAUUUGACCAACCACAGUGAUACUUAUUCUAUUUUUCUAGGAACUACAAUGUUAGUUUAAGCAGCGGUGUGUUGUACCCUAAGGGCAGCUGUUAGAGUUCUAAAGUCUGGAGUUAGGAAAAUUGUGCAUGCGGUCGAAGGCUGUUUCGUUUGGAGUUAGGAAAUAUUAGAGGGAGAAUGAGGGAAAAUAGAGUUGUUUGAUGAAUUUGAACUUUAAUAGUGAUUACUGUUUAAGUUAUUUUGGUAGACCAAACGCCUCCUAAUUUCAUUUUGCAUCGACCCUGGUUCUUGUUUUGCUUUCAAUGGAGACGUUGAAUUCGAGUCUAGUAUUCAAGUUGACAUGUAAGAAGAGUGUUAACAGUGUAUUAGAUUAUCUCAAAUAUUCAUCCUUCACUCAGUGCCACCACGCUCUUGGCUUUUUCCUUUGAAAGGCCUUGGUCUUGCUAUUAUGGAAGUCUCUCAUGGUUUUAAGUAUCCUUUUGUUUGUUUGUUUGAAUUAGCUCCUCUCUAUGUUUGUACCCAUUUCCAUCAUUUUGCUUGCUACUUCGUUUUUUGUAUUUUUUAAAUGCAUAGAUAUAUUUCUCUUGACAAAUGUUCUCUUAGUGUUUUUUUUUCUUUUCCUCCUUGGAGAUCAAUGUACUAAUGUUCUCAUAAGAAAUUGUGUUGCAAUAAUCUAAAUUGAUUCAUUUAGGAAAGUUGAGAGGUUUUUAUUGAUACAAAUUAUAAGCUGAAUUUUUUCAUAUGGGAACGUGGAGGAUGAUCUAAAUAAAUAUACUUAAAAGAUAAAUCGGUACGAUUAUUAGUUAUCAUUUAAAUUUAUAUGACAUAAGCUAAAUGUAAAAUAAUAUUUUUUUAAAUUUUGGGGUGACACGAGGUUUGACCUUAUUUCUAAACUAAAAGAUUUUUGUUAUCGUCAUAUUCGAGUACUAUUACCAAAAUAGAAUAUUACAUGAUUUUUGUUAUCGUCAUAUUCGAGUACUAUUACCAAAAUAGAAUAUUACAUGUGGGGCAAAAUAUUGAUAGAUUAUUUUUUAUUCAUAUAUUUUUUUGUUAAAAUAUAUCUUCUAGUUCUUAAACUUUUAAACAAGCAAACAAAUUUUGGUUUGUAACGAUUUAAUCCUCGUACUUUCAAUUUAGUAUUAGUUUAGACUUUCAAUUUUGUAUGAAACAAUUUUAUUGCUAAUUAGUCUAUACCUACAAAAAAAACCAUCAAAAUUUUACAUCAAUUUUUUGAUUUAUUAUUUUAUAAUCUAAACUUUUUAUUUCAUAAAAUUAUUGAGUCCCAAGUAAGUAUGCAAAAAAAUUUUAUUAAAUUUUUAUGCUAAUUUCUACCGUAGAAACUAAGUCGUUACAAAUUUUAAAAUUUAAAAUUCAAGGACUAAAUUGUCAUACAGUAAAGUCUUUUUUUGUUUUUUAAAAAUCUUUCAAUAAAUAAAUUUUUAAAAACUUUUGUUUUAGAAAAAAGAAUUAAAUAUUAAUUGAUCGGUAUUUAAAAAAUCGGUAAGAACUAAUUUGAAUUGCAGAAACAAUCCCUAAAAUCUAAACGAUAAUAAUGAACCUACAAAUUUAAACCAACAAUAUAAUUAGUAAUGUAUUUAUGACAACCUACUUAAUUUCUACCCACUUUGAUUAACACCACAAAUUUGGAAUUAAUUCAAGUCUAAUAAAUAUAAAAUGAGGCUAUAAAUUCAACUAAUAAACUCCCCCUCCAUCCAAUAAUUAUAUCAUUUUUGAAUGUAAAUAAAUAAUAGGGUUGUAUAUUAUUGGAGGAACUAGGCUUCUGAGAAUGGGGAAGGAGGAUGAAAAGUGCCCAUUUUUCGUUUAAGUAACCUACAUGACUCUUUUUGACUGUUCAUAAGUGGAUGAUAGAAAUAAAUAGUAAUUUUCCACGAAUAGUCAGAAAAUCUUAUUUUUUUGGAAGAAAAAAAACGUGUUAAAUAAACUUUUAUGACUCAUUUAGAAUAUGUUUACUAAGCAUUAAACACAUGAAGUCAAUCACAAAUAAUUGUUUUUAGAAAAGCUUUAAUAUAUUUUUAGAUAUUAUAUACUUAGUGACACCUUAAUGUGUUGUUAAAAUACUUUUAGAAAUGUUAACUAAAACAACGUUGCUAAGUUUUAGAAUUAUUGAUUUUUUUUUUUUUGUCAAUGUUGAAUUUCAAUUUUAGCAAGUUAACUUGGAUUUAAAGAACUUGAUUAAAAUUUUAAGUUCUCAAUAUUAAAUAUAUUACACCCUAAAAUGGUCGACUAAUGAAAUAAACGUUUUUUCAUUUAAGAAAUUUAACGUAGUCCACUUAAGGUGUUGAUGGAUAGAAUAAACAUUUUGUUAAAUUUUGUAAUCAAAUUUAGGUUAUGUGAUACAUUUACUUGUAUAUUUGACCUUCAAAGUUCUCUUUACCUUCGUGGUUCAAAAUUUGAACAACAUAAAAUUUAUCUCCUUGAUUACUUUUUAAUGACAAUACAUUGUGAAUUCAUAUAUCAAUGUUACUAAAUUGCAAUUAAGAGUCUAAAAUAAUGGCACAAUAAACUUGUCAUAACUUUGGAAAAGAUUGGAGUUUUUCGUAUUUUUCUACCAAAAUCGCACCUUUCUCAUUUAAGUACAUUUUAUGAUUCUUUUUUACCGUCAUAAUUUUUUUUCACAAAAAAAUGUGUGAAAUGAGUUUUUAUGACUCAUUUUUCACUAUGUCGUCCAUUUUUGCUACUAGUCACAAGUCAUGGAAGGUCAUAUUAGUCGUAGAAUUUGGUAAAUGUUUUACAAGAAUCCAUUGUAUUAAAUGAAGUACAUGACAAACAAAAUGUAAAAACUAGCAUAUCUAUUUCAAAUUAUUAAAUUAAAUAAUUUAAUCUAGGUAUAUGUUUAAGGAAAAGAAAACUCCAUUUCAACCCUAUUUGAUCAAAUUACUAAGUGGAAAAAAUAUACUAUUUAUCCUCUCUCCAGCGUUUUUUAGAUAAAUUCAUAAAAUUUGAAAUUCAUGCUUCGUCUCGAUAGGAUGAAUUAAAGAAACUAUUUUAGACAUGCAACAACAUAUCUAUAGUCUUCGUCACCAAUUGACACCAUGAGAUAUUUCAUGCAUGGCCUCAUAGCAACUAAAAACCCAUCUCCCAACCAAGACUCUCUAUGGUGGGUUAGCUUAGGAUCCUCUUCUUAGCAUUAAUUAAACUGAAGUUGCCAAUGACAAGGUUAACUCUUCAAAAAGAUAAGAUUAUAGGUAUGUGAUUCUCUAAUAUUGUCCUACUCUAAUCUCUAUGAUGUAGGCUUACCAAAAGUUAAUUAAAAUAUUGAAAUAUUGCAUUAGAUGACAAAAAAAAAUUAGAAAAAGACAAAUCAUAACAACUCAUUUUUUUAUAUUAUAAAAUUGACAAAAUGGGACUAGUAAUUGAUCAUAUCAGACGGUAAUGUGCUUUUAAAUUUGUUAUUUUUGCGAUUUAAAAAAUGUAUAUGACAUGGAUUCUAUUAUCAUAAUUUAAAAAAAAUUAUUAGUUAUUAUAAUAUAUAACUAAUGAAAAAUUAAAACAUAGAAUAAAGUUGAAAGCUCACCUACUAUAUGAUUUAAGACUGGUCUAGACUAAGAUAAAUUUCUAGCCUAUUUAGAUAUAGAUAAAUUUAAUAUAAAUAGUUUUAAAAUGUCAACAUAUAAAAUUAUAAUAAGAUUACAAUAAAGUAAAUUGCACACUUAUAUAAAAAUAAGAUUUGGGAUCUUACUUAGCUUAAAAACAAGGUUAACUUUCUAAACAAAAUAAAGAGAGAAAAUAUUUACCAUCAUUGUUACAAAUUGAAAAAGUACAUAAAAUUUACUAUUUUUUUUAAAAAAAUUAGGUUUGUUCUAAAAAAAUGUUAAUUGUUAUGUAAUUAACACCAUACUUGGGAACUGAUUAAAAAUUUUGAAUUGGUCAAACUUUAUUUAAAAGCUUGCUAUAUUGUGAUUAGUGUAUUAAAUAAGUUUAAUCAACUUAAGAAAUUCACAUGAUGAAAGAAACUAACCUAAACGUUUGUAGUAUGGGCUGACUAAUAAACCCUUGGAUUAAUGAUUUUGGAUUUUAUCCCAAAAUUUUUAGAUCAAUUUAUAAGAUUAGAUGUAUUACUAGAACUAUCUCUUAUAAAAGGUGUUUGUGCGUGAAUUUAACAGGUGAAUUAGAGAUAUUAUUUAUAGUACGUAAGUGAAGAACAAAUAUGACAAACUAUCAUAAGACGUCCAUCAUUAGUUGAGUUUAUGUCUAAGCUCGUGGCAACUUACAAUGACCGUUUAGAAGGAUACUUGAAUCGGUUAAUAUCAUUAUUUAACUCCUAGAAAAAAAUAUGUUUUCCAAUAUUUAGUGGGGUUGGUGGGCUUAAUUAGACUACAAUGGUUAUAUAUUAGAUAAUUAAUGAAAAAUUAAAACAUAAUAAAGUUGCAAGCUCACCUAAUAAGAUUAGGGAUUUUACAGCUUGGAUUAAAAUAAAUUUAAUUAAUGUUUUAAAUUGUUUUAAACUUUUCAAUUUGUCUUUAUAAUUUAUUUUUUUGAGAUUAGAAUAAAGUAAAUUGAAUUCAUACUAAAAAAAUUAAGAUAUUUAGAUAAAAUAAAUCUAACUAAUAUUUUAAAUAGUUAAUUUUUUUUAAUUCUUUUUUAAAAAUUCUAUUGAGAUUAGAAUAAAGCAAGUUGAAUGCUUACCUGAUGAGACUAUGAUUUUAGACUAAUAUAAAACAAAUUUUAAUUAAUAUUUUUUAUAUAAUUUAAAAUUUUUAAUUUAUUGUUAUAAAACUAUGAUGCCAUUAAAAUAAAACAAAUAAUCUUAUGAAAUGAAUGUAAUUAAAAUUUAGUUGUUCCACAAAAGUAAAUUUCAAAAUAUAGUUAACUUCUCAGGUUCCUUUAAAUAUAAGAAAUGGUCAAAUAUUUACUAUCAUAUAGAACAAUUUCAAAAACAAAAUCGUUAAGGCUAGUCGAAAAUACAAAAAAUGUUCAAUCAUUUAUUAGCAUCGAGUACCUAAUAUAUUUGAAAAACGAUAGUUAAAUUUUGGUAGUCAAAUUUGAACGAUUUUUUUUUUUUUGUACACAUUCGUUUAUAUUUGGAAAACAAUCAUUUACAUUUGAUACGUUUAUAUUUGGAAUAGAAUCGUUUAGAACACUUUUUCCAAUAAUUUUUUUGUACAAUUGUUUUGAUUUGAAAAACGAUCGUUUAAGUUUAAUAUAUGUUUAUAUUUGUAACACAAUCGUUGAUUUGAUCAUUUAAACUUGGCUACCUAAACCAUUUUAAGAUUCCUUGUACACUAGAUUUGACUAUUCAAUAUAUUUUUGUUAAUAUUUGGAACAACGAAAUAAUCAUGUAAAAAAAAACUAGAUUUUAUAUUUAGUAUUAGAUCUUGAACCAAAAAAAACAAUUAGAAGAAAAAAUAAAAGAAAAAGGGCAAAGAAGAGAAAAAGAGGAUGAAAAGAAAAAUUGCAAAAAAUUAAAAGAAAGACAAACCUGAAAUAUUAAAAAAAAAUUGACAGUUUCAUAAGCUUAUUUUACUAUACGGACCGUAAAUAUUUUACUGAUUUGUUAUAUUUAAGAAAAUUAACCUAUUGUUUGGUAUUGAUUUUUUGUUUCUAAUCUUAUUUUAAAUGAAAUAUCUUGAUUCCAUCACUUUUGAUGAACGAAACCCUUCAAUAGUAAGAAGGGUCGAACUGUUGGAAGGUUGAACAUUUUAAUACCAAAUUUGAAAGAUACCCAAAUAAUAGGAUUGAUGGAAAGUCUAGCUUCUAUUCGAUCUCUAAUUUUCAAAAUAUUACAUUUUUAGUUUUAUUUUAUUUCAAUUUAGUCUCUAAAUCUUAAAUGUGACAAUUCUAUUUUAAUAUAAUCAAAGGCAUUAAAAGAUUGUUUAGAGCAUAUUUGACAACUUUGAGUCAUUUGGAAGAGUUGAGUUGGUGGAUAAAAAAGACCAACAAUCCUAUAGUUCACCAAUAAUUAAAGAGAUCUUUUUAAUCCCAUUAUUCACGUCAACUCACAUUUUUCACUAAAAUAUUUACAUUUCUCACAUCACUUCCGUAUUCGUGUCAACUCUCCCCAAUUAUUUACUAUAAUUAUUUUCAACUCAACUUUUUACUUUUAUAGAUAUCCAAACGGUUCCUUACUAAAAGAAUAAAGUUAAAAGUAGAAGUUAAGAAUAACUUGAGUAAUCCGACAACCGAUUUAUACUCCUAAUUAAAAAUACAAAUAUAUUGAUGAAAAAUCAUUAAAAAUAGAUCAUUUGAUCAAAAUAUUUAUACAUUCACACAAAAAUGAAUUGUUAUGUGUAAAUAUUUUGUCAAUUUUUUCUAUUUAAAAAAAAUUCAAUACAACGUAUAGAAAUCCACUCAAAGUACGCACUAAACUAAAAAGAAUUAAAAUAGUGAGAUUUAGAACUUAAUAGGAAUUAAAAUUUAAACUCAAAACCUAAAAUUGAAAUUCAAAGGACCAAAAAGGAAUUUUACUCCAAAUUAAAUAUAAUAUUUAAUAUUUUUUCUUAUAAUGCAAAACUCUCUUCCUUUUUUAAUUUUCUAGUUUAAGCAAUUUAUUAAAGCCAUGGGGGCCACUAAUCAAACGUGUCAAUUUUCCAUUAGCUCUUACGAAGGUGGGCCCACAUGGUACAAACAAAGCAUAGUUUUUUUUAACCUUCAUCUCUCUCUCUCGCUUCUCGCGCACACACACAGCGCUGGGUUUCCACUGCAAAGUUCUUCGUCAGAACAAUCAAUGGAAAUUGAAUUAAGGGUCCGCUGAAAUUUCAAUGGAUAACUCUCUUACAGCCAUGCCCGAGUCAAACGAGCAAGAAGGAGCUCAAUCCUUUAAUCAAACCUCUCCAGCAAGAAGAGCUGGCCUCUUCUAUAAGCUGGUAGUGCCAUCCAUUCUUCAAGACAAGAAGCUGGUAAUCAGUCAUCGGUCGUACCGCCUCUAUUUCGUUUUCUUUCUGUUCCGAUUUUUCUUUUUAUUUUUCUUAUGGGAAAACCAAAAUAAACGGAACCCAGAGUCGGUUUUGGGGAUGAGAAUGUACAAUCAUUUCCAUUUCUUUGCUUACUCGUGAUAAAUGAUUGAUCAAUUGUUUCUUAGCUUUAUUUUCUUUUUUGCUUAAGUGGGGUGUGAUACAAUCGUUCAUUUUAGAUUGAUGGUGAAGAAAUUCAGGGAAAAUGCCUCUUGGUGAUUAGAUUCUAAGCCGAUUUUAGCUACAAAGUUUUUAUGGUAGUUCCGUACUGUUGGAUUUUUUUUUUUUUUUUUUUUUCUGUUUUUAAGAUUAGAGAGAUGAGAGACCUAAAGCAAAAUUCUUUUUCUGCAAAGAUGUGGAGGGCAACCAAUUGGAAGCUGAUCAAUGGGUAUCAAUAGCCGAGAACGGGAUUUGGGUUGUGAAUAAUUGGGUUUUAUCUUUUGCAGCUUGAGUUUAUUGGGGUUGAUUGAUCUUUACUUUUCUAAUUGGCCUUGAACGAUCAACUUUUUCAAUUUCUAUCUGUAAUGAUGUACUGCGAGCACCCCUGUUUUCACUUUAGGCAAAUAAUUUGUGUGGGCGAUUGAUUUAACUAAAUUGAACAGGCAGUGAACAUCAGUUAAUAGUUAAACUGCUGGAGGAUAGUGUUUUCUUUCUCUCCUUUUCAUUGUGCCCUUGAAAAAUUCCAUUAAUGGGGUUGAAAUAUCUGCUGUUCAAUGAAUUUUGGAGGCUUAUGUAUGGCUAUGCUUACUGUUGAGUUGACUUGUUUAAGAAAGAGUGAGAAAACCAUGAUUCUAUCUAUUAUCGCUUUUUGUAACUAUUCACAAGUUUGACUCUGAUAAUGGUAUUGACAGUUUUGUUAAUGAUAGAUACUUUCAUUAGAAAUCCCGCAGAUCGGGGUAUUUUCUGUUUGCAGUAUUGUUUGUUUAACAGAUUAAUUUUAUUUAUCUACAGAAAAUACCAAACAAGUUUGCUAAGAAGUUUGGAGGUGAUAUUUUGGAUCUUGUUACUCUGGUUGCUCCUAAUGGUUAUCGAUGGGUUCUGGAAUUAAAAAGACAUGGCCGUAGUAUGUGGUUUGAGGAUGGUUGGCAUGAAUUUGUCAAACACCAUUGCAUUCAAGUUGGACAGCUCUUGGUCUUCAGAUUUGAAGGAAAUUCCGUUUUCAACUUUUACAUGUUCAACCUAACUGCAAUUCCAAAUGGUCCAUGCAAUACUUCAAAUGCUUCCAUUGAACAAAACGAUGGCGAACAAUGCCCAGAUACACUUGGAAAAGAAGCUGAAUACAAGAAAUUAGUUGAAAUAUUAGGAACUGGUUCUCCUGACCCCUCUCCACGUCCUUCUGUCAAGGACCUUGUUUGUGAGUUUCCAGAUCAGCAAAAAUUCAAUGGAAGUUGCAAUGGGACUAGCAUUAAGAAUUUUAUGCAUUGGUUCGACACAGAGAACCUGCAUCCUCUAAAGGAUUUUGAUAAUCCACUAAAGCAUUUAGAUAAGUUGCGCAUGCAACUACUAAAUUCAAAUCGAGAUAUCGGUAUACAGUUCGACGGGGAUGAGCUUGCGAAAGCUAGAGAAAAUCAUGACUUUCAAUUGAAUCAAUCCUCUGAUGAAAGAGAGGAAGGAGCCAUGAAAAAGAAGUUAAAACUUGAACCAAGUAAGUUCUAAAAAUGCACAGUUUAACUAAUUUGCAGAUUCUGAGAAAUAAAUUGGUUCUUAAUAUCAAAAUUCAAUGUAGUUGACUACUACAAUGACAAUGAGCCAAUAGACGAAAAAAAAUGUGGAAACGUCCCACAUAAAAUUAAUAGGAUGGCUUUUGGAGUUGAGGAGUUCAAGUUUGGUAAUCCGUUUUGCUGGAUUGUUAUGAGACAAUCCUAUAUACGAAGAGGGUUCCAUUUGGUAAGUUUUUUAGCUCUACACUCCAUUAUUUGAUUCUCAACUGUAUGCUGAAGUAGAUAGUACAAAUGAACUUUUUUUUUUUCGUUAUUGACAGCAUAUACCAUCCAAAUUUGCGGAGAAGUAUCUAAAAGGGGUCUGGGGCGAUAUCACACUUCAGGUUUCAAGUGGGAAGCAAUGGCGUGUUCGAUGCAUUCGUGAAGGUCCUGGCACCAAGUUAACCAGGGGAUGGGCUGACUUUGUCGUGGACAACGAUUUGAAAGAAGAAGACGUUUGUGUCUUUGAGCUGAUUAAUAUGAAAGAUAUUGUGAUGCAAGUUACAGUAUUCCGUGUCCAUGGUGAUCCAACAAAAACUUGAACCCGAGGUAAUCUUUUUACUGAAUUUGACGUCUAUUAUGUAAUGUUUUCAACGUUGACUGCUCGUUUGUCUUGCAUGCUUCAUUAGAUUAUAAGUAGUACUAACUGUUAAGUUUGAGCACAAAAUAGAAUUGAUUAUGAAAUAGUUAAGAAAUUUGAGAACAAAAUAGAAAACCAUUCCUCAGAAUUCUCAGCCAAAUGGUUUACUUACUCUAGUAUAUAUAGUGAACUGUUCCACUGAUGAUUUGAUUGUGUGCCCCUUGUGUCUUGAGGAGGUGAAGUAAAUGGAUUUUGGGUUUACAUGUAGAUUCAAAGUCUCUACGGAGUCUGGCUUCCUUAAAACAUUUAGAGGAUCAUAACUAUGGAAAUUAAGGGCUGUUUUUUAUGUUUCUGUUUCUUGUUUUUUUAGGAAGAAAGAAGAUGAAAAUUUUAUUUGAUGCAUUCUUUUAGGAGAAAAAUGUAUUUGAUUGUCAGAUUUUCAUUUAGUAACCAUUUUAUUAUUUUUUACUUUCUCAAACUUUAAAAUCAAAAGCUUUACUUGGAAAUUAUUUUUCUAAACAUAAAGUAUUUUGCUUAAUUGUCGAAAGAACAAAAUAUCUAAGUUUUUGUUCGAUAACCAUAUGGUUUUUGACUUUUAGCUUUUGAAAAUCAAGAUAUGAACAACUUUUCCACCCUUAAAUUCCUAAAUUUGUUAUCUAUUUUUACCAAUAUUUUCAAAAAUCAAGUCAAGUUUUGAAAAUAGCAAAUUGCAAAAGCCCCAUAUAAGUAUGGUGGUAGUUGCAAUUAUAUCUUCUAAGUUUAAUUAUAAAAAUUAGGUACUCAAUUUUUUACGAAAUUACACCUUCAAGUAAUAGCUUUGGGCUUCCAAAUGAUAAAAAUGACCCUCAAAUGUGUACAAUUGUUAUAAUGUCUACAAUUAUAUAAGUUUGAAGGUCUAUUUUUAACACUUGUACAAGUUUGAUGGCUUACUUUUUAUAAUUUUGAGGAUAUAAUUGCAACUACCAACAUACUUCAAGAGUGGUUUUUGUAAUUUGGAAAAGUAGUUUUUAAAAUUUUACUUUUAUUUGUGAAAUUUGUUAAAGAACUCAAUUUAAAGAAACAUAAACAUUAUUGUAAGAAAUUAAGUGGAAAUAUGUUUAAUUUUAGAAACCUAAGUAAUUAUCGAGGCUUUUAAACUAUCCCAUCACGUUUAGUUUUUCAAAUGCAAUGCUUUUAAGUGGAGAAAAAAGAGAAAAAGAUAAACAAUGUUUAUUCAUGUCUCUUAAUAAUAAAAAACAACAAGCAACAAACAAUAGUCCCAUUCGAUAACCAUUUUGUUUUUUGUUUUUAGGAAUUAAGCAUUUUAAUUUCUUACAAUAAUUAACAUUUGUCUUAAAUAAAAAAGUUGAAUUCUCAGCCCAAUUUAAAAAACAAAAACAAGUUAUCAAAAAUUGGUGAAUUGGUUUUAAAAACUCUCCUACAAUAUAACCAACAAAACUGGAUAAUGGAUGAAAAAUAAAAAUGAAUUUUUAUCACGAGAAACAUGAAAGAGUUAGAUGUCCAUAUAUUAACCCCUUGAGAAAUGAGAUGGUACAUGUGUAUAUUCUGUAACUAUAGAAAUUAUCCUCCCUCUUGUUUCUCCAUUAAUCACGCAUCUGAAAAUCUCAUAUCUUAACAUUCUACUGUCUGCACUUUUGCAGGAAAUUGGAAAAACCCCAACUGGAACAUCCAGUUUAUUGUUAUGCAAUUAUGUUGGAAUUUUUCUCCAAAGACAGAUGACAAUGAGGUCUUGGUUUACACAACACCUUGUUGUUGCAGUUUAUCCUUGUAACCUUGCCCAUGUCCAUUUUUCGUCUUUAUCAUUUACAGUUUUUUCUUCAAAGCAUGAAGUUGAAGAGUGGUUGAACUUUGAAACUCCUGUGCUUAGACCUCCAUUGUAAAUUCUUCCCUGAACGGAAAAGUAAAAAAAGUUGGUGUUUCUUUUCUCCGUAAUGUAUAUUGGCAUGAACUUUGAACUUUUUUACUCAAAAAGUUGGAGAGACUGACUCUUCUUUUCCAAGGAAAUGGAUGCCACCAAUGCAAGAACGAAUCUGUUUCAUUUCAUUUGUGAACAAGUUGGGUAAACAGUUUGGACUUGGCAGGCGCCAGUAGUCAGAGUAGUUUCCCAUCAAAUUAUGACUAUUCGGUUAAUGUAUGUUUUUUGGUAUAGUUUCCCUUUAACUAAUUGAUUUUAAAAUGUAACAUAUUAAUUCAAUAGUUUUGAGUUUGAUUUCAAUCUAGUUUAGAAGUUUCAAAAUGUUAUAACUUUCUCGUUGAAAUUUGAGUUAUGUAUCAAUUCCAUAUACUUCAAAAUUUAUGUCUACUAUUUUAAUUUUCGUUAAAUAUUCACUUUUAGUCCUGGAGGUUAAUGUCUAGUAAAAUUUUAUUAAUCAAUUAUAAUCUUUUUAAAUUAAUAGAAGAUGAGUAUUUUAUAAAAACUUGAGGUUAACUUGUAAACCUUGAAAGCUUUUAAGGAAAUAUUAAGAACUAUAAUUGUAGCAUUACAUUUCAAAAAUAAAAUUCUCAAUAAUAAUUACAAAAAAAUUCAAUAAUAUAGCAGGAUAAAAGUAAUACAAUUUGGUUAUAAACAAAUAAUAAAAGCAAUCAAUUCUGAGAGCAAAAUACAAAAACUCCUCUUUGAAAAUAAAUAAAUUAAUUGAUUUUUAGAUUCUUUCGAGUGAAAAAAAUGACAGUUUAUAAAAACGCCUGAAAAUCAAUUUGUCACUUUCUAAGAUUAUAAAACAUAACGUGUAACGCUUGUAUUUAUAAUUUUGGCACAAUUUUGUUCCAAAAUAAGAUAGUUUUUAAAUUGGAAUGUAAUGUUAAAUGGGUGUUUGUUUUUAUUAAUUUCGUCUCUUUGGUUGGAGAGAAAGCAAAUAAAUAAAUAAAUAUUCUUAUUUAUUUAUAUUUUUUUAAUAAAAAAAUAUAAAAAAAACAAAUAAAUCUUAUUAAAAGAAGAAGAAAACUGAAUAAAAGGAAAAUAAACUAAAGUAAAAAGAAACGCCGUUGCCGGGGAUCGAACCCGGGUCACCCGCGUGACAGGCGGGAAUACUCACCACUAUACUACAACGACUUGUUGAAAUGAAAUGAAGAUUUAUUUUAUUUAUCUAAUAUUUCAUGAAUAUAUGUUAGCAAUAGAAUGCUACAUAUUUCUUUUCCAAUCAAAUCUUUAAACGGAUUGAUUUUAUUUUUAAUAUAUAAAAUACAAAAUAGAAAAUUUGUAAAAAUAAUAAAUUUGAUAAAAUAUUUAGAACAUAUAGCAAAAUUUUGUUAUAGUUUAUAAAUAUUUUAAUUUACAUUGUUGUUUUUUUAAGAAGCCUCUACAAAAUAUUUGAAAUAAUAGGAUUUUCGCUCUUAAAUCCUUACUUAAGCACUUUUCUCGUCUUUUUAGUUAAGCUAAUAUAUUUGUGAUUGCAUUAAUAUAUUUUUCACAAAGGAAAUAUAAUGUUUGAGGGUUAUUUGAUAGGAUUUCUAAAUUUUAAGAAUUAGAAUUGGUAUUUGAUGUACAUGAUUUAGAAGUCUUAGUUUCUAAAGCUUAUAUUUGAGUUAUUAUGGACCAUCUAUAGCCUAUGUUGUAUUGUGGAUCAAUUUUUAUGAUAAAUUAAAAUGUUUCAUCUAUCCAUUUUAGAAUGAAUUUUAUAUUAUAUUUAUAUGUUUUGUAUUUUCAAAUCAAUUUUUUUGUUUGUAAUGAAUGACGGUGGUUUUAGAUUUAUUGUGACAAACCAAACUAUAAUAAUUUAUCAUAUACUCAUUUUCGUGGAUAAAAAAUCUAAUUAAAUGUGUCGUUUGAAUGUACUAGAGAAAAAAAAUAGUAUUUUAAAAGUUAUUUUUUAUUUAGAUUGUUUUAAUUGAAUUUUCUACAAAUAAGCUGGUAAAACACCUCAAUUUUCACCGGUAGAUAUCUCAUAUUGAGCGUAACAACAAAAACUCAAGGGAUAAAAUCUAAAAUUGAAUGUGACAAAAAAAAUGUAGUUGGAGGGGUUUGGUCAACCUCAUUCUUGGGCUUCCCUUUUUCAGUUCGACCUCCCUUUCCAAGGGCUUUUUGUAAGUUUAAAUCCCAACAUUAUAUAAACAAUAAAAGCUCAAGUCUUUCAACCAAAUAAUUUUCACAAUAAUAUGAAUUAAAGUAAUAUACUUUGAUCCAAGAAAUUGUGUUUUCCUCUGGGCGUUCCUUUAAAACUUGAUUAGGAUGAUGAAAAGAAAAAGUUACUUAAUGAGUUAGAGUGAAGAUCAAUCCUAGAGUUUCAUUUGUAUACAUACCGUCUCAUAUGGGUGUUUAAUUAAAAUAUGUUUUUUACUUGAUUGAUUGAAUAAAAUAAUACAAAAGAUAAAACAACAUAUAUGUGUGGAAGGCGAUCAUUUCACUCAAGGGUGUUGCUUAGUUAUGCACUUGCUCUUUGAUGGGCUAAUUCGUGGAGUUUCAUCUUUCUUUUGAGCCCAUUUUCUGAUUGGUUUCCCGAUGUGUAGGAUAAUAUGGAAGUAUUGUUGGUUAUUAUCUUGAAGGAUGAUUUGGUUCCUUUUUAGUUUAAAAAGUAGUAGGCUUGAGAAUGGGUGAUUUCUAAUUGUCCUUGGUAUAUGGAGGGCACUCCUAUUUUGAUGAGGAAGUAGGUUCCAAACAUUAUUUCUAAGUCCUUUGUAUUUGAUUGGGUGCCCAUUUGAGUGAAGUUGCUCAAAGUUUCUUGAGAAUUGUAGACUCCUAAGUGUGUUGAGUGUUUUGUGUGGCCAAGAGUAUUUGAUUUAGCAAUAUGUAUGGAUAAGACUAUCUAAGAGUUGUGAAUUGUCUACCCAUCUCUUGUGUUGAGGUAAGAGUAGUGAUUUUCCAUGUGUUUUGUGACAAUAUAGUUGCGAACAUAGAAUAUGCUUGGAUGGUGUACAAAUGUGCUUAUUGGGGUGAUGGUUUUGGCCUAUCUAUUGAUAAGCGUGGGGGAGAGGGUUGAUAAGGCACUUUUCUUUUGUACAUUUAGCUCUUAUUAGUGGUGAUUUGAUUCUCACCACUAAUUAGAGCCUAGCUAUAGGGUUGUUGUUCUUUUAUUCAAGGGGCAAUUAGUCUUCUAUGAUGGGAGGUUAGGGUUAGGUUCUUACGUUAGUCUUAUGGCUCACUUGGUGGUGUUUAGAACGUCAAAUUUACAUAAAGACACUAUAAAUUAUUGUAUUCUUUAGCGUUGUUCUAAUGAUGUCUCUGAUUUAGUGGUCAAUUACUGUUAUGUGCUAACGAGUCUUAACUCUUAGCAAACUUUUAAGACUUGUAAAAGGAUUUAGGAUAUUAAUUUAUUUUUUUGUGAUUUUAUUGAUUUCUUCAUGCUCAAAAGUUGUAAGUUUUUUAUAUGUUUUGUUUCUUCUAUUUUGGUUGUAGGAUUAGUUCUCUUUAGUUUGUGCUCUAACCUCAAAUUAAGAGGAAUUAUAUAUUAUAUAUUACGUAUAUCACCUUUAACCAAAUAAUUUGAGAAAUUUUCGUGUUUUUUAAUUUUUAUUUUUGGGAAAUCUUCAUUUUGAUGGAUCAAUAAUGGAUUUAAAGAAAAAAAGAAAGAAAGAAGAAUGCUAAUGUAAUCAAUUUGUGUGACAUUAGAGUUUCCUCUAAAUACCAAAACAGAUUUAGAAUUUGGAGCAUCAACGAAUUUUGUUCAUCUUCUUCUUCUUCUUCACCAGUUUGCAUUUCUAAUAAUGUCUUGAACUUUUCACUGUAACUUAGAAACUGAAGGCUGAAAACUUCCUCUUAGAAUCCUUCGUCGGUUUCACAAUCUCAGGAAAGCGAAAAAAUUGCUCUGAAUUUUCCGUAGCAGAAGGAAAUUGAAUGAGUCUGAAUCAUCAUUCGGAGUCUUUUGGGGUUUUAAAGGAUUUGCAAUGAAUUAUUUCAGGAAAUUCCAUGGAGAAGGAUGAUGCAGGGACUUCACCACCAACAGCAGCAACUAGCGGCCCUUCUCAACGUAGCUUUGCGGAAGGAUGAUCCUAAUCCCACUACCUCAAGUUCCAGUACCGCCGGUGCCACUUCCGACGAGGACGACUCUGCUAGAAUUGCAGCUAUCAAUUCAAUCCAUCGUGCCAUUGUUUAUCCUCCUAAUUCGCUUCUUGUAACUCACUCCGCCACUUUCCUCUCCCAGGGCUUCUCUCAGCUUCUAUCUGAUAAGUAAGACCUCCUCUUCUGGUUAUACAUUGCUGGAGUUUCUUCUCUUGAUUUUUCUGUACCGUUUUUCACUUUGUGGUGCGGAAAGAUCGUAUGGUAUUUUUGGCUUCGAGCUUAGAGUGCAUAUACAUUUUUUCAUUGUUGCCCUUUUUUUUCUAUCUGUGUGGAUUACUCAUGGUCUCUCUAGAAAUGUGCUUAUUAACGAAUUGGAAUUUUGAGCAAAUCCAUGGUGACUGGGCCGCCAACCUAGGAUUUAAUGCUAUAUGGGUUUCUUUAGUACCUAAAUGUUGGAGGGUCAAACGAGUUAUUCGAGAGAUUAGUUGAGGUGCGUCAAACGAAUUGUUCGUGAGAUUAGUUGAGGUGCGUCAAAAGAGGUGUUCAUGAUAUUAUUUGAGGUGCGUGUAAGUUGGCUUAGACACUCGUAAAAAAAGAACGGGAAUUUUGAGCAAGCUGGGGCAAUUAUCCUUUGUGUUGAACUCAAAUUGAAAAUUUUGGUUCUAAGAAAUAUACUCAAAUCUCAUUUUCUUCAAAAUUUUUGGUACUUUUGCUAGUAGUAUAAUGGGAAAAGUAGGUUUUUGCCUAUUGUUUCCAGUUCUUGUUUUAUAUACGUAAAACGGGGAUCCAUAAUUUUUUUUACUGAAUGUUAUUAUUGAUGCAACUAUUUCUUGAUUCCACAUAUUAGGUCAUACCCAGUGAGACAGGCGGCAGCCAUUGCUUAUGGAGCUCUCUGUGCUGUCUCAUGUUCAAUCACUGCAUCACCAAAUGGAAGGCAAAAUAGUGUACUACUUGGAACUUUGGUUGAUCGAUUCAUUGGUUGGGCAUUGCCAUUGCUUAGCCAUGUCACUGCAGGUGAUGCAACCACCAAGUUGGCAUUGGAGGGAUUGCAAGAGUUCAUUAACAUUGGAGAAGCUGGUGCUGUGGAGAGAUUUGCUUUGCCAAUCCUUAAAGCAUGCCAAGUACUUCUUGAGGAUGAGAGAACUCCCUUGUCUUUAUUACAUGGACUAUUAGGAGUUUUAACUUUGAUUUCUUUGAAGUUUUCUAGAUCCUUCCAACCUCAUUUCCUUGAUAUUGUUGAUCUGCUUCUAGGUUGGGCAUUAGUUCCAGAUCUAACCGAUUCAGAUAGGCACAUCAUUAUGGACAGUUUCUUACAGUUUCAGAAGCACUGGGUGGGUAAUUUGCAGUUUUCUCUGGGGUUAUUGUCAAAGUUCUUGGGUGACAUGGAUGUAUUACUUCAAGAUGGGAGUCCUGGGACGCCUCAACAAUUCCGCAGGUUACUUGCAUUACUUUCUUGUUUUUCAACAAUUCUUCGGUCUGCUGCUUCCGGGUUGUUGGAAUUGAACCUUCUUGAGCAAAUAAGUGAACCACUUUCGAGAAUGCUUCCUCAGUUGUUGGGAUGCUUAUCUAUGGUUGGACGUAAAUUUGGAUGGUUGGAGUGGAUUGAUAAUUUGUGGAAAUGCUUGACUCUUUUGGCAGAAAUAUUACGUGAGCGUUUUUCCACCUAUUAUCCACUUGCUAUUGAUAUCCUAUUCCAAAGUUUGGAAAUGACCAGAGCUAACCGUGUAGUGAAAGGUCAGAAGAUUACGUUUCUUCAAGUUCAUGGUGUUUUGAAAACUAAUCUUCAAUUAUUGUCCCUUCAAAAAUUUGGGCUGCUGCCAUCAUCUGUGCACAGAAUACUGCAAUUUGAUGCACCAAUAUCUCAGCUUAGAAUGCAUCCAAAUCAUUUGGUAACAGGUAGUUCUGCUGCCACUUAUAUAUUCUUGCUCCAACAUGGGAAUAAUGAAGUUGUUGAACAAACGGUGGCAUUAUUAAUUGAAGAGCUAGGUAUGUUCAGUGGCUUGUUAGAAAAAGGUUUAGAUCAAAGAGGUAUCAAUGGUAUUCUUGAUUCUCAAUUUUGUUCAACUAUGGAUUUGUUCGCCCUAAUUAAGUUUGAUUUGAGAGCCUUAUUGACAUGUACUAUCUCUAGUGGAACUAUUGGUCUGAUAGGCCAAGAAAACGUUGCUUUCACAUGUCUAAAAAGGUCAGAAAGAUUGAUUUCCUUCAUUAUGGAAAAACUGAAUCCUUUUGACUUUCCACUUCAGGCUUAUGUGGAAUUGCAAGCUGCUAUCCUCGAUACAUUGGACAGGUUGACCACAACUGAAUUCUUUUGCAAGUGCUCUUUGAAGAAAUUGAGCAGCGAGAACCGUUUUCUGGAUUCAGGAGAAAACAUAGAUUCUUAUCAAAAAAAAGGAGAAAACAUAGAUGAAGCCCAUCUAAAGAAGGAUCAUUCAGCUAUUAUUAUUGAGCAACUAACAAAAUACAAUGCUCUCUUCUCCAAAGCCCUUCAUAAAGCAUCUCCACUAACAGUUAAAAUAACAACCCUGGGUUGGAUUCAGAGAUUCUGUGAGAAUGUCGUUACUAUUUUUAAGAAUGACAAGACAUAUGCCAACUUUUUUGAAGAAUUUGGAUAUUUUAGCGUCAUAGGAAACUUGAUUUUUAUGGUAAUUGAUGCCGCAUCUGACAGGGAGCCUAAGGUGAGAUCUAAUGCAGCUUCAGUAUUGGAGCUGCUUCUGCAAGCAAAAAUUGUUCAUCCCAUAUACUUUUAUCCCAUCGCUGACGUAGUCCUGGAAAAACUUGGUGAUCCAGAUAAUGAAAUAAAAAACUCAUUCGUGAGGUUGCUUUCUCAUAUUUUGCCCACGGCACUUUAUGCAUGUGGUCAAUAUGACCUUGGAUCAUAUCCUGCUUGUAGGCUUCAUCUUCUGAGAUCUGAUCAUAAAUCUAGCCUGCACUGGAAACAAGUAUUUGCCUUGAAGCAGCUUCCUCAGCAAAUUCAUUUUCAACAACUAAUUUCCAUUUUGAGCUACAUAUCACAAAGAUGGAAAGUUCCUGUUGCAUCAUGGACCCAGCGGCUCAUCCAUAGAUGUGGGAGAUUGAAAGACAUUGAUUUGAGUCAAAGUGAGGAGAUGGGGAACCUAGGUGCAAAUGGUUUAUGGUUAGAUCUCAGGCUGGAUGAUGAUUUUCUUAAUGGGAAUUGCUCAGUUAAUUGUGUAGCCGGAGUCUGGUGGGCCAUCCAUGAAGCAGCUAGAUACUGUAUUUCUCUACGUCUACGAACGAACCUUGGUGGGCCUACCCAGACUUUUGCAGCACUAGAGAGAAUGCUUUUGGACAUAGCACACUUGUUACAGCUUGAUAAUGAACAUAGUGAUGGGAAUUUAACCAUGGUUGGGGCUUCUGGAGCCCGUUUAUUGCCCAUGAGGUUACUAUUGGAUUUUGUUGAGGCCUUAAAGAAAAAUGUUUAUAAUGCAUAUGAGGGGUCUGCAGUCUUAUCACCUGCUACUCGCCAAAGUUCAUUGUUUUUCCGAGCAAACAAGAAAGUUUGUGAGGAGUGGUUUUCACGUAUGUGUGAGCCAAUGAUGAAUGCUGGAUUGGCACUUCAAAGCCAAUAUGCUGCAAUCCAAUAUUGUACGCUGCGUUUGCAAGAGUUCAAGAAUCUUGUUAUGUCACAUAUGAAGGAAAAGUGUAAUUUACAGGUCGGUGAAAACAUCCACAACACAAAUAAACUUACAAGAGAUAUCUCAAGGGUUUUGAGGCACAUGACUUUGGCUCUUUGUAAAAGUCAUGAAGCAGAAGCUUUGGUUGGUCUACAGAAAUGGGUUGAAAUGACAUUCUCUUCCCUGUUUCUGGAGGAAAGCCAGAGUCUUGGUAACUUUACACUAGGACCCUUUUCAUGGAUUACAGGGCUAGUCUAUCAAGCAAGAGGUCAAUAUGAAAAAGCAGCUGCUCACUUUAUCCACUUGUUACAGACUGAAGAGUCACUUGCUUCUAUGGGUUCUGAUGGUGUACAGUUCACCAUUGCUCGUAUUAUUGAGGGAUAUACAGCUAUGGCUGAUUGGACAUCUCUGGAAUCAUGGUUAUCGGAGUUGCAAUCUCUUCGUUCUAAACAUGCUGGGAAGAGCUACUCUGGUGCUCUAACUACAGCUGGCAAUGAAAUAAAUGCAAUCCAUGCAUUGGCACACUUUGAUGAAGGAGAUUAUGAGGCAUCAUGGGCAUGUCUUGGUUUGACACCAAAGAGUAGCAGUGAGCUAACUCUAGAUCCCAAGCUGGCUUUGCAGAGGAGUGAGCAGAUGCUUUUACAGGCACUGCUUCUCUAUAAUGAGGGAAGGUUGGAAAAGGUGUCCCAAGAAAUCCAGAAGGCAAGAGCAAUGCUGGAGGAAACGUUGUCAGUCUUGCCUCUGGAUGGCUUGGAAGAAGCAGCUGCAUUUGCUACACAAUUACAUAGCAUUUCUGCAUUUGAAGAAGGUUACAAGCUUACAGGCAGUGUAGACAAGCACAAACAGUUAAAUUCAAUAUUGAGUGUUUAUGUUCAGUCUGUGCAAUCUUCUUUUUGUAGAAUUAAUCAAGAUUGCAACCCAUGGAUAAAAAUUCUUCGGGUUUAUCGAGUGAUCUCACCAACUUCUCCAGUCACCCUUAAACUCUGCAUUAAUUUGUUAAGUUUGGCUCGUAAACAGAAAAACCUGAUGUUGGCAAAUAAUUUAAACAAUUAUAUUGAUGACCAUAUAUCAAAUUGUUCUGAUGAAAAGCAUUGUCUAUUUCUCCUUUCAAGUUUGCAGUAUGAGAGAAUCUUGUUAAUGCAAGCUGAGAAUAGAUUUGAAGAUGCUUUCACAAAUAUCUGGUCCUUUGUGCAUCCUCACAUCAUGUCUUUCAACUCAAUUGAGUCGAACUUUGAUGAUGGUAUUUUGAAAGCAAAAGCAUGCUUAAAACUUUCUCGUUGGUUAAAACAGGAUUUAGAAGCUUUGAACUUGGAUCAUAUUAUACCUAAGCUGAUUGCUGAUUUUAAUGUGACUGACAAAUCCUCUGUAAGAGGAGAAUUCUCCAUCUGUAGUGAGAACUUACAUUCUGGACCUGGACCAAGUAUAGAACUUAUCAUUGAGGAGAUUGUGGGUACGAUGACUAAAUUAUCCACUCGUCUUUGUCCUACAUUUGGUAAGGCAUGGAUUUCUUAUGCAUCUUGGUGCUUUGCUCAAGCUGAAAGUUCUCUCCAUACUUCAAGUGGAACUGCUCUCCGCUCAUGCUUGUUUUCUUCUAUACUAGAUCCUGAAGUUCAUUCUGAGAAAUAUAGACUAACUAAAGAUGAAAUCAUAAAAGUGGAACGCCUGAUUUAUGUUCUCGUUCAGAAAAGUCAUGAAGCAAAAAUUGUUAAUGAUGAUCGAAGAGAAUGGAGUUCUGAGACCUUAGAGGAUUUGAAACUUGAUGGCACUGUCAAGGCCUUGUUGCAGCAAGUAAUAAAUAUCAUCGAGGCUGCAGCUGGUUUGUCAAAUACUGAAAACCCUGGGAAUGAAUGCCUAACUGAUGUCUUUACUUCUGAGUUAAAGUUAUUUUUUCAGCAUGCUAGUAUUGACCUAGAUGACACUAGCGCGGUAACCGUUGUUCAGGACUUGGUAGAUGUUUGGAGGUCCCUGAGGAGUAGAAGAGUGUCUCUCUUUGGUCAUGCUGCUAAUGGCUUUAUACAAUAUCUUUUGCAUUCCUCUAUAAAAGCUUGUGAUGGUCAGCUGGCGGGCUAUGACUGCGGGUCAAUGAAACAGAAGUCUGGAAAAUACACACUGAGGGCGACAUUGUACGUUCUACAUAUUCUUCUCAAUUAUGGAGCCGAGUUAAAAGAUUCUCUUGAACCUGCUCUAUCAACAGUCCCACUCUCUCCAUGGCAGGUUUGAUUUCUGUUUCUGAUUUAAAUCAUUUUUGUUUUCCUUUUGGAACUAAUUUGAUAAUGUUGUAGUUUAGAACAUAUUUUUAUUUUAUGAUUCUAGGAAGUGACACCACAGUUAUUUGCUCGCCUGAGUUCUCAUCCUGAGAAAAUUGUGAGGAAGCAGUUGGAGGGAUUGGUGAUGAUGCUGGCUAAGCAGUCUCCAUGGUCUGUAGUAUACCCAACGCUGGUUGACGUAAAUUCUUAUGAAGAGAAGCCUUCAGAGGAACUUCAGCAUAUACUUGGUUCUCUGGUAACAUGAUUUCUUUCAUUAAUUUAAUUUCAUCAAGCCUUUUCAUAUUUAAUACAUUUUAUUUUGAUGAGGAGUUUUCCCCUCUGUUUGAAUGUCUUUAUUUAAGCUUCUUUUGGCAACGGGUGGGAAACUGCUCCUGACUGGAAAAAGGUCUUAAACUUAUUCUAUGUGUUGUCUGAUUAACUGUUGAGUGAUUCAGUCUUUGACACUAACUAAAUUAGUCAAUUCUGGGGCUCUUUAGGUCCUAAAUCUCUGACCUUUUCUAGCUGGGGCUAAAUUAUUCAGUUCACAUAUUUCCUCCAAAAUCAUAUCAGAAUUAGAUCAGUCUUCCGUAUUUGAUUUCUUGAUGGAGUCUUCAUCAGUUUGGUCUUUCUUUUUAUCCUUGCACAAUGUACCAUUAUAUGGUCUCUUCAAGAAAAUGAUAUUGUCUAUUAUAGCUUGAAAAGAGGGACCAUCUCCAAGAAGGAGUGAUGAAUUGAUCUUUUGUACAGGAUGUGAAUUGAUUGUUUGUAGAGGAGUUUUCAUGCUUAAGGAGGAAUAAUGGAAAAACACACAUUUAGAUUCCUGUUAUAGUGGUCUUUAUUUAAAGAAAGAGAAACAUAAGGAUUUUCAAAGAUAAGUUGAUGUUAUUGAUCAUGGUCUUGACUCUUGAGUGUCAUUUUGGCUUCUUUGAGUUUUAUUGACUAGGCUUUUAAAAGACACUUCUAGAGUUUUUUUGAUAAGAGUUGGAUGCCAGUUGUGGUGGAAUCCUUUGGAAAAGUGGGUAAGUCUUCUGUUUAUGGGGAAUAGAGGCAGUUAUUCAUAAUCCGCUAAGUUCAUAACCCAAUGCAAGAAUAUAUGAUGAUGGGCUGGUUUUGUUAUAAGAUCCAAUAUUAAUAUCUUAAAUACUGGACUGCUGGUUUGGAAGAAAAUAGGAAAAGGUAAGAAAAGAGUCUUCUUUCUGAGCUUGAAUCUUUCGAUGCAAAAACUAAACUCAAGGAGAUUUUUAAUCUUCAAUUUGAUAUAUAAUCUACAUUCAAAUGUGAAAUUAUGGAUUCAUAACUAUUGUUUUGGCUGUUUUUUCUUUCUUUUGUUUGAACUGUACUUCGAUUGUUUGCUUCUUUUCAUUUAUUCAUUGAAAAGUUUUGUUUCCUUUAAAAGAUAAACUAGUUGUGUUUUCGGUUAAUUUUUCUAUUUGUGGUAGAAUUUCUUGUAAUAUUUCUACUCUGAAUAUACUUUUGAAUGAUAGUUGGCUCCUUAUAUGAAAAAAAAUCAUCGGCUGCUUUAUGAAUCAUGUAGAAAAAUACCACCUUUUAAUAUUUUGCUGAUUAUACUACCUAGCAAAAUGCAAAUUCGAGUGCCUGCCUCCAUUUUAAAUUGAUAAACUUUCCAAUGGCAUGGUGCUUGUUUGUUGGAAAUGUUUUCGGUUUGAAUCAAUAAAUUCAUGGUUACAGUUGAAAAGCAAGAUUGUUGAAACAUGCUCAUGAUACCUGCAGAAAGAGCAUUAUCCAAGAUUGAUCGAAGAUGUUCAAUUGAUGAUAAAAGAGCUGGAAAAUGUAACUGUACUUUGGGAAGAGCUAUGGCUCAGCACACUUCAAGAUCUUCAGACAGGUGAGAAGCAUGAUUUUAAAUCUACAUAAUGACACUUUUACCUGACAUAAAUUAUUCUAUAAUGCAGAAAUUUGUUUUUGGUUGCCAACUCACCACAAUAAAUAUAACUUCAAGUUUGACCAUAAUUGACCUUUCACGUGAAAUUUAGGUGCCAAAUUUGACCUGUAGGUUCUGAGACUCAGGGAUAUCAUACCUGCUCUAUGAUUUGCCCAAGUUUCCGUUAUUACUGAAUUUCCUGCACUGAGUAGUUGCUGCGACAUAUUGUAACUAGCACUUCACCUUGGCAUGUUGUAACGUUCAAGAACAAUACCAAUUUGUAAAUUAUCCUUUAAUUGAACAUUUUUCUUUUGAUAAGAAACAACUAAGAUAUAUUCAGAAAAGUCCAACAGUCUAGGGUAAGGUUGAGACAACCCCCAAAGGCCAAAAAGAGCUAUACAAGGAGGGUCUUCCAAUCACUAAUACCAUCAAAAGGCUGUAAUUACAUAAGAAAUUAUUCUGUAAAUAUAUUCACCAAGAGGCCAUAUUUUGUGUCCUAUCACAAAAUUUUAAGAAGUGGAAGGGUGUAGAAUUAUCUUCGGAGGUUCUAGACUAGUUUCUUUCCUCCCAAAUAAGCUGCAAAAUGCUCUAAAGGUGAAACUACCCACCACUUUGGCCUUUUUCUUCAGAUUCUAAGCAGCCAGGCCUUCCAACAUCCAAUUGUCAAUGUUUUUAUGGAGACAAAACUGUAAACCCAGUAUUCCUGCAGCGAUCCAAUCUUGAUUGGCAAAAUCACAAUGCAAAAAGAGGUGGCCAAGGCCUUCUGCCUCUUUCAAGAGCAUUCUGCUUUCCAAAGUGGACAAAAACCACCUUCUAAACUUCCUUUGGAGUCUAUCAUCAUUGUUCAAAUUCCUAUAGGCUGAAGACCAAAACUUUAAUUUUCUGAUGGUUGUCAUGUUUUCAUGUAAGCGUAAUCGGAGCAGAGUUUAUGCUAUUGGGCUUGGAAGCAAGACUAAAGGUGGAGUUGGAAGAGUUUAUGUUACUUGAACACUAUCUGUUGUACAUCUGUCACCUUGAAUUAUGAGGAAUGCCAAUUUGUAAAUUAUUGAGAAUUUUGUUGAUUUGUUUUUCCUUAUACAAAGCAAAAGAUUGAGAAGUCUAUAUUUUGCAGAUGUUAUGAGACGCAUAAAUGUACUCAAGGAAGAAGCUGCUCGAAUUGCUGCAAAUGUCACUCUCAGCCAGAGUGAGAAAGACAAGAUAAAUGCUGCUAAGUACUCAGCCAUGAUGGCCCCCAUUGUGGUGGCUUUGGAGCGUCGUUUGGCUUCAACAUCUCGAAAACCUGAAACACCCCAUGAAACCUGGUUCCAUGAAGAGUAUAAAGAACAGCUGAAAUCAGCUAUUUUUACCUUCAAGAAUCCUCCAUCCUCUGCUGCUGCACUUGUUGAUGUAUGGCGGCCAUUUGAUGAUAUUGCAGCAUCUUUGGCAUCUUAUCAGAGAAAGUCAUCAAUUUCUUUAAAAGAAGUUGCACCGAUGUUAACUUUGUUAUCAUCAUCUGACGUACCAAUGCCUGGUUUUGAGAAGCAUGUUAUCUAUUCAGAAGCUGAUAGAAGCAUUGGCUCUAAUCUUUCAGGAACUGUUACAAUUGGUUCUUUCUCAGAGCAAGUGACUAUCUUGUCUACAAAGACAAAACCUAAAAAGCUUGUAAUACUGGGUUCUGAUGGUGAAACCUACACAUAUCUCUUAAAGGGUAGAGAGGAUCUGCGUCUUGAUGCUAGAAUCAUGCAAAUGUUGCAAGCUAUCAAUAGUUUCCUGUAUUCAUCUCAUUCAACUUAUGGUCAAUCUCUCUCCAUUCGCUAUUAUUCUGUAACUCCAAUUAGUGGUAGAGCUGGUCUCAUCCAAUGGGUGAACAAUGUAAUGAGUGUAUAUACUGUAUUCAAGUCAUGGCAACACCGGGUCCAGGUGGCACAACUCUCAGCAGUUGGUGCUAGCAAUUUGAAAAGUUCUGUACCUCCACAGCUUCCACGUCCGAGUGAUAUGUUUUAUGGUAAAAUCAUACCAGCACUCAAAGAGAAAGGCAUAAGGAGAGUGAUUUCACGUAGAGAUUGGCCUCAUGAAGUUAAACGUAAAGUUCUUUUGGAUCUUAUGAAGGAGGUUCCCAAACAACUUCUUUAUCAAGAACUCUGGUGUGCUAGUGAAGGAUUCAAAGCUUUCAGUUUGAAACUAAAAAGGUAUAACUAUUUUGGUUUGUGUUGUAACAUGCUAAACUUUCUUUCUGUCAAAUACAAACAAAGGGCUAAUUGGCAAAAAGUUGUUUUUCUUAUGCUUGCAUAUAGAAAUUUUUAGGUGAUUAAAGGUAUAAUUGUCCUUUCCCCUUUUCAGCAUUUUUCUUUUAUUUUUUUUUCAAAGGGGUAUUUUCCGGCAUGAUUUUAUUUAAGGACGUUUUCUACAGAAAAUUUUAGUUUAUCAAAGGAAUGAUUACCUUUUUUUUCUUGCUUCUUUCUUCUCCUUGAUCUUCUAUUUUUUUUCUCCUCAAAUUGUAAUUUUCUAUUUUUCUGUAAUACUUCUUUUCUGAACUACUCUCCAAUUACUACUGUUUUCAGCAUGAUUUUUAUUUAAGAUUGUUUGCCUUGCAAGUUGUAUUAUGAAAUAUAUAUUCUUCUUUUUUCUUGUAUUUGCUUAACUUUCUAGAAAGUAAAGUUUCAAUUAGGAUUUCUUUACAAAGAAAUAAAAUUUACUGGCAUGUUUGAAAAUCAGGUUUAACAACAGAAAACAUUUAAAAAAUAAAUAUAAUUAAUACCAUUUGUGUUUUCUUGUUUGGUAGAGUAUUUCAAAAACAAAUUUUUUGAAUAAAAAUCUGUAAAAAUAGUAUUUGUUGCAGAAAUAAGUACAAGGUAUUAGGUAUGUUUCCUCAGGAAAAAAAAGAACAUGAGACUUGAGAGUAAACACAGAAAAUAGGUGCAAGGUUUGAAGAAGAGAGAUCUUUUGUGAUAAAGGUAGACGGUGAAAUAUGUUUUGGAUGAUCCAGAGCUGAUAGUGGCUAGGAAAAUCUGAAAAUAACAUUCAGAACUUGUAAAUUUAAAAUUUGGAAUUGGUCAUGUUCAGUUCAUAAUUGCCUGCCAGCCAACAUUUUUGCGAUAAAACUAAAUUGAUGUUGAGCCAUUCUGUGACAGUUUUCCCUUCCUUUCAUUUCUUUUGAUUUGCAAUAAUCUAGAUUCAGUCUGCUAAUCUUGCAAGAUAUAAAAUUUGUUCUCUACUCAGGUAUGCUGGAAGUGUUGCAGCAAUGAGUAUGGUGGGACACAUCUUGGGCUUAGGCGAUAGACAUCUGGAUAAUAUUCUUAUGGAUUUCUCUACUGGAGAUGUUGUACAUAUUGACUAUAAUGUUUGUUUUGAUAAAGGCCAGAAACUGAAAGUGCCAGAGAUUGUUCCCUUUCGUCUCACCCAAACUAUGGAAGCAGCUUUAGGACUGACAGGAAUAGAAGGGACCUUCAGAGCAAACUGUGAGGCUGUGCUAGAAGUUCUGAGAAAGAACAAAGAUAUACUCCUAAUGCUGCUAGAAGUUUUUGUGUGGGAUCCUCUUGUGGAAUGGACCCGUGGUGAUUUCCAUGAUGAUGCCACUAUAGGUGGUGAAGAAAGAAGAGGCAUGGAGUUGGCUGUUAGCUUGAGUCUAUUUGCAUCUCGUGUGCAGGAAAUUCGUGUCCCCUUGCAGGUUCUAGUCAUUUCCACUGAAUGAUAAUUGCUUUAUUUCUAUUUUCCUCUCUUUAAUUAUAGUGUCUUUUCUGCUAGUAUUUCUAGUUCAUUUAUGCUUAUAAACCACCAAUCAAGUUCACCUAUAAAAGGUGUACAAAGAAGAUGACCAAUCAGCCAGAUGCUGUUGAGCCAAUCAUUUGAUUGUGUGAUAAUGUUGGCUAGUUUGAAUGGAAAUCAUGUAGGUGAUACCGACGAUAAAAGGGUCCUUGGAAGUAGUAGUUUGUUAUUGCUGUUUGUAUUAAGUUAACAGGGAGAGAGGUACUUGUAUGGGGGGAAAAAGAGAGAGAAGGAGAGGGUAAGCUGGGAGGGAUUCAGGACCAUCCAACUUCCUUAAGAACUAAUAAUAUUGAUUUGUAAGCCAUGUCUGAGAUUUUGACAUGCUUCAAGUCAAUUAAGUUAUUUGAUGUGUGCUAUUAUAUAUGUAUAACACCUAUUUCCUCAUUUAAAAGAUGGAAUUAUCUCUAUCACACCUUGAAAGUUCUUAAUUUUCAAAAUUCAUUUCUUAUUGUCCAGAAAAUUUUCAGUCCAUCUUGGUAGUGCUUUACUCACUCAGAAGUUAGUGAUCACAAAACAUAAAACUUGGACUCAUUACUGUACAAUAGAUGAAAUGUUCUUUUUUACCCCAAAAAAAAAAAAAAUACUGUACAAUAAUGAUUUAUUGAAUUGUGGAAUUCAAUACUAACCUAGGUUCCAUUAUAACUCUCUAAAUUUAAAAGAACUAAAAUGUUUUGAGUUUAUGUUUAAUAGAUUUUGCUUGUGCAAACUCAUUAUAACUCUUAACAUUUUCCAGGAGCAUCAUGAUCUUUUAUUGGCUGCCCUACCUGCUGCUGAGUCUUCUCUUGAGGUACUGUACUGCUUGACACUUGUAUCUUGUUUGUAAUUUCCUGAGCUUCUACCAUCUUCACUUGUUGCUUCCAUGAAUUUCUCUGAACCAAAUAAUCUAUUCCAGGGGUUUGCAAAUGUCCUAAAUCACUAUGAGCUUGCCUCUACGCUCUUUUAUCAAGCUGAACAAGAAAGAUCAAGCAUAGUUUUGCGUGAAACAUCAGCUAAGUCAGUUGUUGCUGAUGCAACAUCUAGUGCAGAGAAAGUUCGUACACUAUUUGAAAUGCAGGCUCGAGAGCUUGCUCAAGGUAAGGCUAUUGUUUCUGAGAAAGCUCAAGAGGCAUCAACCUGGAUUGAGCAACAUGGAAGAGUCCUUGAUAAUAUAAGGAGCAAUUUGAUUCCCGAAAUAGACAUGUGUUUGAAUAUGAGAGCAAUUGGAGAAGCUUUGUCACUUAUAUCUGCCGUUACGGUGGCUGGAGUUCCAGUGACAGUUGUACCUGAGCCCACUCAAGUGCAAUGUCAUGAUAUAGAUAGGGAGAUUUCUCAGCUUAUAGCUGCACUAAGCGAUGGACUUUCUUCUGCUAUAGCUACAAUUCAAGUUUAUUCUGUUUCUUUGCAGAGAUUUCUUCCUCUAAACUAUGUAACGACUAGUGUAGUUCAUGGCUGGGCUCAGGCUUUACAAUUAUCUAAGAAUGCCCUCUCCUCUGAUAUUAUUUCACUUGCUAGAAGACAGGCUACUGAACUUAUGAUGAAAGUAAAUGAUAAUAAUGAUUCUGUACAAGUCAGUCAUGACAAUAUGUGUGUUCAAGUGGAUAAGUACGCAAAGGAAAUUGCAAAAAUUGAAGAAGAGUGUACUGAGCUCUUGACCUCUAUUGGUACAGAAACGGAAUUGAAAGCUAAGGAUCGGCUUCUAUCAACUUUUACUAAAUAUAUGACGUCUGCUGGCCUUGUAAAGAGAGAAGCUAUUCCAUCUCUCCAGAUGGGACGAGUUACACAUGAUGGGAAAAAGGACAUCAACAUGCAGCUGGAGCUUGUGGCAGAAAAGGAGAAAAAGGAAAAGCUACUAUCUAGUAUUAACGUUGCUCUGGAUAUUCUAUACUGUGAGGCAAGAGGAAAAAUACUGGACAUUUUGAAUGAUAUGAAUGAUGGGAGACUAGUGAAUAGAACUACAUCUCAUGAUUUUAAUGUUGUUUUCUCCAAUCUAGAAGAGCAAGUGGAGAAAUGUAUGCUUUUGUCAGAGUUUCAUUCUGAAUUAUUGGAUUUGAUUGAUGUUAAGGUGCUGAGUGUUGAAAACAAAUAUAAAAGUUGGCAUAGGAAUCAUUCUCAUAGAAAUUGGACUUCUACUUUUGCUGUCAUGUUCUCUUCUUUCAAAGACCUGAUAGGGAAAAUGACUGAUGCUGUUCUACCUGAUAUAAUUAGAUCUGCUAUUUCGGUGAAUUCAGAAGUUAUGGAUGCAUUUGGGCUGGUCUCACAAAUUCGAGGAUCAAUUGAUACAGCACUAGAUCAGUUUCUUGAGGUUCAAUUAGAGAAGGCUUCGUUAAUUGAAUUGGAAAAAAAUUAUUUUAUCAAUGUUGGCCUCAUUACAGAGCAGCAGUUGGCCCUUGAGGAAGCUGCUGUAAAGGGCAGGGAUCAUCUCUCUUGGGAAGAGGCCGAGGAGCUUGCUUCAGAGGAGGAAGCUUGCAGGGCAGAACUGCAUCAACUCCAUCAAACAUGGAACCAGAGAGAUGUACGCAGCUCGUCUCUUGCAAAGAGGGAGGCUAAUUUAGUACAUGCUUUGGCUUCAUCGGAAUGCCAGUUUCAAUCUCUUAUCAGUGCUGCAGUGGAGGAGACUUUUACGAAAGGCAACACCUUAUUGGCCAAAUUAGUUAAACCAUUCUCUGAACUGGAAUCUAUUGAUGAAAUCUGGUCUUCCUCUGGAGUUUCUUUUUCAUCUAUCUCAAAUGGGAUUCCUACUUUGUCAGAUGUGGUGAGUUCUGGGUAUCCAAUAUCUGAAUAUAUUUGGAGGUUUGGUGGACAAUUAAGCAGUCAUUCUUUCUUUAUUUGGAAAAUUUGUGUUGUGGAUUCUUUCCUUGAUUCGUGCAUACAUGAAAUUGCUUCAGCCGUGGAUCAGAAUUUCGGAUUUGAUCAGCUCUUUAAUGUUAUGAAGAAAAAACUUGAGCUUCAGCUUCAAGAAUAUAUUUUUAGGUACCUUAAAGAACGGGGUGUUCCUGCAUUCUUGGCUUGGCUGGAUAGAGAAAGGGAACAUUUAAAACCACUGGAGGCAAGAAAAGACAAUUUCCAUGAACACCAUGAUGAACAAAUUAAAGAUUUGGAAUUUAUUGAGAGGAUCCGAUACAUGCUGCAGGAACACUGUAAUGUGCAUGAAACUGCCAGAGCAGCAAGGUCUACAGUUUCACUUAUGAGAAAACAGGUGAAUGAGCUCAAAGAAACUCUUCAGAAGACUAGUCUGGAAAUUAUUCAAAUGGAGUGGUUACAUGACAAUAGUUUGACUCCAUCACAAUUUAAUAGGGCCACCUUGCAAAAAUUUCUCUCUGUUGAGGAUAGGUUAUACCCUAUUAUUCUAGACCUUAGCCGAUCUGAAUUGCUGGGAAGUUUGCGAUCGGCUACUUCAAGGAUAGCUAAGUCAAUUGAAGGCCUAGAAGCUUGUGAGCGAGGCUCUCUUACAGCUGAAGCACAGCUGGAGAGAGCAAUGGGGUGGGCUUGUGGUGGCCCAAAUACUGGUCCGGUGAUAAAUACUUCUAAGGCUUCAGGGAUUCCUCCUCAAUUCCAUGACCAUAUCUUGAGGCGGAGGCAGUUGUUAUGGGAAACUAGAGAAAAGGUAUCAGAUAUUAUUAAGAUUUGCAUGUCUAUAUUGGAAUUUGAAGCAUCAAGAGAUGGCAUGCUUCAAUUUCCAGGAGACCAUGCUUUUAGUACAGAUAGUGAUAGCAGGGCAUGGCAGCAAGCUUACUUGAAUGCAAUAACAAGACUGGAUGUUUCUUAUCAUUCCUUUUCCCGUGAGCAAGCUUUUCUCUUUUAUGUUGAUGUUGUCUCAUUGCACUAUUAAGCCCUUUUGGUUCUAAAGAAAAAUUGUUUAGAUAUUUUUAAAAAAAUCCUGAAAUCCAGAAUAAUAUAAUAAUUAUCGUCAAAAUAUAUAGGUUCUGAAGAUAUAUGUGGUUUAUUAUCAAGCUUGAGAUAGUUACAAAGUGAAAGUUUAGUCCCUAGAUGAAAGAUAUAUUUUCUAGAAUUGUCCCCGGGAGUUAUAUUUUUAGAUAUAGUAUUUUUGGGGGUAGAAUUUGUUUCUUUAAAGAUGAUACUUGGGCUACAAUAAGGAAAUUUUUAUCUUUCAGGUUAACUGAUGAUUCCUUAUUCUUUGCGUCUUCUACUAGGUACUGAACAAGAAUGGAAGCUUGCAGAAAGAAGCAUGGAGGCUGCCUCAAACGAAUUAUAUGCUGCAACCAAUAAUCUUCGCAUUGCUAAUCUUAAAAUGAAGUCCGCUUCAGGUCAUGCAUCUUUCUGUUAUUUAAGCUGAGCAAGUACAUAGAUAUAUACACAAGCAUUACACAUUUUCCUCAUUUGACAUUUGACAUACGCAAGUUUUUAUCUUUAUGGUUUAUGCACUAAGAUUAUCCUUGUAUACAAUAUUUUCAACAGUACCUUUUGCUCAUUGCUUGAACAUAUUGGCUGUCUUUGUAGGUGAUUUACAAAGCACUCUUCUCAGUAUGAGAGAUUGUGCAUAUGAAUCAAGUGUUGCACUCUCAGCAUUUGGUAGUGUCUCAAGGAACCACACUGCAUUGACCUCUGAGUGUGGUUCUAUGCUUGAAGAGGUAACUGAAUAUAUCUAUGAAGCUCAGGAUUUGAUUUGAGGUGAUUGUGUCGCCAGCAAUAUUUCUGGAUUUGUUGUCAGGAUGUUGUUCCUUCAAAAGGAAAUCAGCAAGUCCUAAAAGGCACCUGCAGGCUUCAAUUUCACUAAUCUCUUUUACAGAAGACGAUAAUGGUUAACAUGGGGCCAACCUGAACAUAGCUCUGUUGAUUUGAAUCAACUUUUAUCAUAUCUCUGAUUGCCAUCAAUUCAUCUAAAAUAAUCGAUAUAUUAUUCUAUGCACAAUGCAUCCAUCUUUUUUUUGUAGGCUUAAAUUUCAGUAAUCUCUUGUAUGGAAGAUGAUAACUGUGAUUAACAUGAGACCAAUCUGAACAUUACUCAAUUGGUUUAAGCAUAUACCUUCGAUUUGAGAGGUCAAUGAUUGAAUCACCCAACAAGAUGUUAAACUGAAAAAAAAUAUGGUUGUGGGAAGCAAAAUAAAAUCGUUAAAGAUUUUCUAUGCUUUAUAGAUGAUUCUAAAAUUUGCUCUCAUUGGCAUCUUUUCCUUCACCUGUUUAUAUGAUUUUUUAAUUGUUUGCACUUAAGAUUGUUUGAUCUCUUUUGAUCAAGUAUAUGACAAAGUUCUUUUUCUGUUCAAAUGCAGCUAAUAUUUCUACAUUUCCUGUAGGUACUAGCAAUAACCGAAGAUCUGCAUGAUGUUCAUAAUUUGGGAAAGGAGGCUGCUGUAAUUCAUCGUCAACUUAUUGAAGACAUUGCGAAGGUAUUUUGAUCAAUCAUUUACGUGACUAAAUCCCAGUCUAUUUAAUCUAGACAUUCGUGCUGCAGAGCAUGAUAGAGUAGUCUGCUUCCAACUGUAGUCAGCUUAUAGCAUUCCCCAUGUGAAUUGAUACUGGUUAUGGUAUUUCCCAUUCCAGUGCCAUUGUUUGCUUAUUGUUUCACUUCUUAAGCAGGCAAAUUCAGUCCUCCUUCCCCUUGAGGCAAUGUUAUCCAAGGAUGUUGCUGCCAUGAUUGAUGCUAUGGCUAGAGAAAGAGAAAUCAAGAUGGAAAUAUCACCUAUACAUGGACAAGCUAUAUAUCAGUCCUAUUGUUUGAGAAUUAGAGAGGCCUAUCAGAUGUUCAAGCCUUUGGUCCCUUCUCUGACAUUAUCUGUGAAGGGUCUGUAUUCCAUGUUUACCAAGCUUGCACGAACAGCAGGUCUCCAUGCUGGAAAUCUUCAUAAAGUAUGAAUGGAGUCUAUAGUUCAGCUCGUUGAUUUCAUGAAUUAUUUUACAAUGCUUCUGAUGUUACUGAAUUUCCACCAAAUGUGAAAUCUACUUUUUCAGGCUCUUGAAGGACUAGGAGAAAGCCAGGAAAUUAAGUCAGAGGGAAUUCACAUAACUAAGUCUCAGUUCAAUAGUGAAGUAGAUGCAGUUGACUUCGAAAAGGAGAGAGAAAGCCUCUCCUUGUCUGAUAGUGAGAGUAGCGGAGAUAUCCCUGAUAUUACCAGACUUUCUUUGCAAGAUAAAGAAUGGUUAUCUCCACCUGAUAGCUUCUGCAGCAGCAGCUCUGAGUCUGACUUCACCACUAGUAGCUUUCCAGAUAGCUCCAACGACCUAACAGAGGAUAUGGGUCAACACUAUAACGGGUCUAGUGACAGAGAAGCUAGAGUUAUUCCAAAAAUUACCUCAUUUUCUCAAACUGACGUUGGAAAAAUGUUACGUUUGGAGGAGUCAGAAACAAAAUCCACAGAUGGUAGCCAAACCUGUUUUAGAAAGUUAUCAACCAAUGAGUUCAAUGGAGGAAUUAAAAUUGUUGCAACACCACCUGAUGAAUCUAUUGAAGUUCCUGCUAUUGCGUCACAUCCGUUGAAUGAGACUGUUGAAAGACUGGAGGAGGAAAGUGGUGUAACCUCAUCAGAUAAGAGAUUAGAAGAUGAAAAUCAAGAGGCUCCUCCAGCUCAGAAGGCUGCUUGGAGUCGUGCAAGCAGGGGUAAGUAGUGUACCUUCACUCAGACACAUAUCUAUUAUCCUUAAUUCCCAAUUAGCGUUUCCACUGCUGCACUAGAUGAUAUUUAUGAUUACAUGUUUUAUUUAUUGAUCGAUGUUCUUAAUGUUUUCAUUAUUUUAAAUUAUGCAUAUGUGGAUAGGGGAAUUAGCUAUUUUAGAACGGAAAACUAUCACAAAGAAUACAACUGUAAGGAAUCUCCACAAGAGUCGCAAUAUAUUAUCACGAUCCCAAAAUUCAAAGUUCAUACCAGUUCGAGAGGGUGGAUAUCUCCUUGCUGUAUCACCAUCUAAUACAAAAGAUAACAUAACCCAAAAUACAAUGACUAAAAAUAUUAUGUUGUUUUGUUUAUCUUGUAGUGUGCUUCUAAUGCGUAUUAAAUCAGAACUACUGUUCUUUAUUGCAUAUAAAUUAGCCUCAGUUCCUUGCUUUACUUUCGGAUUCAGUAAAAUUUGCUUUUGAUUAUUGGAAAGUCAGCACAAUUUUCUUGUAUAUGAGCUUUGCAUUCAGAGGGAAAACUGAAUCGUCCCCAUUUGAUGUGGCAUUGCAUAUUUCAUUCCAAAAGUUGAAGUCUUGUGUUAUGGUCCUCUCAGGUAGAAAUGCAUACGCAACGUCUGUUUUACGGCGUGUAGAGAUGAAACUCAAUGGAAGAGACAAUGUCGAUAACAGGUACCUACUCUUAACUUGGCGCUGUUGACAAUCUCUAUGCUGGAUUUCUAACUAUCUUUUAACUAACAGAGAACUUAGCAUUGCUGAGCAAGUGGAUUAUCUACUUAAGCAAGCAACGAGUGUAGACAACCUGUGCAACAUGUAUGAAGGUUGGACCCCAUGGAUUUGAAAUUUGAAGACCGAGGAAUCUUGGAUACCUGUACUGAUGGAUGGUUAGCAGAGGUUCGUCGAGAAAUACUAGCACCAGAUUCAUUAAUCCAGAACUUGGAAGAACAUGCUGGGGUAUGUUCAAAGUUACUACCAUGCGGGACCUCUUGUUUGCUGCAUUGGUUCGCCCUACAGCUGGAUUCAUUUCAUCAUAUGAAUUAUUCAGUCACAGUGUGAAAGAAAGUAACAGCGAUUGCUCGAAAAGCUGCGCAAGAUCCAUCUUGGCAUUUCCAUUACUGAGCUGUGCACAUGAACUAUUGACGAAGUGUCCAAACAGCGUUCACGUUCUUCACGUUCCAAUAUGCUGCCCCACGCAAGGUCGAGGGCAGGUAAUAUGGGCCACGUCUGGGGCUUCAAAGUUAUAACGAAACCAAGCUUUGGUCCAUUUGGCAUCUGAGAUGUUGCUUGGGAAUAUUGCAAUGUUGAUGCUGAGGAGUUGUGGGUUUUUGGUAACGAGCUAUUUACUGCGUGGAUAAUCUGAAGAAGGUAGAACAUCACUUCCGCAGAAGAUGAGAAAUUGCAUAAUGUAAUGAAUUAUUGUAUCAUUUAGGAAAAUGAUUAUUUAGCCAUUCAAAUAGGUUAUAUACUUUAUCCAUAACUGUGAAAAUUGGAAUGUAAAUGUAGACUGUAAAUGUCAUGAUAGUUUGUCACUCUUUGUUUUGUUGGGUUUUUACUUAUGUAUGGAUGUUAUGUGAUGUUAUUGAAGGCAAGUUGAUUAAUUUGGUCAAAUAAUUACAUUUUUUUUCAUGCCAGAAGAAACACCAUUUAGUAUAUUUUCAAAGUUUAUAACAAGAUUAUGCUAAUGAAAUUACUUAUUACUUAUGCACUACACCCAUCAAUUUAUCUGACUAUUUAUUUUUUUCAAAAAAGUUUUUAAAAUUCUUUUUUAAGUGAACAAUAUAUAAAUAGGUACAAUCCAACUUACAAUGUCCACGUCACCAACAAGGAUAGACUUGAAGUGAAGUAAUGAAUCCACAAGCAAAUGGUUUAGUCUCUUCCUAUGGGAAGUGAAGAAUCUCCCUUUUCCCAUAGAAUAGAAUUAAAAAUCCCUUUUCCCAUAGAAUAGAAUUAAAAAUCCCUUUUCCCAUAGAAUAGAAUUAGACAAACAAAUUAAAUGAAACUCAAAACUCAAAACUCAAAACCAACCAAUUCUAACAGUUUGUUAAGCACACAGAUAUAAAUCCAGUUUUUUGAAGCUUACUCUUUAAGUGAUCUUAUUUAUAUUGAAACUCUCAUGUUCCUCUAUUUUCCAUCAUCGCAAAUAUAUUUUCCUCUACUUCUUACUCUAGAUUCUAUUACUCCUCGUCAUGUCGGGGCUCGUAGACCUAUGGACUUCUGAGCAGGCUAAACUCCGCCACGAGGGUGGCUCCUCCCCCGCCGCUCCCACCGUUGAUGUGGCUGAACAAGGAAGAUGGAACUCCACUGAGUUAACUCGAGUUUGGGACCGAGUAAGACGACUCGGUAUGAAUGGGAAGAUGUGUUCUGAAGCUUCUGUUUGUAUGUUGGUUGAAUUUAUGAGUCCAUAGAGAUUCAAAACAUCUCACUGUACAUAAAACACUUUCAAUAAAACUUUCCUUUUUCAAUAUCUAUAAUUUGCCUUUAGUUACUUGGGUUAGAGAAUACGAGUAUUAUAUAUCAAUUCAAUUAUGUUCCUUUUGGCUUGAAAUACUAUUUUUAAUAUAACUAUGCGGUGGGGUGGGAAUUGAACUUUCGACCUUACCUUCAAUUUCAAGAAGGUUUGAAUCAAGAUUUGCCAUUUCUUCAACUUUCACUUUCACUACUAUCAUCCCAUGUAGCCUUCAUUGUCUUCUUCUUGGAUUUCUUAGAUGAUUUGAGGAGAGGACAAUCCGUUCUUAUAUGACCCAAUCUUUUGCAUUCAUAACAAAUCACCUCAUCUUUUUUGCUUUUCUCACCUUUUGACUCUUUUUAGAUUGAUAGGUGUUUCUUGAAAUAUUUCUUUCUUUUUAUGAAACUUUUGUAUUUACGUGAGAAAUAAGCAAUGUCAUCUUCAUCAAGGCCAUCCUCAUCUUCGGGAUCAACUUUCAAGGAGAUAGUCUUUAAUGCAAUGGUCUUUUUCUUUUUUGACUCAUCCUCCAAGUGUUCAUUCAUGAUGAUCUCAUGAGUCAUGAGUGAGCCAAUAAGCUCCUCUAGUGGAAGUUUGGUGAGAUCCUUUGCUUCUUGAAUUGCCGUUACCUUAGCUUCCCAAGUCUUAGGUAGAGACCUUAGAAUUUUUCUAACAUUUUCAGAAGUUGUAUAAACUUUACCAAGACCCUUCAAAGCAUUUAUGAUGUUAGUAAAUCUAGUAAACAUAUCGGUGAUAGUCUCAUUAGCAUCCAUCUUAAACAAUUCAUAAUUAUGAACAAACAUGCUAAUUUUAGACUCUUUAACUUGAUUUGUUCCUUCAUGAGUAAUUUCAAGAGUAUUCCAAAUUUCUUGAGCGGAAGAACACAUGGAUAUUCUAUUAAAUUCAUCUUUACUCAAGGCACAAUACAAACAAUUAAUAGCCUUAGCAUUUAAAGAACACUUUUUCAUUUCAUUUUCAUCAUACUCUUCUUCUAAUUUAGGCGUAUCAACAUUAUCAACAUUUUUCAUGGGUACAUAAAGACCUUUAGCAACAAUUAACCACAAAUUAUAGUCAAUAGAUUGCAAAUAAAUUUUCAUUCUUGCUUUCCAAUAUGCAUAAUUUGAAUCAUCAAAAUAAGAAGGUCUAGAAAUAGAUUGACUUUCAACAAUCCCAUUUGCCAAUAGGUUUGCUAUAAUGCUCUAACAAGAAAGUUUAUCAAGAAAUUAAAAUUUCAAGAUGAGCAACCUUACUCUGAUACCAAUUGUUGGAUCGGUAUGGCAGCCCUAGAGGGGUGAAUAGGGUUUAAAUAAACUUUUUGACAAAUAAAAAGUAAAAUCAACUAAUUAGAUAUUUUUUUAAUUUAAAUGAUUGAAAAACUUUGUAAACUUUGUUAAAUAAUCAAGAUUGAUAAAAAGAUAUGAAUGGAAGUAUACAAUCAAACUCAACCAAUAAGAAUAUGUAACUAAAAUUAAAUUAAAAAAUAAUUAGAAAAGAGUUAGAGAAGAAGACACCGUAAUUUUAUAGUGGUUCGGUUAAACUCAACCUACAUCCACUUUCCCAAGCACCUCUUGGGAUUUUGAUUGAAAAUCUUCUUUGGACUCUUUCCACGGAUUUGAGCCGAACCGAUUCUUGCUCCUUUUUCGGGUUCAAGAGCAAACCCGAUCCUUUCCACGGGUUAGGAUCCAACCGUUACAAUAUGUUGAAAUUUUUAAAUCACACAAAAGAAAACUCUCUAAAAGAGUGAGUAUACAAUUUGAAGCUCACAAAUUUAAUCCUCACAAUACAAUAAGAAGCUCUCAAGAAUAAGAUGAAAAGAAUAAAAAUUGGAAGCUUUAGGGAGAAUAACAAUGUUGGUUUUUUGCACUUUUUCAGGAUUGUAAAGAUUUAAUGAUCUUGUGUCUUUUUAAAAUUUGGGAAAAGUGAAGUAUUUAAAAAGAGAGAAAAGAUAAAUUCAAAAUCAUUUUGGGUCAUUAGAUAUAAGUAAAAGAAAAAUAAAUGAUUGAGAUUUAAACUCAAUUAGCCGUUAGACACAAUACAAAUAAUAAUAUAAUAAUAUGGCUUUUCAAAAUACUUUGUUUAAAAAAAAACCAAUAAAGCAACUUCACCAUUUUUUUUAAAAAAAAACUAGCCGUUAGACAAGGAAAAAUAAUAAUAUUAAAGUCAUUUUCUUUAUAAAAGCCAGUAAAACAUAACCAAAAGCCACAUUUGUUACUCCUUCAUUGCUCCAAGUGGCUUUCUCUAAUUGGUUCAAAUUGAAUGCUUGGUCGCCACGUCACCAUCUCGGGUAUUUUUUCGUUAAGCUUCUUUUAGCAAUAUUUUCUUCAUUUGAACUUCGAUUUGGGUGAUUCAAGAGGCGUUAGAAUCAUUUUUCCAAGCUCUACGAUAUGGUCUAUUCAAAUUAAUAAAAUUGUCAAUAAAAAAAAUCAGAUUUGUUAUCAUCAAAACAUAAAUUAAUUGAAUAAUUAAAAUAAAUUAAUUUGAGAUUAAGGGCCAAAAAGCCAACAAUCAACUCAAGUGAGAUCUUUAAAUAAGAACCGAGAUAACAUACUAAAAUACCUAAAAGGAAACGAUUGCUAGCCUACUCAAUAUGCAAAUGACAAUAAAAACAUAAUUUGUAAACAACAGUAAGCAAUAUUCACCUUAUUUUUCAUGAUGGCUUCCAAAGAUAUGAAAUGUGAAAGGAAAGAAGAGAAAACUCAAACAAUUGUAGAAAGUUUCUUGGGAGUUGGUGGUGAAACUUCUUGAGAUAACCAUUUCAUUUUUCAAUAUAACAAUUAUAUUUUCGGUUAUGAGAGCAUUUUCGUCACAACUGAAAAAUUAAAUCUGGGAUGCAUGUUACUAUAUUCACAAAAACUCGAGCAAAUCUCCAACAUACAAAUUAUAUUAUAUCUUGGGAUCGAUUAUGGUCGAGAUUUUUCGAAAAAAACAAAAAUGUAAUUUUUUUUAAACUAUGCUACUUUUGAAAUGUAAAACCUAAGCUGUGUUGUUUUUGUCAAUUUGUCAUUUUUUUUCUUACAAAAUUUCAUGUAAUGUUUCAUGAAACAAAAGGCAAAGCAAAAACAUAUCUAAAAUCAAAUCACAAACUCAUUUAUAAAUUUAUACAUAAUUUAUUGAGAAGCACAUGUUUUGAUUUAAUUUAAGAACAUGCGUUGAUUUUCUUUCUAGUAGGAUAAAAAAAAGUUCCAAAGAAGUUUAAAAAGUCUAACUUAAACGGACCAUAAAUCUACCUGUGAUUUUGUUUUUGGAUAAUUAAGGAUUUGUAGAAUUUUUUUAAGAAUAAUAAUUAAGUGUAGAGCAACAUUUUCAAAAUAUUGUAAAUUUAGCAAACUCAAAAUGGUUAUCGAGUGAUGGAUAUAUUAUAUUUCUAAUAGAUUAUUUUGACAGAUUUAACUAUAUUUGUAAUGUUUUAAGAUGUUGUUAUUUAUCCUAACAUUUUGAAUCUAAUUAUUAUGGUUUCAACUAUCAUAUGUGUUACUUUUUAGUAGUAUAAAUUUGGGUAAAGAAAUUUGAACGAGGUACGAAUCUUUAAGUUUUAGCUGUGAUGAAAUUUAUACAUAUACCAUCCAAAUUUGAUCUUUUUAAAUGAUAUUUUUUUUGAGUUGACUCAAUUUUAGUAUCAAUAUACUUUUAUAAUUCAAUUAUAGUCCUCCUACUUUCAAUAAAUUUUAAAUUUCACUACUAUGUAAAGAAAUUUACAUGAAAUUUAAAUAAAUGUCAUGACCAUUUUUACAUGAAUAAUUAAACAAUUGACUUUCAUGCAAACAAAUAUAGUAUGUGAAAUAUAUUUUCAAAAUUUAUAUAUAGUAAAAGGUUUUUAAAAAUGAACAAUAAAACUAGCUUUAUCGUUGGCUAAAUUUAUGAUUUAUUGAAAGUGUGCGUGGAUAAAAGUUAGAUAAUUGAAAAUGUAAGAACUAAAAUAUAACAAUUUUGAAGAUAUAGGGACGAAAAUGAAUUUUAACCGUCAUCAUUAAUAUAAAUUAAAAUGAUUAAUAAUAAUUUUAGUUAACAAUGUUCUACAUUAUAUAUUCCAAUUCGGAGUAUGAUUGUGUCAUUACUACUAUUCAUUACAAUAUUAUUGUACCAAAGGAUUAAAAUACUGAUAUGUCAUUGUUGAUAUCGAGAUUUCAAUUUUAUGAAUAUAUUAAUAAAAUAUCAAUAUCGACACAUAUUAAUUUCUAAAAGUUACAAAUUUUUUAAAUUUAUUUAGAUUAUUAAUUUUAUUUUUAACCCAAAACUAAGUUAUAUCCAUACAGUUAUUAGUAUAUUAAAUUUAUAUUAGAAAUAUUAGAUGUAUAUAUUGUCUUUUACGAGCAUUUAUUAAAGAUGUUGGAUAUAUCCAUAGAUAUUUAAUAUAAUUCAUAUCUAACUCAUUGACUUACAAAUCCAUCCACAAAUAUAUCGCAUAUGCAUGGAUAUAUUUUAAUCCUUCGUUAUACCUUCCUAAACAAAACAAAUGCAUAACACAUCUUUCUUCCAACAAUGAAAAAUUUCUUCCAGGUAAUAAUCAAUGUUAUCAAGGACAAAAGGUACAAAAGAUGAAUAAAUAAACACAAAUAUAUUUUUGUUUAAAAGUUUCAAAUUAAGAUUAUACAAUGUUAUUGAAAUACUAUUUGUAUUCCUUUUUUCGAUCAAAUGUAACAACAACAAUCUUUUUCAUUCGAAGAGCCAUCUAACUUGGGAUAGCAAAACCCACCAUUUUUUGUCUGUUUGAGACAAUCAUUAUUACACGAAACAUUAUCGUCUGGGUUUGAGCAGGGUUUUAUACAACUCAUGAAUAUAUCUCCUUUUGCUGCCAUAUGAUAAAAUACCAAUAUUGUUAAUAAUAUAUUUUUCAAUUGAAAGAACAUAACAUUAUGAAACUAUUAGAAGGAUUAUGAGAGAAAAACAUACUUGAUAAGACAAAACAUGUGAAUAUCAUCAAGAUAACGAUGAACACCGUAAAAUUUUUCUGAUUUGCCAUGUCCUUUAGAUGUUAUUAACGUGUUUAAAAAAGUUCGAGGAGAACUAAUUUAUAGUAUCUUAGCAACAAUAACUAAAAAACGGUACGGUGCUAAAUAUGUCGUUAAAAACUCAAAUUGAUUUUGUUAAUUUAGUUUAUAAAAACUAAAGUCUAUAUGGAAUUUUUAGAAAAAUAGAAAGAGAUUGGUAAUUGAGACUAUUUUUAGAAAAAAACUGAAAUGAUAAAUUACACAUGAAUUGAUCCUAAAAGUCAUCUGAAGAAAAAUAGGGUUAGCAAUGUGAGGGGGAAUGGUAAAAAAAAAGAAAAGAAAAAGAAAAAACCAAAUCGAUCAAUUACAACCCACUAAAGAUCCAUAGCAAGCCAUCAAACUAAACUACGAAUGUGAUUGAUAACUCCCUCAUAAGUGAGUUAUUAAGUCCCAAAAGGCUUGACUAUCAAGUAUAAAACAUGUGCAUGUCUUGUUAUAUUUGAUCACUUUAUGACUAAUUUUAUGCAAAAAACCAAGCUACUCAUGCAUGUCUUUUUGAGCCUUGAUUAGCAAAUUAGUAACGUAAAUUAUGUACAAAAAGAGUCCAAUCUUUAGUAAUUCUUGAGUUUAUAUAUCAUUUGAAAUUGUUGCUGUAAUUUUUAACAAAUAGAAAGUUCCAAGAUUUUUGAGAUACGUUCAUUCUUUUCAAAUUCAAUAAAAUCAUAUAAAAAAAUUUGCAUUUGAAUAAUUUGAAUAUAUUCAAGCUAAAUCGUGUAGGAAAAAGUUGCAAGGUGUUCUAGAGAAACAUUAUUUUCUUGAAAAUCUUUAAAAGACGUCGUUUCUGCUUUCCAAUGCAUCACUGAACAUCAAACUCAUGCUAUCUAGAAACUCUAGCUACCGUUUUACAUGUUACAUCAUUCACAGUUAAUAACCAUACCCUAAUAUAAUGGCCGUUGUUGUUUUUGAUUCUUUUCAUCCUUUUCAAUUUUCUUUUGGGUGCUUUCUUUACAAGAACAAGCAUAAGUACUAGCCAUUAUUCAUCUUGAAAGAGAGCUUAGGAAGAUCAAUAGGCAAGUUGAGAAUUUAUCUUGUACUUUUACAUCUCACAUAUUUCAUACAUUCGUUUUCAUCCAUUUAUAAUAUGACUUCUUCUCUUCUUUGCUUCUUGAGUUCCUUAUUUUUCAUUAUGAGCUAAACAUCAUUUUAGGAUUAAGGAUAUACUAAGAAUGUAAUAAAUCCUCCACACGUGUCCUAUUUAAUUACCUUGCUCAACAUUUAUUUUACCUUCGAUUUUAUUGAUUUUAUGCAUUUUUUGAAUUUUGAUUAUCACAUAAGUUGGCAUAUAAUGUUGAGUCUUGUAUCAAAAUAGUUAGAUAAUAAAAUGAAUUAAGAAAAAUAAUAUAGGACAAACAGCUAGAGCCCUAGAAAUAGGGUAUAAUGCCUAUAUGAUCAAUAUUGAAUUGGAGUUAACCAUAUCUUAAGUUGUAGUUAGUCAUAGAAAUAGGUGUUUCAUUGCAUAGUCCUCUAAAUGUUCUUCUUUAUGGGAGUUGGCUCCAUUUGAUUUGGUUAAGUGUCUACGUUGUGUGCACAAUCUCUGAUCGCAUAUAGUUUAACUCCGUUUGUUUUUUUGGGGUCGAUUCUGGCUGAGAUUGCCUGAGAAAAACAAAAAUGCAAGUUUUUUUUUUAAAGUGCGCCACUUUUAAAAUAUAAAACUUAAACUGUGUCGUUUUUGUCAUUUAUUUCUUUUUUUACAUAUUUUGUCAUUUAUUUUCUUUCCAUGAAACAAAUGGAGCAUAAAUAUAUACAAAAUUAAAUCACAAAUUCAUUUAUAAAUUUAUACGUGAUUUAUUGAGAAGCACACAUUUUGAUUUAAUUUAAGACAUGGGUUGAUUAUCUUUCUAGUUGAAUAAAAAAAGUUUCAAAUAAGUUUAAAAUGUCUUUUAACUUAAAUGUACCAUAAAUCUACGUAAUUUUACUUUUGGAUGAUUAAUGAGAGGUAGCAAUUUUAGAAACAAUAAUAAAGUAUAGAUUACUAAAAUUUCAAAAUAUAAUAGAACACUAAAAUUUCAAAAUAUAAUGUUGUAAAUAUAGCAUCUCAAUAUGGUCAUCUAGUGAUGGAUAUAUUAUAUUUUCUAAUAUAUUAUUUUGGUAGAUUUUGACAUAUUUAACUAUAUUUACGACGUUUUAAAAAUGUUGUUAUAUAUGCUAAUAUUUUGAAUCUAAUUGAUAAAAAUGUUAAUAUAUACUUAAUUAUUAUUCAUAAAAUUGGUAUCCAUUAUUAUUACAUAAAAAAAUGUCAAAAAUAACAAAUUUAACAAAACAUAGCAAAAAAUUUCAGACUUUAUCACAUUGAUAGCAAUUGAUAAGUUUCUAUCAGUAACAUUGUAGAAAUCUAUCGGUAAUAGAUUUCAAAAUUUUGUUAUAACUUGUAAAUAUUUUAAUUUAUUUUACUAUUUUUAAAAAUGUAUUAAAAAAAUAUUGUCUAAUAAUUACUUUUUUGUUUCGUGGAGUUUGAAACAUACCGACAUAUUUAUUUCAUCAAUAAUAAUAAUAGGAAAAAUAUCCCAUAUCAAUAUCUUAUUGAUAAAUUAUAUUAAUCAAGUUAGAGCUCUUUAAAACUAUAAAAAUUUAAUUAAAAUUAUGUUCAAAUGUAGAUUUUGUUACUUUGAUCCUUUUGUACUUAGGAUCAACAUUUUGAAAUGGAUUGUACUGAAGAUGGGAUGAUGAAACAAUCUAUAUCAUUAUUACAAAGAGGCAAAUGGCUAAAGUAGGGUCACUUUUGAAUGUUCAAUUUAGACACUGACUUGGUGUUGGGGAAGGAUGAAAACAUUAGCAGACAUGUGGAUAUACUUGAUGAUAUAUCUAUAAAUUAAAAUAUAAUGUUUGAUAGUGAUAUUAAAAUAUUCACGGAUAUCUCCCACAUCUUCUAUCAAUAAUAAUGCUUCUAAAAUAUAAAAAAUACCAUUCUAAUGGUCUAGAAAUGUGAAUAAGAAAUAUACUAAUAACAAUAUCCAUAACUUAGUAAAAACAACUUAAUUAUUAGUCUACUUAUAAAAUCCAUUAAUAUAAGAAAAAGAAAAUUGAAAUCUUGAUAAUAAUAAUAUCGACAUCAAUAUUUUAAUUCUUUGUAGGUCAAUACCAUAUUGGUUAGAAAAGAGACUUUAUGAUUAUGGUCGAGUAUAUUUUAAUUGGUAUGAGAACUUUUGGAUGGUUCUAAAAGUAAUAUCACAAAAAUGUUUAUAUCCAUAAACAAUAUCAUAUCAUUGUAGAGAUAGAUGAAAUGUUUUAUUGUCUACUGUGAUUUGUCCUCGAUCAUAAAGUUUUAUAAGUAAAUUGGAUAAGACUCGACUUUUCCUUUGUUUUUGUUUUGUGUUUCUAUUCAUUAUUGUGUUAUUUGUUUUCUAUCUACCAAAAAAGGGGACUCCUUUUAGUUUGAAAAAGUGCAAGGGUGAGAUUGAAAUGAUCCCUCGAAGUAUUUUAUAGUGAUAUUUUAUUUAUCGUAUUAUAGUCCAAUCAUAUCACAAAAUAUAUAUAUAUAUAUAUAUAUGAAAAUAUUCCAAUAAUAUCACUUAUAUCACCAAUAUGUUAACCCUAUGUCAUUAAUAUUCAUUAUUAAACUUUUGUUUCCUUAGACCAAUAGUUGUGAUGGUUUCUACGUACCUACUUUUUGUUAUGUAUAGAAGAUAUAUAUUAGCUCUAUGUAUGGAAGACGUGAGGGAUAAAAGGUAAAUCAUUAAUAAUCAGACAACACCCUAAGUUUAGGAUUCUUCUUCUUUAGAUUUAGUCACGAUUCAUCCAUGUUCCACUCUUAGUUAAACAUAGAGCUUUAUUGUUGAUGAAAAUUUUCUAAAAUGAGUUUUUCUAAAUAUGUACAACAUUUAAACAAAUCAGUUCUAUUUUAAUAAUUAAAAUCGUUGGGGCGUUGAGCUCUAAUUAGGCAUUGGUUGAUGCGUCACUUAAGUGAGGUCUUGUGAUAGGACAACAUUUGAUGCAUUCCUUAAGUGAGGCAUUGUGAUAGGACGACCAUUGAUGCAUCACUUAAGUGAGGCGUUGGGAUCAACUAAUGAUCGUUGAAAACCUUACACAUUGGAAAGACUUGAUGUGUUCUUAAUUGAACGUUGAGGUCAACUAUAAAUGAUUGAGGCCAACUAUAUAUAAAUUAUUGAGGCAUUAUACAAUAAACUCAUGAUUGUUUGAACUCAAUCUCUAAACAAAGAGCUUCUCUUUCUCACAAUUUCUCUCAAUCUUCUCCCUCUCUAUUCUUGGUUUUUGAUUAAAAAAAAAGUGUUUUGGCUAGUGUAGCUACAAUCGAAAUUUUGACGCUCUAAGCAGUGCCGCGAAACAUCUUAAAAUUGUUUAAUCUUGAGAACUUUUGCUUGUUUGUUCUUGAACCACAUUUUAUUGGAAGAAGUUUCACAUUAUUAUACCAUAUGUAACAUCUUAGACUCAUUAUUCGAAAUUCAAAUUUGACACAUAAAAUUGCCUUGACAUCGACUCAAUACCAUCUAAAUAAAAUAAUUCAAAAUUUUGCAACAUUUCCAUUGCUAUACAACCUCAAGUGGUGCAAUAUAAUUAAGAUGGAGACAAUGGUAGUGAGAGAGGGAAAGUCGAGGAGUUUGGCCAUUUUUGAAGGUUAAUUUGUUUGAUUACUAUAAGGUCUUCGGGCGGCCAAUACUUUGUAUAAUAAUGCCAUUCUUAUGUGUCCUUUUUCAACUUAUAUGAGACAAUUUUUUUCUUUUUUUUGAAUAAUUCAACCAAAUAUUGAAUUUGUAACACAGUUUCUAGGAUCUUGACGAUGAAAUUGAUAUCACAUGUUAAAUCUUUCAUCUCUUUUAUCUCUAUCUCUAUCUCUACUAUAUUCAAAGUGUAAGUUGGGAGAAUUUUUACAUUUCCAUAUUUACUGAUUCUCAUUUCGGGAUUAAAGAACACCAAUGGAAUCAAAAUUUGAGUGAAGAACAACUUUAAUUUUAUCUUCCAUCAUUCGCUUACUUGUGAUUUUCUCUACUAAACUCUUGCACAGGAUUUUUAAAAGAAGAAAGCAUAAUGCAAAAACUGCUACUGUGAAACAUUUCAUUUAUAAAAAGUUGGCAUCCUUUCCAUAAAGAAUUAAUAGUGGUACGAAUGAAAGGGGUGAAUAAGAAAACCAAUUACACAUAUUUAUGUGAAAAGGUGGGCGUUAUAACACAUCUUUGAAAGAGUGGAGAGUAAAAUAAGUAACUUUUUUUUAUAAAAAAAGUGAGGGUAAAAAAAUUCUCACAUUUAGUUAACUAAUACGAUAUGAACUAAUCGAGUUCACAUAUAAGUGCGAUUCUACAUCUUUUUUGUUUUACUACAAAGAUAGCAAAAUUAAUUGUAAUCACCUUCUUCUAAGAAAGAUUUUGUCUAUGAUUAUGUUGGUAUUAACAUCUAUGAUUAUGUACUACAUAUAUAUGAAAUAAAUUUUUAUACUUAUGCAAUUAAACAUCCAUUUGUUAAAACAAAAACAUUAAAACCUUGAAUUAUUAGGAGUUAUUAUGUUAGCUGACCAUUUAAUUAUUUAAAUAUAAAAACAAUCUAUUUAUUUUAAUAAACCACAUUUUAAGUGGACUAAAAUAUGAUACUAAAACAAACAUUUUAAAAAAUUAUUAUUUUAGAUAUUUAAAUUCUACACAUACACACAACACACAUUAACUAAUUAAUUUUCAAAACUAAAGCUAUUAUUUUAGAUAUUUACAAAUAUAAUAUCUAAAAUCAACUCAAAAACAUCCAAAUUUAGAAGAUAUUUAAAACUCAAAUUCCAGAAAAGCUCUAACCCUUUUUCUUUUUCUUUUUCUUUUUCUUUUGGGAGAAUAUAAACAUAAAUAAUAUCAAGCAAAAAAGUCCAAAUCCUAUAUCAAUAUCAAAUCAAAAGAAAAUUUUGUUAAAGAAAGAAAGAAAGAAAGAAAGGCUGAAUUAUUCAUUUAAUCAGGAUCUCAUAAUUGAAAUAUUUGAUUUAAAGUAUUUUAAUGUGAUGAGGAUCCCACCACACAACCACAUCACCAUCCUUAUCAUCUUCUCUAUCUUUUCUUCAAAUUUCCAAACAAUAAUGCAAAAUUGAAGUCCCCACACGCAACCUCCCUUUCCCAUCACACAUCUCCUCUUUCUUUCUUUCUUUUCCCCUUUCUCUUCCCAUACAAACAUUAUUCUGUGUGCUCUGAAUUAUCUAGUCUUUUCUCUCUAUUGAAUCUGAAAUUAUUAACUAAUCACGGUUAAAGUUAUUUCUUAAUCAAAAUCAUCACUAAUUUAAAGUUACAAACACAUGAGUUGAUAGAUUUCGAAUCUCACAUGUUUUCACUCUAACCAUUUAAUCAAAUAAAAUAUUUUGGUAGUUGAGUUUAAAGAUAUAUUUAAUUUGGUCCAAAGACAAACUAAACCCUACCAAAUUUAAGACUCCCGAGCUUUAGAAGUCUUCCAAUAAUUAGAAUACUCUAUAACUUAUGAAGUUGAAAACUUCUUAAAGAUACCAAGUUUUUUGAAGAUAUAAAUACUAUUCCAAAGCUUGAUUGUGAAAAACUUUUUUACGUUAUUCAUUUUUUCAAAUCAAGUAUGUACUUUAAUCAAAAGAUAAAAUACUAAAAAUUAAAUAUUAAAUAAGUUCAACUCCAAAAAAAACAUCUUUUCUUUCACAAACAUCAUUCAAAUUAUAAUUAAUAUUUUUUUCAAAUCAUAAUUAAUAUUUUUUUCUAAUUAAUAAUUAUUAAAAAUUAUUGUGAGUUUGAAAAUAGUUUAACUAGUUAAUUAGUUUAGUUACAUAUAUGUUUGAUUGUGGUUAAAUUUGGAAUUUAGACUCAUUGAUAAGUAUUAAGCUAAGAAGUAUGUUUUCUAGUCUUGUGUUUUGGGUUGUUCACCAUCACAUAUAUUAUAUACACAUAUAUUUUUUUUUUUAAAAAAAAAAGAAACUUUUUGCCUUUUGAAAAAGUAACCAUAUAAUUUUUUUAAUGGUAGACAACAAAGUUGGAAAGUACAUUUAUAUAUAUAUACAUAAUGGUUUUUUAGGAAUAAUAAUAUGUUUUAGUUAAAAAGAAAAAAAGAAAAAAAAAAUCUAUGUCCAUUGUGUAGAAUAUUCGUAAACCAAAUUCCAUGUGCCAACUCACCCUCAAAUUCCAUCCACCUUCCCUAUAUAAAUCUUCUCCGCACCCUUUCUCAAAAUUCCAUUUUACACAAAGAAAAAAGAAUAACAAAGUAAAAAUGUCGGCAAUGGUAGAGUCAUGGAUGAACGAACUGGGAAAAUGGAGAAACAGAGUUGAAGCUCAAGACAACAACAACAAGAAGCCAUUGAUGCCCAAAUCCAAGCAACUCCAAACAGAUCACUUCAAACAACCCGCCAAAACCCAUAUGGCGGAUUCCGACGACACAGAAACCUCCGUCCUCUCUGAAUCCACCAUUUGUUUGCUCAUAGAUCGCUUUGCUCCUUUAUGAUUAUGCUUUCUUUCAAUAAUUCCUCUUCCUCUCUUUUAAGUUUUACUCUGUAUAUUGCUGAAUAUAUAUCUAAUAUAAUUGUAAAGGAAAUAGUAAUCUAGUUUUGUCCACUGCCACCUUGUACGCCUGCCGGCCCAUACUGCUUGUGAUGCUCUGUUUCUACAAUUCCUCUUUCCUAUGUUUUCCUUUGUAAUUCUAUGUUGAAUAUAUCUUAGGGUAUGAUCUGUAUUUUUCUCACCGCCGUUGCCAGAUUGGAGAGAUGAGGAGUCCGGUGGGUGGUAGCGGCGGUGGUGGUGGUGGCCGGUUUGGAGACUUUAUGGCUUUCUCCUUUUCAAUUAUGCCUUGCAGAAUUUCUGUAUAUAUUUCUUUAAUCAUUUUUUUCUAAUUAAUAAGAUUUUGCUCUUCCUUUUUGUUGUUUGAAGUAUUAAUAUAAUAAAAUUUACCAUAAUUGAAGUUAUCAAAUUUAAUUUUUAAAUUAUGGCAUAUUAGUGUAAAUCCAUUUUUAUAGUUGUAAUUAAUGAGUGUAAUUUGAAUGUAGAAUAAGAAAAAGAAGAGCAAGAUCCAUUUUGUCAAGUUAUUAAUUCUUUUCUUUAUCUUAUCUUUUCGUGAUUUCUCCGUCUCGACUUCUAGAAUUUCUUUCUUUUUUCAUUUCUUAAAAUUCUCAUCGAAUCGAUUCAAUAAUGUUUGACAUUUCUCAUAUAUUUUCUCUUUCAGAUUUAAAUGAUCGUAUACCAACUUUUAAAUGAUAUUGGUUCAAGAUCGUAUACAAAAUAUAAAAGAUCUUGGCACAUAAUUGUAAAUCAAUAUCGUUUAGAUUUUAUACACGAUCGUUUAGCUCUUGGUACUUGAUUGUAUAUCAAUAUCUAAACGAUCUCGUUUCACGAUCGUUUAGAAGAAGAAUUUCACACGUGGGUAUUACUUAUUAAUCGCAUGUUGGUUGGAUAAUUUGGUAUUUUCCUUUGCAGAUUUUUUCCGUUUUUCAAAAGUAUUUUAUACCGUGUAAGUAUAUUGCUCGCUUAUUAUAUUUUUGAAAACCUUCCAGAUUAAUUUACUGUUAUCAAACACAAACACGGUCUAAAAAAGUUAAAUUUUUUAAGUUUGUGUUUAUAACUUAUUUGUAUUUUGUAUUUAGCAUUUCUACAUCUAAAUUUAGGAAGAUAUUAAUGACAUCUCUCCAGUCUAAUUUAGUUUUUCUAUCUCAUAAUUAAUUUAAACUCAUUUCAUACAUCACUAAAACCGCAUGCAUAACCAAAUACUAUUUCUAAUUCUACUAUUUGCAUGACGACAUGCCUCGUCAACCUACGUUUAAUCAAUUCAAAAAAAUUUAAAACUAGUAUCAAUUACCAAUUUUUUUCUAUUUUUAUUUAAAAAAUUUGUUCUCUAGUAGAUAUAUUAGUUUUCAAAAACUACUUAACAAAAUAAUUUUGGAUUUUAAUAGCAUGUUUAACACCCUCGUUUUUUAGCCAUUGUUUCAAAAACACUAUAAAUACGUUCUCAUCAAACAUUUUUAGACUCACCUUUCUCAACCGCGUUAAUCGCUUAGAAGCAAAACUAGUGACAUCUAACAAGCAUGGAAAAUCAAAAACCUUUUACAGUCUCCAUUGUUGUGAUGGUGAUAUUCGCAUGUUUUGUUUUAUCAAGUAUGCUCUUAUUAUCUCAUAACCCCUUCUUAUCUCAUAAUGGUAUGUUCUUUUGCGUGAAAAAAAAAAAUAUUAACAAUUAAUAUUGAUGUUUUAUCACAUGUGGCAGCAAAAGGAGACAUGUUGUUGAAUUGUAUCGGGCCUUGUUCAAACCCAGAUGAUAAUGUUUCGUGUAACAACGAUUGUCUCAAACAAACUUAAAAACAGUGGAUUUUGCUAUCCCAAGUUAGAUGGUUCUUCAAACGAAAAAGAUUGUUGUUGCUAUAUCUGAUGAUGAAACCCAAAAAAAAAAAAAAGUUGUAUAACCUUGAUUUGAAAUGGUUAAACAAAGUCAUAUUGAUAGAAAUUCAUGUUUAUUUAUUCAUCUUUCGUACUCUUUUGUCCUUAUAAACAUUAAUUAUUUUACCUCUUUGAGAUAGUUGCAAAUGUUGCAAUUAAAAUUAAAUAUUAGCAUACAUAACAACAUUUUAAAAAAAUUUGCGAAUGUAACAAAAUUUGUCAAAGUCUAAAAGCGAUAGAAUAAAUUUAUCACCGAUAGAUUUUGCUAUAUUUGCAAGUUUUUUAAAAAUGUCUCUAAAUGCUUAAUUGUUAUUGCUAAAAUUACUACCUAUUAUAAUUACCCAAUAAAUUUUUAUUCAUUAUUGUUUAAAGAAAGAUGUUAUGCAUUUGUUUGAGAAUGUGCAAUAAUGUUGUUAUGAAUAAUACUAACGGUCGUGCAACGAUAUUUGUAAUAAGAUGUAGAACAUCGUUUUUGAAAUAAUAAUUGAGCGAUCUUUUAUGCUAAUAUAAUAAAAUGAUGUCAAUAAAAUAUUGCAUUAUUACUAAAGACAUGUGAGCAAAGUAGCACAAUUUUUAAAAACAAAACCCAUUCAAAAUCAAAUGGCUAUCCAACAAUGCAUUAAUACCCUAAAUUUAAAAUUUUCGAACAUUACUAAAGUGAAUAUAAGUUAAUUCUUUAGCUCUACACUAUACUCUAUAAGAAGAUCAAGAAUUUACAAGCACUUGAAUUGUGCUACACUAUUUUAUUCUAUAGGAAAUAACCAAUGAAAUAUAAAAUGCAUUUUUCAAAUAUUUGAUUAGCUAUGUGAAGCUGCUUGCAUCAACACUAGUACAUGAAAUUUCAGUAAUGCUGAUGUUAGGUUUGUCAACUUGCCAUUUGAUUAUUUCCCUUGCAUAUCUCAAAGCAGCAUUCACAUUUUCGGGCUCCAUCCCUGUUGUUUGUGAAACAAACAACUUUUUAUCUGUCAAAGAACAAAACAGUCUCUUGAAUUUCACUGCUAUGUACUGAAACGCUCGUUGUGCCAAUGUCGGGUUCGUGCUGCUGCUACUUCUUCCAGUGAUCAUUGGAUUGAAGUCAACAAACCACUCACAUUGAGCAAGAGGAGCGUGGAUGAUCUUUUCUUCGAAGAGAUCAAACUUGUUCAGUAUGAGAAGGAAGUUCUUUCCUCUUGAGGCUUGAUGUGUCACAAUGCUUUCAAACAGUUGCUUGCUUGCGAUCAUUCGGUUCGUUAGAACUCCGUUAUCAUCCUCGUCAAAUUCAUCGUAGUCUGUUAAAUCCACACAAAAUAAAAUUAUUUUUGUGUCGUCAAACAUCUCCAACAAUUUGCAGUUUUCUCCUAGGGUACUGGAAUGGACUCGAAUCAGCUGGUACCUAAAAGAGGAAGGAAUCGGGUUUUUUUAGCUGAUGAUAACUUUAUGCGACUGUAUGCAAAAAUCUAUGCAAAAAGCAACCUUAUUGACAGAUCGUGCUGAUAAGGAGGGUCGAGAAGGGAGUCUUGUCGUGACUCAGGGAACGUGAACUCCAUGCUACUGAGGCUGUUGCACGAGGUGAUUCCCUCAGCGUACAAGAUAUCAUUGUCAGAAGGGUCAUACUCUAUGCUUGAAAUGUCAAUUGCCUGCGUUGAUAAAGAAAUUUACUUUGGUAAAGAUGAUGAUCCUGAAUCAUGAUCAAUAGUCCACUAUUCAAAAGCAAGACACCAAUCAGGGGAAAACUAAUGAAAUUUGACAAACAACUUGAAUUACAUCAAGGUGAACCCACCCAUUACAGGAAAAAGAAAACUUAAAUCAUUGGAAAAAAAAUGUCACCUUUUAAUGUUACUGCAUAAUGGUUUUGAAUUCUAAGCUAAAAGUCGAGCAUGCUAUUUCAACGUUCUUCAAUAACUAGGAAGAAACCUCCAUGUCUACAAGCAUCCGUAUAGCGAAAGGUCAGAGGCAUUGGUGUUUUUAUGUCGGUAACCAAAUGAUCAAAAGGGUUAACAUAUUUUAUGGUUAAAAAAAACGUUCCAAUAGAGUCUAUAGUUCAAAUGAUUUUUACAAGCCCUAAAACUUUCAGUGUCCAAUUUAUGAUCUGGAAAAAUGCUCCUUUUGUCACCAAAUUUUGAAUCUAGUUUUUAUAUGGUUCCUCAAUUUCAAAUGUUACACCUCACCUAUGAGUUCAGAAUUCAAUUUCUAUGUGUCCCUACAUAAAUCCUAGUUUCCAUAUGAUCCCUAGGUUCCUAGAUUUCAAAAUGUUGCACUUCUGCCCUUGAGUUCUAAAUUUAGUCUCAUUCGGUCUCAGGUCAAUAUUUCAUACUUUUACCCUCCAAUUUUCGUUAAUGCUCAAAUUUGAUCUUCAGUCUUGAAUUUUAACAUUCCGUUAAUUAACUUAAAAUAAUUAUGAUGUAAAUUUUUUUAAUUAAUUUUGAUACUAUGAAAACUUAGUGAAAUUUAAUUUGAAUUAAUUUUUUGGUUUAGAGAAUACAAUCAACAUGUCACUAAGAUAGAGACCAAUUAGAUACAAAAUCAAAAGCCCAUACACCUAGUGAAUACUUCUCAACACUAUGAAUUAUACUGGUUUAUAAUGGUAUUAGAAACUUUUUAGAGUAAAAAUGUCUAAUGGACCCAUCUCAGAAACAACUAAGUUUAAUGACUAAACAUCCUACCUUUAACAAAGAAAGGUAUAAGAAAAAUUGCAAGAGAUUAUUUCUAAGGUGGAAUUCAACAGUAAUGACCCAGAACGUAAACUCACCCGAUCAAGGAAAUAAGUAGCAACUCGUGGGAGCAUUUCUAGUUCGUUCCUUCUACUGUACGUGGCUUGGAAGGCUUCAUCCUUCAACAACUCUUCCACUAAUUGACCAUACACACGUGUAGCAGCCGGGAAUAUGGUGUCAAAGUUCCCUGACACCACGACUUGAAGAAGCAAAUCUGCAAAUCCUUUCAGUUUAGGGCCAAGGGAAUAGAUGUCCUUACGCUCCAACUGAUUUUCAUUCCCUGUAACCACUGAAUAAUGUCAUUUGCUUUGCUCAUUGAACAUCAGAAUAAUAUAGUCAGGAUGAUAUGGUAAUUUAUCUACUGAAAUCUGUCGAAAUAUUUAAUACAAAUGAUCGACUAUCAGGGAAAAGUGAAAAUCAUCUGAAAAUGGAAUUACAACAGACCUGAUGCUGAUGAGCUGGACGGAUCAUUCACUGGUUGUUUAUUUUUCUCAUCCAUCAAAAUCUCUUCUUCGAAACGCUCUCGUCCUUCCAGUAGUAUAGUAAGAUACCAAUACAAGUUCCUUUGAAUCAGUAACUUAAUUGUUUGACGCUCGUCAUCAGAGAAAGGAACUUUAUAUAUUUGUUUGGCCUAAAAUGAAGAAAUGACUACUGGUCAGGAAGUAUAUAGGAUAAGCAUUUCUAUAUCAACAUUAUUCGUUGUACACUAAGGAUGGGAGGUGAAGAAUUGGGUAAAAAUAAGUUCAAAUAAACAUGAGAGACAUAAAGAAGUGGUAUGUAAUGAAUCCCAAGUACAACCAAGAAGGGACCUAACACUCUUAGCACAAUAAUGGUUAAGGGCUUGUCUUUUAUGAAGCAGGCGGCAGGCCCCACUGCAAUGUGCGUUGAGGCUUGAAAUAAAAACCUUUUGGUUUCAAUAUUUGAUUAGGUUGACAAGAGUGUGAAUAUGUGAAGAGGACAGCAGAAAGAAAUCAUAUAUUGGUGACAUAUAUGAACUUUACUAUGAAUUAAAAGCCUUUUCUGCAAGCCAUCUGCUUUCUUGACACAAGACUUUCAGGCAAAUCAAUGAACUUUAUUAUGAAUCGAAAUAUUUAUCAAAACAAUGAUCAAACAAGAACUAAAAUUAAGAUUAACAUCAUAAAUAGUAAGAAUUUUAACACGAUCAUAGGUAGAAGUUUUAAGAAGCAUAAAAUGUAGUACUAUAACUGAAAUUACCUGCUUGAAUAUGGUACUCGUGCCAGAUUUUUUGUGGCCAACAAGGAGAAGUUUAUGAAGUACUUUCUGCUCGUAAGAAACAGAUUUAGCUCCGUCCUCUAUUUCCUCUCCAGUACGAACAGAAUUAGAAGGAAUAGGCAAAGAAUAAAGGGCACAUGCAAGCCUCGUUCUAGUCUGCAGAGAUAGGUGAAUUAGUUGUUCUUGCAAAUUUGAUGUAUAUAAGAUAGAGCAGGAAAAACCAAACUGAACAUCAUCGCAUAAGGUUUACCUUGUCCCAUAUUUUUCCCCCAUUGUUCAUUCCUUCUUCCUGGUAUGAUCCAUCUGCACUAACCCAAAAAGAAGGUCUUCCUUCACAAGGCACUCCAGCCAGCUGCAAGCAACAUGAUCUCAUUUGUGUUAUUUGCGCAUACUUUUAUAUUUCAAUAAAGCUAAACUAAAUACGAACACUGGGUAAAAGAAAACCUUCAGUAUCCGGAGCUCGUUUUUAGUGAUCUCUCGAUUAUUGAUGCACACAUUCGUAUUGCCAUUGCUAGCAUUCCUCUUGAUCCGACCUCCAACUUCUAGCUGGGAGCUAACUAUCUGACUCGGUCCAUGUCCUUCCUGUUCAGUUAAAAACAGAUCAAAAAGUUUCUCAUGGUGCAAAUCGCUUCUUCUACAUGCUCAAAAGAUAAAAUAAUAUCAAUCAAUCAAAGAGAGAGGACCUUUCCCCAGAAGCCUGAUUCUUUGUCAUACCAAUAUUGUCCUGGUUUUAGAUUCUUUGGUGGCUUUCGACAACUUCGCAACGUAAGCAGUUCCUGUCGACUUAAAGGAUCGCCAUUGACGUAGAUAAGUCUUGCUGGUAGUUGGUUUAUUUCACACUCUUUCUCAUGCAACAUUGCGCUCUUAAUUUCAUAGUCAGAAAGCAACCUCUUGAGCACUUUAGAGCUUUUACCCAAGUUCUCCCUUCUUGAUUCAUCAAUCCUAUACCCAAUGCAAGAGAUACACUUCCUUCCUUCUGGCAUUGCUCCCAUUGCUCUGAUUAUACAAUCAAAGCAAUAUUUGGCUCCACAAACAAUGCAUACUUCCUUUUCAGUGAAACGGUUUCCUUUAAGGCAGAAGUAGCAUGAUCCUUUUUUUCCCUUCCUUUCAGCUCGAGGCAUCUCUUGAAUGCUUUCACCCUCAAAUUGACUUGACUCAGCCUCUUCAGAAAUCGUGUUGCUCGUAUGGGGAUCAAGAAAGGUAACAGCUGAUGGCCUUCUGCCAUGCCUACGCGUAGUUUCAUAGUCAACUUCCUCUUCCUCUCUUACAGCAAAAAUUCCAGAAGACGAACUCAAACCCGAUUCUACUGAUUCCGAGUCGCUGGAAUUCGUAUAGCCUUGAAAAUCCUCUUCAUUCUUAAUUUCCAAUGAUUCUACCCCUCCUAUUCUUCCUUUCAGCUCAUUGAAAUUCUCAAGUUCACCAGAACUUUCAACUCCAUCACACGAAUCGAUAUUACAUUUAUCUUCCUUAUUGGCAUGGAGGCAAACAACCCCAUCUUCCUGGAUUUCUGAAGUUGAAGAAAUUACAGAAUUAGGGCUGGAACUUGAACCCUUCUUUAGUUUCUUAACAAUGGGUUGUAUCACAGGCAGAGAUGAUAAAUCAUCACUGAAUUGAGAUGAUGAAAGAACCACAGAAGCCGUUGGAAUAUAAUCAACAUUUAUAGGAACUGCACGAGGAAUCUCGUAACUAAUUCCAGGACCUUUAUACUCCAUGGCAAAAGAAUAUUCACCAGUAAAAUCCACAUGAUUAACAGGAGAAGAAGGCUUCUCGUGAAAAAGUUUUUUAAGAAUCCCAGCCAUAACUCAACAAUUCAACAACACAAAUUUUAACACAACAAAUCUAACGAUUUAAACAAUUACAACCCAACCCCAUCAAGCAUAACCAAUCAAACAAGCCCACAAAACAGAGAAACAAAAGAUCGAUCAAUCAUCAAAUCCAAAUGAUCGAAGAGAAAAAAGCUCCCAGUGGAGGAAAAUAUCGAAAGAAGAAGUUACAAUUGUGAAUUAGUAGGAACCCAUGUUCAAGAAAGUCGAAUCAGAAGACUUUUUGACAGUGGGGUUCAAGGAAAACGAGUGUGCUGUUAAAGAUAAUAAUAAAAAAAAAAAAUGGUGGGAAUGGAAAUGCUAUACUCAGUCAACACAAAGACUAGAGAGAAGACUUUGGAUUAGUAGAAAAAUGGGUUCAAUGGUGGAAAAGAACGCGUUCAAGUAAGAAGAAAACUGACAAGAAAGGGACAUAAAAGAGGAAAUUUAAGAGAGAAAGUGGAAAAGAAGGUAGGUGUUGGUCAUUAUUAUAAUCAAUUACAUUACAAUACGUCAAAUUAGAAAAGCAGAGAAAUUACCAGUCCCUUCCUUCCUUCCUUCCUUCCUUCCUUCCUUACUUCAUUCCACGUUUUUGCUUCCGAUUUGUCUAAGAUGAACUCAAAAUUGAAAGGCAAUUAAGAACAGUCUGCCACUGAGAGAAGGAAAUAUUGCUUUGAAUUUAUUUGUCGUGCCUAACACGAGAGCGGAUGUGUGAGAAAUUUUACCGUAUUCUCCAUAGCUUUAACAAGAAAUCUGUUGUACUGUUGUAACUUUGAGAGAAUUUCUUACAUUUCUUGUUCUUGGUUCUGCAAAGGGUUCCAUGAUUAUUGAAUUCAGUACAUUAUAAUUAAUAUGCAAAGUUUUUAAGACUGAAACAUUACUUUUUUUCUUUUAUAUUUUUAUUAUUUUAUUACAACUCAAUAAAUUUAUAUAUAUAGCAAAACUUCUACCUUUUAUUUUCAUUUUCAUUUCAACUCUUUUUAUUUAUUUUUAACUAUGCUAAAAUCCAAAUAUGGAAACCAUAAAAUAUAAUAUAUAAAUAAAUUAGAUAUGUAAGAAAAUUCAAAUUUCUCUACCUCCUCUCAAUUUCAUUGAUUUAUAUAUGUGUCUCACGAAUCUACUAAAUGUCACUAUUUAUACACAAUUUGGUAGGCAUGAACUAGAUUACAUGACAAUGUGAGUAUCAUCUAGACUUUUGUUAAUGGUGUUGAAUGAUUAAGAAAUUGACAUGUGGUGGACAUCUAUUUAUUUAGUAUUUAUAAUAUUUUUUUUUUCAUUUGUACGACCUUAUAGAAUUAAAUACUUUUUCUUAUUUUAUAUGUUGGAUAUUGAAACUACAUUUCAAACUUAAAUUAAUAAUAAUAAAAAGUUUGAUUAAUUUUCUAAAUUUAUGUUAAAUAUUAAAUAUAUUUUGUUUGAUUUACAAAAUUGAAAAUUUAACAACUUUAGAGAUGCAAAAGGUAUUUGAAUCACUCAAAUAUAAAUUUAAAAUUUAUGACCUUACAUCUUCUUGAGAAGACUUCUAGUUCAUGUUUAUGUUUCAUAAUUAAAAUUAUAAAUUUAAAUUUGAUUCAUUCAAAUCUCUUUUAAAUUUCUAAAUUUGUUAAUUCCUGAAUUUUGUAAAAAACAAUGAUUUACAUAAACUUAGAAAAUUAAAUAAGCAUUUUAUUGUUAAUUGAGAUGUCUAAGGUAGUUCACUGUUAUACAAAUGAUGUACAAAAAAUUAUUUUACUCUUUUAAGAAUGAACUUAUAAAAAAGAAAUGAAAAUAAAAGAAAAACAUUUAUGUAUAUAUAAUUUUAUUAAAUCACAAUAAAAUAAUAAAAAAAAUGGUAGAACACUUAACAAAAUAUUAACCCUUCAUAAAAAAUUGUGUAAUAAUUUAUCAAAUAAAAUUUAUCUUUUUAAUGAUUUUGUGGAUGAAGUGUAAAUAGUUUGAUAAUGGUUUUGUUUUUGAAAAAGAUUCACUAACAAAAGUAUAAAACAAAAUUUAAUGGUUUUUAAUAAAUAAAUAAAAAAUCACUAUUUUUUUUUGCAAAUAGUUUCAUACAUUCGUUUUUUUUUUUUUUUUUGCAAAUGUUUUACAAAACGGCCCUAUUUUAAUACUAAACUCCAAUUCUUAAAAGAAUGCAAACAAAUUUUUUUUAGUUAUUUUAAAAUUUGUUUGAAUAAGAAACACAGGUAUAAACUAAUAAAAAAUUUAGUUACAUGUCCAUUUAACUACUAUUUCUUAAUAUAAUAAAAUAAAGAUAUAUUUUAAAAAUAGCAAAAUAAAUUAAAAUAUUUAUAAGCUAUAGCAAAAUUUUGAAUUCUAUCACUAUAGUCUUCAAUCACUGUAGAAAAUUAAUGACUAUCAGUGAUAGAAUUUGUUAUAGGUUGUAAAUAUUUUGUAAAAUCUUAUACUUUUAGAAAUUCCUCUAAAAUAAACCGAAAUAUUUAUAAAAUAUAACAAACUUUUAAAUUUUAUUAAGAAUAAAUACUUAUAACUUUUAUGGGUGUAUAACAGUUCACUAAUAGAAAUUGAUAGAAAUCUGUAUGUGCUAAUAAUAAAUAGAAUCUAAAAUUUUAUUAUAUUUUGUAAAUAUUUUCAGUAAUUUUAUCCUUUACAAUAAUUUUUUUCUAUUCAAUUUUUAAAUUGUAUAAAUAGCAAUUUUAGUCCAUAAAUUUCUCGACUUUAAUAGUAAAAUGAGAGGCAAAAUAUUCUCCCCUCUUACCUAUUUUAUAUAAAGUACAGAUUUAUAAUUAUCGAUGAACUGAUGAGCAAGAUAAUUUAAAGUAUAAAGUAAAUGCAAAAUAAAUAAACAAAUAUUUAUUUUUACAUCGCGAGCUUUAAAACUUGUUAGAGAAAUAUGGUAGUUUAGAGAAGUCAUAUGAACUUCUUCCGAAUUAAAAUUGAGGCAACGAGAUAAAGUUUAUGUCUCUACAAGAAACAUCUUUACAAACAUUCUAAUAGAUGUGUUGUCUGGGUGCAAUGGUUCUUAUCAUCGUUUAGUGUUUGAUUAAAAUUUUCCUUUUUUUCUUUUUAUAAAUAAGGUGAAAUAAAAAUGAUUCUAAGAAAUAGAGUAGAUAACUGUGGACAUAGCACGUUCUUGAGUUAAUAAAGAAAUUGUUUAUGUAAUACAUGAUUAGGGCCCAAAUUGUGUUUUGCACAUACUAGUACCAAAUGAAUGUCAGUUGCAUGUACGCUCCAUACCAUGUGUACUACAUGUAAGUGAUUAGAGCUUAAAUUGUGUAAGAUUAACAUGACAUGGGUCUAACCUAGACACGUGACAUGGGUCUAACCUAGACACGCAUACUGGCAAUUGUGUCAUAGAACUUGUGUACCAUAUACAUGAGUUCCAUAUGUGGCUUGUGUGCAUGGUAAUACUAUUUUGACAUAUGACUCAUGUAUCAUAUACACAAGUUCAUAGUUCUAAUCACCUCAAAAUAUAACUUAUAAAUAUUUUAAAAAAUACUGAAAUUUGUAUCACUUUCACGUGAGAAAUUGUAAAUUUGACUCACGGAUGACAAUAGAUUGAACAAAUUCACCCAAAUUGAAUUUGAUUUCUCGUGAUCACAAAUAAGUGAAGAAUUACUUGUUUUGAAUAUCCUAUUUUUUCCUGAUUUGAUUUUCUUCCAAAUAAAUAUUUGACUUAAGAUUUAGGGGUAAGUAUGAUAAUAGUCUUCUCUAUCACACCUAAUUUCUUUGUAUGUUUUACAAAGGGAAAAAAGGGUGAGUAUUGCAUGUUCUCAAAUUUGAUUCACAAACAUCAUAAAAGCAUGGUGAAUAUGAGAUUGGUAAUUAAAGGCAUUAAUUACCAUUUUUAGAGGAUGAUGAUAUUUUAUCUCUACAUUUACCAUUCUUCAGCUCAAAAGAAAUUUUAAACGCAUAGUACCAAUUUUAAAUUCACCAUUUAUAAUCAUAAAAGUCAAAUUAACCCAUUUUGGAUGGGAAAAAUAAAGUCUAAGAAAGUUUGAGUAAAAUUCCUCAAAACAAAAAAAACAAAAAAAAAGUUUAGUAAAAUAUGUUAAAGAAAAUAAUAAAAUAAGCAGUAAAAAAUAUAACACUAGUAACUAAAAAAUAGUUUAAAAAAAUAUGGAAAGAUAGAGUUCGGUACUAAAGUUAAGUGUAUAACGACAUAUAUUAUAAACGAUUAAGUAGGAAUUGACAAAAUUUUGUUACACUUGUAAAUUCUACAAAUACUUUAGAUUUGAUUGUUAUAUUUGUAUUGUUUACAAACUAGAGAAAUUGAAAUACAAAUAUUUUUUUAUUUAAUCUCUAUAACCCAUAUUUGGAAUGAUUUUAAAAUCUUCAAAAUCAUUUUUGGUUAUUCUUAAAAUCUAUUUAAAAUAUGUUUUUAAUUAUUUAAAAUUAAUUUAUUAUCAAAUUUCACAUUUUUAAAUAUAUUUUUUACAUACUAAAAUUAGUUUAGAAGAAUUAAAAAUAUAGUCCUAAAUAAUUUUAACUAUUUUAGGAUGAAUCUCAAAUGUGUUAAAAAGAAAAUAUUUUUUUCCAAAUACUAAUUAAUUUGGUUCGAAAAUUUUUAAAAAUAGUCAAGUAAAUUAAAAUAUUUAUAAGUUAUAGCAAAAAUUUUAAUUUUAUCAAUAAUAAAAAUUGAUAGACUUCUAUCACUGUUUGUCAAUGCCACCCAACGAUGGAAGCAUAUCAGUGUCUAUCAUCAAUGUUUACUAUCGAUAGAAUCUAAAAUUUUGCUAUAUGUUAUUAAUAUUUUGUCAAACCUGUUAUUUUUGACAAUUUUCCUUUAUUUUAAAAAACGAAGAAUAACGCAUCCACUAAUGACAACUUAUAACAAGGGGUGCUUGCAAAAAUAGCAAAAAAAAAAAAUUAUGAUAGUAGAGUUCAUGUCACUACAUUUUCUAAAUUGUAAAAGUAGCAAAUUUAAUAAAGUCAAUAACUCUUUGAUAACACUCCUAUAGUCUUUCGCAAUAAUAGUUUGAUAUCAUUAAUUACUUGUCAUAUUCACAAUAUGCAAAAAGAUGUGUCAUUAGCUAUUUUCUCUAAAUAUUUUUUUUUUUUGUCAAUUUUCCUUAUAUAUAUUCACAUUACCUUCAAUGUCAUGAGCGCUCUUAGGUCGGUAGAGGUAUAGUUUUGAAAAUGGUCAUUCCUUUGUUAAUUCUCAAACCAUUAAUUAUAUAUACUUUUAGGAAUUGAAAGAAUUAUUUCAUUUUAAAAACCCAAGCAACCAUCGUCCUUAAUCAAAAGAAUUAACAAUCUUAGAACCUUUUGUUUUGUUUUUUCUUGAGUGAAGUGUGACGUAAUUUUAAUUGGACUAGUUAAUGAGGAUCUUUUUACUAAACAAGAAAAAAAAUGGUACACUUCAAAUUGUCAAAAUCUUUGUCUAAAAUGGAAGAAAAUAAACCCAAAAAAAAGUUAGAAUUCCUCAAGAUUUGCAUAACUACUUGGUCAAAUUAGGUUAGGGGAGAACAAGUAUUUGACAAUUAAAGAAAUUUAAAAUAUAAGAGCAAUAGUUUGUGAAUCAAUUUUCCCAUUUUUCUCUAACUAAUGAGUGAAUUACAAAUAAAGUCAUUGUCAUGUUGAGAUAUGAAUAACUUCCCUUGUAAGUUAAAAGUUUAAAAAUGAUGUCCCUUAAAUAAUUCAUUUCUCAAAAAAAUUAAUUAUUUCAAAUAAUCACCUCAAAAUCAAUAAUAUCAUAUAUAUAUAUAUAUAUAUAUAUAUAUAUAUAUAUAUAUAUAUAUAUAUAUAUAUAUAUAUAUAUAUAUAUAUUAAUAAAAAAAUCAAACACCCUAACGUAUGGAUAUAAUAAGGCGUUAAUUGAUAUGAUCUCUUUUGAGUAUAACUUCAUGGCUUUAUUUUUUGUUUCACUCAAAUGGCAUCAUACCGUUAAAGAUAGUUGUCUACUUACUUAUAUCUCAUUCUUGUUGGGAAAACAGACAUCAUAAGAUCUCAAUAAUUAUAGGAUAUUGUCCACUUUAGCCUCGUGAUUUUAUUAUUUUUCUUUUUGUGUCAACUAAAAGCCAAAUACAGUUAAAGAUAGUUGUUUCCUCAUUUAUAUAUCAUUCUUUAAUGAUCAUCCAAAUAUCUUUACAGGUUUAAUAUAAUAAGGCCAAUAUAGGAUUUUGGGUCAUAGUCCUACAAUUCUCUCCUUGAAUAAAAGGACCAUCAAAAGUCUUCCCUCAAAUAAUCAUCCAUAUGUGUUUACUUCCAAGUAAUCACCUUUAAUUAGGUCAAUUUCUUUUCAUCGGAGUUCAUUCCCUAUGUCAUCAAAUCACAUCAACAUGAUUAAGUGUGAGGGGCAUGAUACUGAUACUAAUUUCUAAGAAGAACGAACCCUCCAACGAGACCUGUAUUUGAAUAGAAGGGUCAUUUUGGAAAAAUAAGAAGCUAAGUAAAGGAUUUUGAAAAAUGAAGGUUUUGAGAAUUUAGGCGUUUUAAUGACUUGGCGUUGAGUGAAAGCAACGUGAGGUGAAGGAAAAGACGGCCAAGAUUAACUGAGUAGUUUGAGGUUCAACACAAGUUGAAGUUAGGCGUUGAGAGUUAGGAAUUUGUUGGGAAAUUUCCUAAUCGUACUUAAUGGGUCACGUGUAAGGGCUUAAGCUAAGGAUGGUUUGAAAAAUUAUUAGACUUACACGUGUAUUACUUUAAGUAGGAGCUGACAAGCUUAAGGAAAAUUAAGGAUGAUUAACCCAAUUUAGGAUUAGUAUAUAAACAGAAAUGAAGAGUUAGUAGAACAGAAGAUUAUGCUUAAAUUCUUAAGGUUGUCGUUAAAAGGAAGACUCACUAUGCGAGAAGAAGGCCAUUUGGGGAACUAGGCAUUCUAAACAAAAGAAAAGCGUGUUGUGAGUGAUUUUCCAAAAAUGUUUAAAUAUUUAAAGCUUUCUACUAAAUUUCCUUAUUGAUUUGUAAUAACAUUCAUAUGAUAAUGUUUACAAAGAAUGAUUUCGAAAGAAAGUUUGUGUUAUGUUUAAAUGAUUGUAUUGUAUGUUAUAUAUGUCUGUAAAAAUUUAGUCUUAUUUCUCUCAAUGAAGCUAACUAUUAUGUACACAUAAGGAGUAAAGGAACCUAUGUAGAAAAUAACUGUAUGUGGAGUGAAAUUGACCAAUGCGUAAAAAGAGUGUAUUGAUCAGCUUGGUGACCUGAGCAACGAGAACUUGAACCAAGAAAAUUUCUAAGGAAUGUUGAUGAUGAAAAGGACGUUACCGUAGUCUAUGUGUGGGAACGGUUCAUGUUCUUGGAAGAAAGGAAUAUGAAAGGCUAGUGAGUGAUUUCUGUUUUAUGAAAAGAGACGAUGAAAACCAUAUUUAUGAAAAUGAUUUCACAUGUUGUCUGCAAAAGAAUUUUCAAAACUAUCACUCACUAAGCUUUGACUUAUGUUUUAAGUUUUUCAUCCCUAAGGUUUCAGACGUUAUGGCUAAGUGUGGAUAAGGAAGGUAAGUUGCUACACGAAGAAGCUAAGCAAGACGUUCUAAGUUUAUUUCAUAGAUUAUCUAUUUAAGAAAGUGUGUAAUAAGUGUAUUUUGAUCACACGCUUAUAAGUAAUAAAGUGAAGUUGUUUUUCUACACUGCGUUAUGAAUUUAUAUAUUUCUUUAUCGCCUAAUAUUUAAGUUUAAGUUCAAUUUAGUUGAGGUUAGGUUACUUGAAUUGCAUUGGGUGAGCAAGCUAAGUUCAACGACUUAAGUUGAGCAUUCUGACGUUUCAUAUACUUGAGGCGUCAUGCCUACUCAAGUCAGGUCGCAUUACGAAGUUAACAAUGGGUGUAGGGUAGGACGUGACACCAACAUAUUCAUAAUUGUAUGAUCGAUAAUAUUUGUUUUGGGUAUAAUCAUCACAAUUUUGGUUUUGAUUUCACCUAAAAGACAUUAUUUCAUUGAAGAUAAUUGUCCUUACUCAUACAACAUAAAUCCUCCCUAUAUCUAGCCAAUGUGAAAAUUUGUUUCGCACUCUAACACCAACAAUGAGACUAAGACCCACACAUUAUACCCAAAAGGCUAAGUCAUCUACAACCAUAUUUUGAAAUGAGUCAUAUGUAAUAAAAUUGAAUAUCCAACAAUGAACCAUGAACAAAAUACCUUUUAUUUCUAAUUUCACAUAGAACUAACAAAAUAGCUCUUGUUAACAACUGGACAACUAUCACGUUGCUCAACUCCACCAUAGUUGUAACAUCAACCUAACAUCUAUAUAUGUGAAAAACACACAUUAUUAACCUGAAGAAUUAAGUUUUCACCAAAGUUAUAGACAAUGUAAACAGUGCAAGCAACACUACAAGAAAAAUGUAAAACACGACUAAGUUGGUAACCCGGUUUAGUGCAAUCACACCUAUAUCUGAGGAGCCUUGAGUCCAAUCGAAAAGACCAUUUAUUGAAAUUCAAAAAAGCUCACAAAUAUAUAGCUUAUCAAGAAUUAUUGUCUUGAUAUACAUAACUUUGACAAGAUCAAAGUACAGACUACCUCUAGACCACCUAAAGCAUGAAUAAGAGCUUUAAUCUAUGCUCCCUUAGAUCAAGUACUCCACGCUUUACCCUUUUGACUUUAUUGCCCAGGCUCUCCUUGGGAGAGACACCUCAUAAUUCACUUAUAAUGUUAGGCUUCCCCUGACGUUUUAAAUCUUUUCAAUCUAGUGUAUUAUAAAGUCGUUAGUAAGGUGUUCAACACCACACACGAGAAUUUCUCAUAAGGAACUCAACGUCAACCUAAAACACCACUUGAAAUAAACAUCAUUGACUCAUGUUUUCCGCCUAUAUAAAACACCACAGUUCACAAGCUCUUGUUUAGAUCAAAGACCAAGAAAAUAACGAAAUCACUUGAAAACUUGAACAUGAAAUUAUACUAAUUUGAAUCCUAGUUAUAAGAAGAUCUUUAUAUUAAUCAAAGAUUCAAACUCUAAUAAUCUUUCCAAAUUUGAAUUUGAUGUCCAAUUGAUCCACAAAGUUUGAGAAAGAAAAGAAGAAAGAGUAUAAUCACUCUAAUAUCUAAAGUUUAGAAAAUAAUUUCAAAUAUUCGUUAAGUUGUUAGUUCAAAGAUGAUUUUGUCAAUAAAAUUUGGUGAGGUAUAUAGGUGUAAUGUAUUUAAUUAUUUUAUAAUAGACUUUAUGAAUUAUAAUUUAACACGUAUGUUAUUUAUAAUAUAUAUAUUUGAUUACAAGUCAUUAGAAAUUAGAAGGUGGAGAAAGCAAUUUCAUUUUUUCAAGUCAUCUUUUUAGUUCUUAUUAAUUAGAAAUUAAAAGAGUAUAUAUAAUAAUAAAUAAAUAAGGACAGCUUUCAAUAUUAAAAAAAAAUGAAUAAAUAAAUAAAAGAAAAGUCGAGAAUGCCACGUGGCUGAAGAAAAGGCAAUAAAAGAAUGUGGGGCCAUCAAUUAUAAGGUCCACGUGGUAUCGUUAAUUUGAUCCAAUCCAUUUCUUUAUUUAUAUAUUUAACAGAAAAAUCCUAUCUGUCUUUCAGUACGCUGCUUCGAAUAUUUCGCUCUUCUUCUUCUUCUUCUUCUUCUUCUUCUUCUUCGUCGGAGAUGGUGAAACCCAACCACUUGAAAAUGGUGACGGAUUCUGACGCUGCCGAUCUCAUUUCCUCUGAUCUCCGGGAACUCGGUAACGCUGCUAGAAAGCUUGCUACACACGCUGUUAAGCUCGGUGCUUCGGGUUUUACUGCUUCUUUUCUCCAAUGGAUUGCUUCCUUUGCUGCUAUGUAUGUUCCCCCCCUCUCUCUCUCUUUUCUGUUUGUUUGAUUUCUGAAUUUUUUUUAUGUUGUUUGUUUGUGGUUCUUCGCUGCUGAUCGGUUAUUUUAGUAGUUUUUUUUUUGCUGUGAGAAAGCUAAUUGGUGAUUUUGAUUCGAGGAAUUGAGUGUUUUUCAAUUGAUUUCUACUUGAUUUUAGUAAUUUGUUUGUUGAUUUAUGUGAUGAAGUGGUUAAGGAGUAUGACUAUGAUUUAGUUAGGGAAAUGAUUCGUGUUACAUUAAGAUAUGUGCUUCUGAGUGUUCUUUUUCGUGUUCCUUAUAUUAAUCUACUUUUAGGUUUUCAUAGAUCGUCUUAAUUUCACUUCGAUUCUUUUUAACUGCAGUUACUUGUUGAUUUUGGAUCGGACGAACUGGAAGACGAAUAUCCUUACUUCAUUGUUGAUUCCGUACAUUUUCUUUAGUCUUCCCGGUGUGAUCUUCGGUUUUUUCAGGUGAUCAUCUCCACUCCAAGCAAUUGCCUUCAAUUGAAGCUUCUGGAUUUGCGUUUUUUUUUUUCUCUUUUUUUUUUUUUUGGCUAAAUUGCUCUCUCUUUGCAGGGGAGAGUUUGGAAAAUGGGUUGCCGUCAUUGCUGUUGUGCUCCGUCUCUUCUUCCCGCGACGAUUUCCAGGUACAUUAGCCUCGACUUGAUUAAUGAUUACACAUUUAUUGAAUUCAUUUUUGGUUAAUAAUAAGUACAGAUUGUGCUAGCUGAUAAGUAUGUUGAUAUAGAUUUAGAGCCAUUAGUCGUUCUGAUCUUCAUUUAGAGAUUUUUGGAUGACUACCGCAAUUACUAGUUUUGAACUUUUGCUUUCUUCCCUUUUAGAUUAACUUUCUAAUUUAUGAACUGCUUGCUUUUGUUUUCUAAUUUGUUCCUUUACUUUUUUAAAAGUAUUUUUUGAAAUCUUAACUAAAUUUGAAAAGAAAUUUUCAGUGGUUUUCUGAAAACUAUGAGUUGCUUAAUUUUAUUUCAGAAACUGUUUGGUAGGAUGAUGUUUAUUUUGUUUUGAAAAAGAUGUUCUUCCUUCCUAUCACACAUGUUCUUGAUUUUUAAACAAUAUGUAAACAGGGAAGCUGUUUUUGAACAUGAUUUUGAAAGACCCAUCUCAUCUAUUUUCAAACUCUUUAAGCAUUGAUGUAAACAAACAAUUCACAAACAAAAACCCAUUAUCAAACCUCUUUGACAUCUUUGAGGUUAUGAAGUUUGACAGGAAGAACUUUAUAGUAAUCAAAAGAUCCAAAACUUUAGUUCAAAUAUAGGAAGUACCUUUAGGCAUUUAGUAUAUCUUCAAAACUUAUUUUCACAUUUGUAUUCCCAGCCCCAAGAUAAUUUGAUUCACCAAAGUUAAAAGGAACAAAUUACAUGUCAAACCUCAUUCAUAAUUAUUCACACUCCAAUCUUACAAGUAAAAGGGAUAUACGUUAGAUUUCAUCUUUAGGAUAUAGAUUUGAGAUUCGAGUUUUGUUUCAAUUUGAUAAUUGACCCUAAUUUUUUAAUUUUCCAUCUUGAAUGUUAAUCUUCAUUAAUUAAUUUCAGAGAAAUGUAAUUAAUUAACACUCAUUAUUAAGUAAUUUAAAAAUGUAAAUAUUAGGGACCAAAUUGGAACUAAACUCAAAACUUAACUAAACUAAGUAAUUAUAAAACAUUACGAAACUCAAAACUUAACUAAACUAAGUAAUUAUAAAACAUUACGAAAUUAGGGACGAAAAUAGUUUUUUUACUUAAAAGUUCAAGUUAAUAAUAGUAAUUUCACAUCACAUAAUUAAGUUACAAUCUAUUAUCCUGUGGAAGUAUAAUUAUUGCAUUCCAUGCUCUGAUUGUGUGGUAAUACAGAUUGGCUUGAAUUGCCUGGAGCUUUGAUACUUCUCAUUGUGGUGGCUCCAAGUUUGUUUGCCAAGACCAUAAGAAACGAUCCCAUCGGAGAAGCAAUCUGUUUGAUCAUAUCAUGCUAUUUACUGCAAGAACACAUCAGAGCCUCUGGUGGAUUCAGAAACUCAUUCACAAAAGCGAAUGGCAUCUCGAACACCAUCGGCAUCAUCCUUCUCUUCGUUUUCCCUGUCUGGGCACUGGUACUCCGUGUUCUUUGAUUGGUUUUUUCUUUUAUUUUCAAAAUGCAAUUAUGCAUUAUUGAUCUUUGCAUUUGUUUGGGAAUGUGGGCUUGUGAGAAUUGUGUUUACCUUUUUUUCUCUUCAAAUUGGGUGUUUGAUUGUCUGAAUGUAGGGGCUGUAUCAGUGUAAAGUUAGAUGAGGAGUUUCUCUCACAAAAGAUUUGUGUAUCAUUUCUUUGAGGGACAAAAUGUGAGAUAAUAUAGAUGUUAUUGUGCUACAAACAGACUUUAUUGCAAAUUAAUAAUAAUAAAUAAUAAAUCUAAAAUUUAAUAAUUAUUAUUAUUAAAAUAUAAUUUGUGGAUUACACAGAUAAUGUAAACUAGAGCAAUGGUUUUACGGUUGUAGAGAUGUUGAAUUUGAAAUUUUGAAAUUUUGAUGUGUAAACAUAUAUCUUAUUAAAAAAGGGUAUAAUUAAAGUGCAGAUUUGGCCCAUCUAUUUAUUUUAUAUAUAAUCUCUCUAUUUAUCAUAUUGUAAAAGAAUAAUGAUUAAUUUUUUUAUAAUAAAAGCAUUGAUGAGUUAUAGCCAAAGUUUUUACCUUUCUUAUGAAAAGAAAUUUAUAUAAGCCUAUUAUUGUCACACCUUAAUAGAAAUGGAUAAAAGUCUAUUAAAAAAAUGUAUAAAACUCUAUUAAAAAAAGGUAAAACUUUUGAAUAAAAAUCUAUUAAAUAAAGGUAAAACUAAUCUUUUAAUAAAGUAGUCUAUAAAAUUGAUAGGAUGUAUCAUUAAUACUAUAAUGGAUAGAAUUAUUGAUUUCUAUUUUUUCUUUUUUAGUUUUAACAUUUUUCGGGUGGAUGAAUAUUUGUCUGAGGAAAAAAAAGAAGAAGAUAUUGAUAUAUAGAUUGAUUGAUAGAGAUGGGCUAAUUUAAGACCACUUGUCUUUGUUGGUGGAUAGCACUCAAGUCAAGGGAAUGUGCCUAUCUAUGUGCUUUAAUUGGGUUAUAGUUGCUACCAAAACAACUUUCUCAACCCAAACUUGAACAACUCUAAGUCACUAUCAAAGUCAAAGAGAAAUAUUCUUAGGAUGUAGUGUAGGAUAUUCGAUUGGAUCUAUGGAGUCCUCCACAUUUCACCCCACACUCAUUUGUGUAGAGGGUGAGGUCGUCUUUUUCUUCACUUCACUGUUCUUCACUAUUCAUUUCUACAAAAUUCUCUAUUUAAUUCUACACGAAAUUGUGGUGGAGAUUCCAUGAAUUGAAAUCUCCGUCAGAAUUUUUUUUCUCGUACUUAAAAAGAAAGUAAUUAACUUAAUAACAAUUAUUGAAAUGAUUGUUUUUAAAUGUAGCAAAAUAGACUAAUAUAUAUAUAAUAUACCAAAUAUUAGUGCCUUUCUAGCGAUAGACAAUUAUAGACAAUAUCGAUCAUUACUUAUCAUUGAUAUACAAUGACAUUUUGCUAUAUUAAAAAUUAUUUUCGGUAAUUUUGUCGUUUAAAAUAAUUAUCCUUACAGAGAAAUUUUAAUCAUAAAGAACUUUUAAAAGUUCACGAACUCAAUUAAUUGUUACUAGAAUGUCAUUGCAACUAGUCUAAUGCUUUAUGAGUAGUUUUACGAUUUCUCUCUUUUUUUAACGAGUUGCAAUUGACAAUUACAAGAAAGCACUAGUUUUGAGAAAUUAAUUUAAAAAAUGUCGAACAGUUUAAUCACCUUUAAACUUCCUAAGAUUUUUGUUACUGCUAUGUGUGUGUGAAAAGUUCAGAUUUAAAGUCACACUUUGACAACUCCAAUAGUAAGUAAUAAAGCUUAUUGUCUGCCAAAUAUAUGUGUUCUUCCACAAAAACAAACACAAAAAUUGACAAAAUCACCACCACUCACUAUUUGCAUCAUAAUAUUCUCUCUUAUUAGAAUUUCAAAAGAAGCUAUAAUAUAAAUUAAAGGAUGGCUUCUUCUAAUAUUUUGUACAACACUAUUUUAAUAUGUAAUAUUAGCUAUUGAAGUUUUCAUUUCUUUGCGUUCUUUGCCUCUUCAUAUAGUUCAUCGAUUUGCUCCUGUAAAUGAAAUGAAACAGAAUAAACUCUCACAUUGCACAUCACUACAUACACUGCCAUCAUACAAUGAGAUAUAUCAGAAGUUGUAUAUAGAUUUUGGACUGCAGUUCAAGGUGAGGUUAACUAUUGUUUGCGAACCCACUUUUUCAGUAGCAUUUUCGAUAAAGAAAAUGUUUUUCAAAGAAUUUUGUGGUGCUUCAUGUCAUAAGACAGGGGAGUAGAUCCACACACGAUCUUUCAUCCAAUCCAAUCCAACUUGAAUUUUAUUAUUAAUUGUUUCUUAUUAAAUUAAAAUAUUUAAAUUUAUAUUUAUAUAACACAGUCUCUAAGACCUCGUUUGGUGAACAUUGUGUUUUUUGUUUUGUUUUUUAAAAUUGAGUUUAUAAACACUACUUCUCCCUACAUUUUCUUUCUUUGCUAUCUACAUUCUACUUAUAAUUUUAAAAACUAAUCCAAAUCUUGAAAGUUAAAAAUAGUAACUUUCAAAAAGUUGUUUUUGGAAUUUGAAAUUUGACUAAGAAUUCAACCAUUGUAAUUAAGCAAAAUGCAAAAUAUUGUAGGACAUAUGAUAGAAAUAGACUUAAUUUUCAAAAGUAAAAAACGAAACAAAAUGAUUACCAAAUAAGACCUAAAUUUUCAUAAAAUAAACAAAUUUUAAACAUCAAAUAUCUCUAUUAUCUAUUACAAAUUUUAAACUAAAACAUCCAUGGAAGAAAAACAUUAAAAUUCCACGAAUUCUAACACUUUAACAAAAUAUGUUAUAUGUUUACUUUUUUUUUUUAGUAUAUAAGUAAUUCAGGUUAGGUUGGAGUUGGACCAACUCAACAAAAAAAUUGAUUAAAUCCAAGACCCAACCUAUUCCAACCAAAAUAAAAAGAAUUACGAAUGGGUUUGGAUAUUCUAAGGCUAAGAAGAAUGGACAUUUCAUAUUAGAGGUCGUAUGGUAUCGAACACUUGGGGGACAUGGAUUCAUCUAGAAAUGUUUGGACAUGUGUCUUAUACACAAAAUUCCGUGUUUUUUUAGAAAAAAAAUUAGACACGUCCAAACACACCCAAUUGUAGUUUUUAGCCAAGAAGGAUCGUUGCAGGGAAAAAGAGAAUUUUCAUAUGGAGGAAGGUUUUUGCUUCAAUAUAAUCGUGUUAGGAACUAAGGUAGUAUGGAAUGCUUUCUUCCCACGUUAAUUAGAAUGGGAUGACGAAUGUAGUAAUUAAGUGGCUUGGCUGGUGUGGUUCUCGAAGUACUUAAAAAUACCCACCAAAUCGCACAUACACGGGUGAAUUCUUCUUCAAUAAUUUAUUCCUAUCAAAUCACAGCCAAUUGGGAAGCAUGCACAUCCUUUUCUUACGUUGGGUGCGUAGAGAAAGAGAAGGGAAACCAAAAUGGAAUGCAAAAAAAUGUCUUUCAUGGUAUGGGUACCUUUUUGAAACACAGCCCUAAUGGCCAAAAAUAAACGUUAACAGGCAGUACACUGAGUUUAGCACUCAAAAAAUAAAGAAGCUCCCAGUAAAAGAGAACAGCAGAAAUGCUGAAGGAACGAAUUUGGAAGUGGGAAAAGUGUACCUUGUAGUAUUUAAGCAGUUGUGGUCUCUUCAACUUAAAUGUUGGAGUUAUCAAAUCCCUCUCCAUGUCAAAGGGAUAUGGUUCCAAAUGAAUUGCUUUUAAUAGCUCAAAUCCUCGAAGCUGCCAAAUAUUUUACCAGAUUAGAUAAAGAAGUAUCUGUAAACAAUAAGAUCCCAACCGAAGUUAAGUAUCUAAAAGAUACUUACAUGGUGCUUUUGACCAUUACUAUUGAGCUCAUCCAAAAUAUACUUCCUUGCUUUGAGGUUCUCACAUAAAGAUUUAAAGUCACCAGUCAUAUUAUGGUUUUGUGCCCAAUCCUCCAAGGCCUUUUGAUCGGGAACCGCCACACCCACAAGAAAUGACUCAAAACUGUUUCCAUAGACCCAAAUCUGUACACCACAGGAAUUGUUUUUUUGCCAUGAGUAAAGGAAAGAUAAAAAUUAAAAUUUUAAAAGUGCACGUACUUCCAAUAUAUAUGAGCAAAAGAAAUGUGACCAUUAGAGAAAGUAUCCAAAUAAAUAAAACUGUCAUCUAAUGUAUCUGAGUUAUGCAAGAAUCAAUUUCUCCUACCGAGGUAAUCAAAGAGCAUUGCAAGAAUAUGUUUUCAAUGUUCUCCACUGCAACAUACUCCCCCUGUGACAGCUUAAAUAUAUUCUUUUUCCGAUCAAUUAUUUUCAUCGAUCCAUCAGGCUGCCAUUCACCGAUGUCCCCUGUAAUGUGUAUACAUGUCAUUUUCUAGUAAAUAGCUAAUCGCAUUUAUAAAACAAAUGUUAAAAUGAUAAGAGUAAACCAUUGAAAUGUAUUUUAUAAUGGUGAAAACGUUAACCUUGAAAUAGGUAACAAGUUGCACACCUAGAGAAAAAUUUCUAGCCUUGCGACAUGAUUAAAUGUGAAUGACCUGGAUUUGCAUAGUGGCUACAUAUAAAAAGUAAACAAAACUUCAAAGGUUUGGGAUCAAAUGGACCGUCUCAAAUUAAGUAGAAAUUCUUUCGAAAGAUGCUAUACGGGAACAGAUGGAAUUAACCCAAAGGAGCUAUUCUGUUCUGGCAACCUUGUUAGUGGAUAGAGAGAGCUUAAAGGAGUUAAGCAAAGAAAGUUAAUAUUUUUGGUGUUCGCCAACCGAAACCUAGUGUUUCAUGUGUUCAUAAAUUCUAAAUUUUAUCAUUUUUCUAUUAUCUUCACUUUUUAAAAAAAGUUCAAAAAUGUUUAAACAAGCAUGAAGCACUACAAUCAGGUUGGCAGUUCAACAAUACUUUUCAAAACAAAUACCAAGCUUGCAUAAAUUUAAUUAAAACCCUCUCUCAAACAGAUGCAAGAUACUUGCAUUGAAGUGACAUAAUCAGUACGAAACACUUCUCUAAAAUAAAUGUGUUUAAACUGAACUUCCUGCUACAUUUGAAACUUAUUUGGCACCUUCAUUCAAUCAACCCAGUUAUGCUAAUUUUUUAUUUGAUGGUACAGAAAAUUGGAAGAAAUUAACUACUUUAAGGAUACAAUUUGCAUAGAUGAUUGCAAGAACAAAAUGGAUAUGAAAACGUAUAUGAAAAUGAGAGAAAUAGAGAAAAAGGAAAAAUUAUGUAGAGAAACUUCCUCCCUUUCGAUCCCAUCUAAUUAUAGUACAGAUUCUAGCAUGUAGUUUUACCUGUAUGAAACCAUCCGUCAAUAAGAACUUCGCCAGUUAGAUCUUGCCGUUUAUGGUAUCCAGAGAACAAGGUACUUCCCCUUAAGCAAAUCUCUCCACGGGGUGUGGUGGCCAGUGCAUCAUACCCCAUAUCAGGAACUGACUCUAGCCUUGCUUCAAUUGUAGUAACUGGAACUCCAACCGUUCCCAUCAUGGUGAAAACAUUGGCUAUGGAUGUAAAACAUCCACCACAACUUUCUGUAAGGCCUAAAAUUGUAAUACGAUACAAGCUCAUUAAAAGAAUUAUUAAUACAUUGUGUUCUUUUCAAAGUUUGAAAUUUUUGCUUCAAUUCCUCCCAAAAAGAGAUAAGAGAGUUUCUCCUUUUUCUUUCACUUAAUGAAAAUAGUCGCUUGUUAAGAAAAAAAUGCAGCUUCUUCAAGAAUGACAUUGCUCAAUGAUAACUAGCACUAAUUUUUUACCGGAGACAAAGACUUCAAUUAUAUUCAGGUGAAUCUACUCUGAUUAGGUAAAAACAAAAUAAAUAGCAUCUUGCAUACCAUAUCCUUGGCUUAGAGUUGCACAACUGGUAACCCUCAGGAACUCUUCCACAUGCCUAGGCAAAGGUGCAGCACCAGAUAAAAAAAGGCGAACUCUCCCACCAAAUGCUUCUUUUAUCUUUCAAAAUAUAACAGCACUUUAAUUAUGUAAAAGAAGCCUUACAUUUAAACGAACCAUACACAAGAUAAAUGACAAACCUUGUCAAAUACAAGCUUGUCCAAGAGAGGUGCUGCUUUUUCCUGGAGCAGACCCUUCUUCAGAUAUCCUAGCUUGCUAUUAGCACUCUGUUUGUAAGUUACACUAUAGGUGAUAAUACAGGUAAUUUAAACCAAUAUAAUAAGUACAGAAUUCAAACGUACUAAAUGUAUGCAUAAUCGAAUAACAUCUUCCGCAAACUGCCUCCAGAAGAAACUUUGUUCAGAAUACCUAUAACAAUAAAGGUUGUGGAAAUUACUUAAACCACGUAAUUUCAAAACAUUAAGUAGUAAUCAAAUUAUGUAGAUAAAACAAGAACAUGUAUUGUACCAGAAUAAAUACGAUCGUAAACUCUAGGAACUCCAGAAAAUAUUGUUGGCUUCAGUUCCUGAAUAUCAUCUAGUAAAAACCUGAUGUCCUGCAAAUUUACACAGAAACAACUACAUAAGUUCAAAACAUAAGGGCAUGAGGUCGUAAAAACAAGAACUUCAACUGAUCAAAAUUACCCCACGCCAAAACCCAAUAGAUGAACCCUUGUAGAUGCAAUAGGUCUCCAUUAUCUGAUCAUACACAUGAGCUAGUGGAAGAAAUGAGAAAUAUGAAUCUUCUUCUGUCGCCUGUAAUGUUACCAUCGUGUAAUUACUACAGUUGUCAUGCAAAAUAUGAGAAAAAUGUGAUAGAACAUUAAUCAAACUACAUCGGCACAUAGUCAUUUAAGAACUCCCACAAUUCCUUCAUCAGGUCAAAAUUUAUAGUUGGCUGCUUACCACUUUAUCUGUCAAUAAAAGUAGGUGCUCCACAGACAAGACUUCGGCCAUUACAGCUGUAUUAUUGAGGAUAACACCUUUUGGUUCCCCUGUGGUUCCACUUGUGUACAUUAUCGUGCAGAUAUCGGUUUUCUGUUUUGAAGGGAGUUCACAGUCCAAGCUUCCCUGGAGCAAAGUAAAAAGAAAAAAAAUAGAUAUGCUGCUAUGGUGCUAAUGAUAAGACAAUAAAUGGUUGAGAAAAAAACGUAUAGUACCAACUGACAGAACUCCUCCCAAGAAAAGCAAGACACUCCCAGUUCUUCAGCUUCCUUCUUAAGUACGCUCGAAACAUUGGUAAAACUGACAAUAGCUGUGAACCAAAAUGAUACACAAUGGUUAGAGUUACAAAUUACAAAACUCUAGAAAGAAAGUGUACUUCAAGUUCUAAACUAAUACAACAUACUUUUUAAUUGAUUUGAACACCUGGGAAGGCAUGAAAAAAUCUGCACAAUGAACAAAAUGGAGGGAACAUUUAGAAUUGGCCGUUAUACAUUUAUACUUCCCGCUGAAAAAAAUGGAGUUUUGUUCAAAAACCAAUUAUAUUUUUUAAAAAUUUCUGUAUCUCAUGCGCGGAAACAACAUACAUUUAAUAAAUAAUUUUUUUUAUUUUUAUAUCGUUUGCCACACCAGGCAAAAGAAAACAAACUAUGUGCAUAUUUUGGCACUUAGCACUCAAAUCCCAGGGCUCUCUAUUGUGCCUCCAUUUUCCAGUUUAAAAUACACUAACACCAAACAUAAAGUCCAUGGAACAACUUAAAUAAUUAGCAAUAUAAAAGGGGUAAGAAUGAUAAGGUUAGCAGCAUGGAGACGUACAGAAGCAAGUUUGUUUUCUUGAACAAAAGCAAUUGAAACUUCAGCGUGGUUAAUGAUGAACUCGACAGCAUUAGCACCUGUAACAGUUUGAUUGUCAAUACAGGAGCUCAAGCUACUAUUCUCUUAUUCUUAAAGUUCAAAAGAUGCCAGAAAGAAAAUGGAACCAUACCAAGCGUGUCAUACAGCGGCACAUAAGUGAUAGCUUGGCUAUUACAGGCCUGUAGGUAACAAAGGGUACAUCAAAUUCUCAAACAUCAGUGUUAAGAGCAGAGGAAAUGAGAGCACUAGCCUAUCAACUUAAACUUUCAGCAUGAUAUCAAAUUCAAAUUUUCCGUAAAUGUCAUAGAAAUAAUACUGUUCCCCCAUUUUAUAUUCAUAGUCUAAUGCUGUCCUGAUAUUUUAGCUAAGGCCCAACAGAAAAUAUAGAAAAAAAUAUUAAAAUAAUUUAGAAGCUCAACUUUUGAAUCAAAUGAUGGUUUUUACUUCAUGAGAGAGAACUUGAAAAGAAAUAACAUGAAAGGAGGGGAAAUGAGCCAACAGUCCAACAGAAUUGGCGGAUUUAGCCCACACAUUGGUCAUUGUCCCCCUAAAUCUCAACCUCAUAUACAUCGUCAAAAACACAAAAUUGCAUACCUCCAUCGAAAUUAUCCAUUCAGGGCAAUUGGAACCAUAUAUACCACAGCGAUCGCCCUAUAAAACCCAAAAAAGGAACCAGUAACAGCAGGAAAAAACAUAAUUCCACUAAGCAUAGUUCCAAUUUAGAACAAUAAUAGAAAAGUAAGAACUUCUAAACACAUCCACUUCACUGAACAACACUUGGACUUACAGAAUUAACCCCACGCUUUCUAAUUGCAGAUCCCAUCCUGAUUGCAGCAUCAUAUGCUUCUUGAUAUGUGAGCCAUACAUAGGAACCCGCCUGCAAAGUUCAAUAAAAAAAAAAAAAAAACAGUUCCAAUAACUCGAUUUCAGCUUUUAGAUUUGAUAUUUGAUUUUCAUCAAGACUCAGAGUUGGCUGGAAAUUGUUACCUUAGAGUCGCCGUUGGUUUGCCGACGACCGAGCAUUGGGUUGCCUGGAUUCCUCUUGACGGAAUCACUGCAAGACACAAAAUCAUAUUGUUGGGCGAUCAAAAAUUCAUAUCAUGGCUAGGAAAUGCGAUCACUUCCUCAAAUGGUGCGUUUGAUUUUAAUCAACUACAGAAUCCAAAUUUGUGUGCACUUAGCACUGAUACUGAUACUGAUACUAAUACUAAUAGUCACUCAUAAACAUUAACUACCCUCACCCUCUCUCUCUAUCUAUUGUUAAUAGAUAUAUAUUCCCACUAAUACAUCCAAGUCUACUAUCAUUUAUUCUCCUAAUACACAAUUAAAUUUUGUUAUAUUUAUAUUUAUCUUUUAAAAUUAUUAUUCUUCUAAUUCUUUUAAUUUGAUUAAUUAAUUAUUAAACAUCACAUUCAAGAUAUGGCUACAAUGUUUUAAAGUUUAGAAAUACAAAUUGAAAUAUAACUCAAAUCUUUUACCAUUUUGGAACUUUUAACACAAAAAUCUACCUUUUAAAUCUGCCAUCAAACUAAAUCUAAAUAAAAAAAACAAAACUAUAAUACUUAAUUAAGUCCAUGAAGGAAAAAAAAGGCCACAACAUGAAACUGUAAUUGUAGACUGAAUUGGAUGUAGUUACUUUUUCAUAUGAAAAUGUCCAAAGAAAAGAAAUGGGAAACCUGAAGAAUUGCCAUGGAGAUUGAAGUUCAUCAGGCAAUUGCAGAAGUCCAUCUUUGGCGUAGAUGCUCCGGUAGACUGGCCCUGCGGAUGGCCUUCCGCCGCUCUGGGGUGUGUCCGCUUCGACGACCACCGUGUACGAUGUCGACAUUGUGAUGAAGAAAGGCGCUGUGUGCUGCAAAAUUGAUGAAAUGGUUUUGAAGAGGUAGCAGUGACUUUAAUACAAUUUGAUCUUUUAAACACACAAGAGAUAUGGGGGUGUUGGGAAGGUUAUUGGUUGGUUGAGCUCAGCUAAAUGCAUUAAAUUCUCAGCAAUACUACACCACCUUUGUCCUCAUACCCUUCAUACUAUUUUCUACAAUCUCUUAUUAAUUUCAUAUCUUUCUUACUUUAAUUAAAUACUUUAUAAGUUACCUUUUACAUAUCAAUUAUUCCAACACUUCCUUUCUUUUUCAAUAUUUGAUAAAUUGAUCGUAGAUUUGGAAUUUGUAUCCAAUUGUUAGUAAAGAAGAGAUGUCCAUUGUAAACAAGGAAAAUAAAUAUAUAUUAUGUUUACUACAUAAAGUGAUAUUCUACCCCUUAUUGUAAGCACACACUUUUAGGUUACUAUACACUUUUAAGUUUAUUUGUUGCAAACUAAAACCAUCUACAAGGUUUUCCUUUUUUUAAAAGAGAAGUUGCAUUAUCCUUAGUUUAUGAGAGAGAUGGAUAGUUGGUCAUUCAUAACUAAUAAACAAAAUUCAUUUGAAAUCUCAUCACUCAAAAAUCAAAAUCAUAAACUUUCAAACACAUUAUAAAAAAAGGACAUAAAAGGCAAAUUGUCAACUUCAAGAUCUCUUUAACGUAUUAUAAAAAUAACUAAGGCCAAAUUGUAAAAAUUUGCCUUUAAAAUACGAUGGUAGUUGUAACUAUAUUUCUAAACUUUCACUGAUAAAAUUUAUCCAAAUUUUAAAAUCUUCCUCCUAAACUUAUGUAUCUGUCUUGAUUAUAUAAGUUUUAAAUAUUCAAAUUUUAUUACUGGUAAGUUGAGUUUUCCAGUAUUAUUAUAAACUUGACAGACUAGUUUGAAGCCUCUUAAAGAAGAGUUGAUAUUGGCUCCUAAUUGGAAAAGAAGAAAAAAGAAAAGGUGGAGUGGGUAAUAGAGUAAGUGUGACAUUAAAUAUAGGUAGAUAUGAUGGUAAAGCGUUGAAAAAUGGGAAUCCCCAAAACCAAUCCCAACUAAUAUAUAAUGUGCAUAUAUUAAUUAACUUCAUCCUUUCCAGCCUCCCCUUUAAUGAACCAUGCCAAACAAAUAUAAAUAUAUAUAUAUAUACACAUACAAAAUUUAAAGCACAUCUCAGUUUUUUUAUCUUCAUUAAAAAGAGACAAAGGUAAUGUUUUUUCAGUAAAGUUCUUUUUUUCUUCUAAACCAACUAAAAGCUUAUAAAGUAGAGGGUAAACAUAAGUUUACGUCCCAUUUAAUGACAACAAAUUUGCACUGCCAACUUUGGUGGCCGCCUCAUUUUCCAUCUAAUGCAAAACCUUGAGUUUUUUUUAGUUUGAUAAUUGAUACAUCUACUUCCUUUCUAUUCUAUUGUAGUAAGCCGUUUAUGUAAACUAAAAUUUUGUAAAUGUUGUCUAACAAGAGACACGAUGCUUUUUAAAACUACGAUACUUUUCUAAUAAGUCUUCAAAUGUUUAGAAAUUUGUAAUGUUUAGGAGAAGAAGAAACACCAUUUAUUUUUAAAUUAUUGAUCUAUUGUUCCAUCGAAUUUUUAAUCUUGCUUUUUAAUAUAGAAGCUAAAUCAUUAUAUAAAAAUCUUAUAAAUUGAAAAGUAUGGAGACUAAACCCUAAUACGUUCAAAUUCUAAAACCAAUAAAGUAUAUACAAGGUGUGAUUUAGUUUAUAUUUUUAAAUCUUUAGAAAAAUAACUAUUUUUAUCCUCUCUUUUUUUCUCUUGUAAGCCAUUGCUGUCAAAUUAUAAUAACAAAUAGUUGAUUUGAUUUUGAUUAUAUAUUAGGAGUAUUUAACAAUAAAAUAAGGAAGACACUUUUUAAUAGUCAAUUUACUAAAAUGGAUCUUAAUUGACCAAAAAUAAAAUAAGCCUAAAUGUAAGAACAAAAGUGAUUUUGUUUUCAAUUUCAACCCUUAAAUCUUUGGGAGGGCUUAGGGUUUUCUUUUUUUCUCACUAAACUAUAUUUUAAUUGAAGUAAAAAUUUAAACAAAAAUAUUAAAUGAUGUAAUUGAUCUAACAUAAAAUAUAUAUUUCCUUCCUUAAACUACUUGUGAAAGAUCAAACAAGUUAAUUAAUAUUCCUAAACUUUUUCGUUCUACACUACAUUGUUUUUUUAUCGAGACCGACAAGAUUUAAAUCUCUAUAAUCUAUAUUUACUUGAAGAAUUUGAAAACGAAAUAGUUUGAUGAGAAGUAUCUAAAAUGUUUUGAAAAUAUUAGUGGUUAUAAAUAAGUUUGAUAGUUCAAGUUAACAAAUUGGCGAUUCAUUUAACUUUAGUUUAACACGUUGUCAUUUUGACUAAAGACCGGAAAGUCUAAUCAAUUGCCUUGUAUAAGUUAGAGACUUAAUUGAUAUAUAAAAUUACAAAUCUAUGUUAUGUUUAUCCGAACGAAUCAUAAUUGAGUAAAAAUCUAAGAUUUUAAUUAGUAUUAUUAAUUUACCGUUUAUCAAUUUAAAAACGCAAUUUGUUUACGCUAUAGAUUUGUUUUAGUGGACUCGACGCGUAAGUAUUUAUUUUUGCAUUGUUUAUAUAAAUAUGUGUUUUAAUUAUAAUAUAUAGUAGUUUGAAAGGGAAGGGACUUUAUAUUGUUGGACAAUCAUUUUACUAGAAGUUAGGUGUUUUAUCCAAAGCAACAGUGAUUUUGGUCAAAGUUAAUUUGUCUUUCUCAACAAAAAAAAAAAAAAAUGGAAAAUUAACUUUUUUUUAAAGAAAAAAAAAAAAGCAAAAGCUACUAAAAUACAAAUCUAUAAAUAUUCUUUUUUCUAGACAAGGUAAAAUUGGACAAAAGGCCAAACUUUUUUCUCAUGAUCUCUCUCAUCAAUGUGAUUGUAAAUAACUAUACCCUAAAACAAAUAUUGGUAACAUCCAAACUCUUGUUUGAAACAUUCCUCUACUAUUCUUGAUAGAUCAUAUUCUAAAAAUACUACAUAUCGUGGUCUUUAACAAAAUGAUUAUUAAAAAUGUGAAUAGAGUUUCAUGUCUUCCAUAAAUUUACUGUUCGAUAUUAUAUAUUUAUAAAUCAUAAAAUAUAUUUUUUUAAAAUAAAAAUAAUUUACAUGAUAUACUUAAUUUUAAACUUUUGACUUUAAAUUAUAUUAAUUCCAAUUUUAUAUCUAGUAGUGUUGUAAAAUGUUGAAUGGAUCAAGUAUCUAUUGCGAAAAGACACAAACUGAAGGUUUAGUAAUUCACUGAACGCUUUUUAAAGUCUAUCAAUCAAAUAGACACAAAUCUAAACGUUUUUAAAAUAACAUUUAAAUAUGGAAUAAGUAUAAAUAAUAAACAAUACCAUACCAACAUUUUGUAUAACAUAAUGAAAAACAAUAGCAAACAAUAAAGUGAACAAUUAAAUGUUAUUGACCAUAACUCGUUAAUAAUUGACGUGCACAUCAAAUCCUCAUACCAAUUACUCAUUGUACUAAAAACAAUAAUAAUUAACCUCCAGUGAGCACGUCUAUUUUUCUUUAUUUUUGGUUUCUUUCUUUUUCUUUUUUUAUGUUUAUUUUUGGUUUCUUUCUUUUUCUUUUUUUAUGUUUAUUUUUGGUUUCUUUCUUUUUCUUUUUUUAUGUUUGAAAAUGUUACAAUUUUAUCUUAAGUUAUUUACGUUAAUUUUCUAUUAAUUAACUUAAAAUAAUGAUUAAAAUUAAAUUGAAUUUCAUUAAUUAUCUAUUGAAUUAAAAACAAUGGAACAAUCAAUAUAUAUCUACAUCAUCAUGAUUGUUUUAGUUUAUUAAAGAAAAAUAAAAGUGUAAAAUUAGAAAAGGUUAUAAACCAAAUAAAAAGUAAACUCAUUGUAUGAGAGAAGGAAUGAAAAUAAAAGUAAGAAUUAAGAAAUUGAUGGGUAGAAAAUGGAAGAUUAGAGGAUAUAAAAAGAGAUUUGAGAAAGAGAGGGAGAGGGAGAGGGGAAAACAACAAUAAAUUGGUAACAAUAAUGCAGCUACCAAAUAUUGAUGUAUAAUAAAUGAGGGAUCAUUAAUUAGUUUCACCUUAUAAUUUUAUAUUUAGUAACAAAUUUAAUGCUAGAUCUUCUUGCAUCACCCAACUGGCCCCUACCACAAUUAUUUUUCUAUAUUUUUCUUUUUUUUACUUUUCUUUUUUUUCAAAAAAAUUAUUGUUGUUGUUUUACAUUUACCACCCUUUGUUCUAAUAAAAAUAUUCAAAACUUUAUUUUUAAAAAAAUAAUUUUAGAUUGGUGUAUAUAUGUUUAUUGGGUCAAUUGGUUAGAACUCAAGGUAGGGUUAGGACUUCUACUUUGGGAUGUAGAUUUCCCUAAGGUCGCCUAGUGGUUUUUCUUCGACUUGAACUUGUCUACACGCUAUCGACCUUAAUUAGCCUCGGACAACCUUGAACAAGUCUUUUAAGUUUCAAAGUAUUAUAAGUUUCAAAAAAUUGUUAGGAUAUUGAUACAGAUUUGGUACACGAUCUUGUACCAAAUCUAUAAGAGAUCGUAUAUCAAAUAUAAAAGAUUUUGGUACCAAGAUCAUUUAGAAGAAUUGCAUGCAUGUGACCGAUUAAUCGCGUAUUAACCGUAACAUUUUUUGUAUUUUCAUUAUGGGCCUAUAGGUUUUUUCUGUUUUUGAAAUUAUUCUAUAAAAUGUAAAUAUUUUUACCGGUAUGUAUUUACAAAUAUAGAAAAAUGAUAAAAAAAUAUAUAUAUAUUUUAUCUAUAACGCCCGAGACUAGGAGGAAGACAUGAUUGAACCGAUAUACCAUCUAAAUGAAAGAGAUUAUGAGGACAUGAAAGUCAUGUUAAGAAAAAGAAUUAAAAGUUAAUACAUGUACCAACAAAGUGCACAUUUCUUUUCGGUGACUCGAUUAUAGGAACUCCAAAGUAAUUUUUCUAAGAUUACACCAUCUUGUUGUCAUUUUGUUAUAUUUAAAAAAUAAUUUUAGGAUUAUGUUAUUUAAAAUAAUUAGGAAGUAAAAUUUUAAAUUUGAUUUGUAAUAGUGAUGAAAAAUAGUUAAAGUUGAUAAGUUAGCUCUGAGUUAAUUGAUAAAUACUAAUACUAAAAACAAAGAUAGAGUAUUUAAGGAAAGAUUGAGAUUAUAAGGUAGACACCAAAUUAAAAUAAAACGCAAAUUUAAGAUGGUAACAUUUGGAAACUAAGAAUUAAAAAUAGAAACCAAGUACAAAAUUUAAACGCCAAACUUGUAAAUAAAGACUAAACCUAAAACUAAAAUUAAAAGGCCAAAAACAUAUUUUCUCCCCUCCCCCUAAAAUUAUAGAUCAUAUAGGGACAAUAUGGCUACUUAGUCCAUACAUUAAAAAUCAAAAUUAUACAUAAUAAAUUCAGUCAAACCCACUAAUAUCAACAACAACGUCCCUUUUUUUGACCAUCAUAAUUAGGUUUAUGUUAUAUCAUUCAAACUCAGUCAAAUUAAAUUAAUAAAGCAUUAACCCACACAUUCACUAAAACCUAAGUUUGAAACAUUUUUCAAAAUCCAUAAUAUUUCUCAAUUUUAGAAAGAGUUUUAACAUUUUAUUUCACAUCCAAUUCUGUAUCAAAUGAAUAUUCUAUUAGAAGAAAACAUAAAUUUUAGGAGUCUCCAUUGUAAAAAUAUAUUGUUUUUAUUUAUCAAUUCAUAUUUAUUCCUUGUAUUUUUAAUAUCUAUCAAUUGAAAUGAGAAUUAAAUUGAAAUCCCUUUAGAUACAAAAUUGUUCUUCUUCCAUCACGUGAAUGUGAACUAUGGAUGUUUACAUUUGUGUGUCAAUCUCUCCUUUUGUUGGAAGGUUAAGAGUCCUCAAAAUGUUAAAUGAGAGAUUUAGAGUUCCUCCAAUGAGUAUGAUUGUGACUGUCUACUAUCCAUUACUUUCCUUCCAUUUCUAAUCUUAUACUUGGAAAUUGGGUUUGCAAAAGUAGCCUCUAAGAAUUUGAAAUUGAAGGACCAAAAGUAAAUGGCAAGAGUAAAGAGGGACCAAUUAGCAAAAUAAAAAAAAAAAAGAGUGAAGAAGUAGAAAAAAAUGUUGCAUUAAAUUUGUUAGAGUAGGGAUUUAACCUCAUAUGAGCAGUGGUUCAUCGAUUAAAGUUUAAGAGAGAGAGAGAGAGAGAGAGAGAGCGAGAGAGAGGGAGAGAGAGUGUGUAUUCUCUCUCGUCAAUUUUUCAUUAAAUGCUUCUCCCCACCUCCCAUUAAUGACCUCUACAAAAUUUGCCAGACAUCUCUUCAUUAAAACCCCCCACCACCAUUCUCUCUCUCCACCACCACCGCCGCCGCUUCUCUCUCCUUCCCUCCUCCCUAUCUCCCACCCUCCAUUUCCCUCUCUCAUCAUAGCCGCACACGUGUCCUCGUUUUUUCAUUUCUUUUCCUCCUUUCUCCUCUCCUCUCAUCUUCUAUUGAAUCUCUCCGGUGAUAAUAACGCCUCGGGAUCUCCGCAUCUCAACCGGCUCGACGAAAACGCCGCUGCUCCUCCUCCGCCUGUUACUGACGAUCGGAGAAACAUUGGACUCGUCAUUGACUUACUCCGUCUCGAUGAACCUCCACCUACGCCGUUGGAGAAUCUCCAGCUUGAUUCCGAUAACGGAAAGAAUCCUCCUCUUCGUCUGAAGAACGGGGACUUCAUACCUCUGUAGUAUCGGAAUGAGAAUACUCUCGCUUUCGGUAGAGAUCCGAAUGGUGACGGCCGUUUGCUCCAGAAGCUUCCACGACGGUACCUCCAUGGAGACGUGGUUGCUGGUUCUAGAAUCAUUCUCUCCGACGCUAAGCUCCGUUCGAAUCCGAAUGAAUACGAUCGUUUCAACAAAAAAUCUCUUCCGUUCAUUUGAUCCUCCACUGAAUUACUAUUUCGUGGCUCAUCAAUACAAGGCGUGAUCUCUGAUUCCGUUGCGUGGUAAGAAUCUCGAUUAGGUAUAGGAGGACCUUCAGCUAACGGUUCCAAUAUGAUGCUUCGUAAGAUGGUAUCGUCUAAGCUUGGCCGGAUUCUAGCUGCCAUAACCGGCGUGAAUGGAGAUUCCGGCCUAAAAACCACCGCGCGACAGAGAGGACAGUUCGCGUGUGAUCUAAGCCAUACAUCAAUACAAUCAACAUGAAAGGCGUGCGAACAAAUCGGUAGCGUUCUAACGUAAUCAUCGUCUUCAAAUUCCAAAAGACAAACGGCGCACUCACGGUCACGGCUUUUGGCAGUGUAGACGGAAAGCGGAAUCGUUUUGAUUACAGAUUCGUCCAGACCGUACGGAGAGAAUACAUGGAAGGCAUCUGUAGUAGGUUCGAAGAAAGGCGAAUCGUAAGGGAGUGAAUCCAAGUCGCCGCCAGAGGAGGACGGGAUGUAAGAUCGGGCAGCAAGUCGACGACGGCGGCGCCACCUGCGCCAGCGACGGCGGUGGAGACGGAGGAGAUGGAGAAUGGGAGGGAUGAGAUGGCGAGAGAUUAGGCGAGAGUAAGUGACGAUGAGAAAGGCAGUAGCGAUGACGACAACCAUGGCUAUUAGAGGGGGACUGAAGUCGACUGGGAGCUUCGCCGGCUGUAAGGAUGAAGGAGGAGGGAAAUUGGCGGCGGCGGCGGAGGAGGAGGAGGAGGAGGAGGAGGUGGAAGGAGAAGGAGAGGGAGAGGGAGAAGGAGAAGGAGAAGGAGAAGGAGAAGGGGAGGUCGGCAUGGAGGUGGUGCAACGGCGGAGAGGGAGGGGGAGAGAGAGAGAUUUGUAUGAAGAGAGAAGAAGGGUUUAAUGGAAGAAGAAGAGAAGAGAGGUUUGACUCUUUGUUAGGUCCUCCAUGCGAUUUGUCGACGAGGACAUUGGAUGAAUGACACGUCACUAUUCACAAAUUUAAAGCCCCUUCUUGAGUUUUCAUCUUGUGCGGUGCGGACUAUGACAUUCCAAUUCUUCUAUAAAGUCUAUUGCCACCUCAGCAUCCGUGAGGCCCUACUCUUAUGUUUUUAAUAACAUAUAUACAUUAGUCAUUAACAUUAGAUAUAUAGUGUUUUACAUUUCCUUUAGUUUAUGAUGUAUGAAGUAGGAGAAUUGUGGUUUUAAUUUGCGAAAUGAAAUAGUAUGGGAUAAGAAAAGAAAAGAAAAGAAAAGAAGAUGAUUGGGAAAGGAGGGGGGGGGGUGUAAGUGAGGGAGAGAGGAAGAGAAAGUAAAAAAGUGGUGGCCCACAGAAGAGGGGAGCAGAGAUCUUCCAUGAAAUUUGAUGCCAAAAAGCAAAACCCAUUCAUACGUAAAACAAAACACCAUCCAUCCAAAUAUCUAUAAUAUAAAAUAUCCAAAUAUAUUAUUAAUAAUAAUAAUUGGAUUGGUGAGUUAAGAAAGAAAAAAGAAAAGACGAAGAAGAAGAUAAUAAAAUGGAUUUAUAAGAACCAAUGAUAAUGGAGAGACUAUGUUGAAAGGGCCAUGGUUUAAUUAGAGUUUGUGGAACAUAUCUACCUACAAAGUCAAAAAAAAUUUAUCAUUUCUUUUCUCUUUUUUCAAAAGCUGAUUUUGAUGUGAACCCUACCCUUUUUCUUUCUUUUUUUUUUUUUUUUUUCAUAUAAUGGAGCACUAAAAUUAUGUUGGACCCAAUCCAAUUCCCUAUCACUACAUAUCAUUGAAUAAUAGUUAGUACACACUAUGGAACAAUAACAUAUAUAUAUAUUUAAAACUUCGUUUAAAUCUACAAAUUAAACUUAACCAAACUCAAAUCUCAAAUCUCAAAUCUCAAGAAAAAAAGUUAUAAUAUUUUUGUUUUGAAAUUAUUUAUAACAUUAUUCAAAGGUUUUGCAUGACUAUGAGAAAGUAGAAUAAAACAUUUUUUCUUCAAUCUCUUUCCAUCAACCAAGUUUUAAUGAAUGUCUUUAUCAAGAAGCAGAGACAUGGCUUCAUUUCCAUCUGAGUUUAUAGUAAAAACAAUGCUAACUCUUUUGGCUUCUUUUCAUUGUGAAUACAAAUAAAUGAUUUUGUAGCUUUUGGUUUUUUCUAGAAAAAAGUAGAAAUGUUAGAGAAAAAAUUGGUAGAUAUAACUAAUGUUUAUAUUAAUAUUUAGUUGUUAAGUUUCAAAUUCUACAUUUUAAACCUUCAACUCACUAACUAUUUACUCUUUAUUUUGUUUAUAUUUCGUAAAUACUUUUAACAAUUCUGUCAAUAAUUUUUUUAUAUAAACAUAUUUGUAAUAACUAUAAAUAAUUAAGUUUUACUAUUUCUAUUACUAUUAAAAUUAAAACCAUAUGUAUAUGAGUUUGAUUUUAAAAUCUUGGAAGAGAUUGUUUGAAUCACUAAAAUUUGUUUCAUACUAAAUAUUUGGAAUUUGAAUUCGUGAGACAAUUAAUGUUUGUAUUUAAUUUAGGUAUCAAUUAAUUUUUGGAUGUUAUAAUAUAUUCGUUUGAUUUAUCAAUUUUACAUAUAUUUAAUUUUAAAAUAAGUAAUUAAUUCCACGUGGAGAACAUUUAAUGCAGUCUUAAAAAAUUAGAGUUAUUUAAUACAUUGUUGUAUUAUAUUACGUUACCCUUAGAAUAAAAAUAAUUGAGUAUCUUCAUAUUGAACAAUUCAUUUACUCAAAGGAAUUUAUUAAAUAUAAUAUUAACCAUUAACAAUAACUUUUUUAUUAGAUAGUUAAGGAUGACGUGUUAGUUGAUGCAUAUUGAGUUUGAAUAAUACAUAAAUAUUUAAUAAACAAAACUAUUAUAAAUGACAUACAAAAUAUUUAUACAAUACGAAAUUUUAGAUAUAUUAAUGAUAGAAAAUGAUAUGUAACAAUCAUUUUGAUAAACACUCCACUUAAAUUGCUUCUAGGCUUAGGAAAAAUGGUGCAUUCGAGUCUGUGUUAUGAGGUUCCAAACCUUGCUUUGUCUAUGAGUAAUAGUUUUAAAAUUUUACUAAUUCUUUAAAAUAUGUUAUGACUCAAUUUACUAGAUUUAAAAAUGCUCAUGUUAAUAAUUAAUUAAAUUAAUAGUAAUGAUUAAUUGAUAAUAGUAUAUUAGUGUUGGAUAUUCGGUAUAAAUAUCUAACUAAUUGUAUGAUGGUAUUAAAAACCAUGUCAAAGAGGUUUUGAAAAUUUUCUAAUAUUAGAUUCUAUGUAACAAACCAAGAUAUUAAAUAGAUAUUAAAUACAUAUUUAAAAUUUCAUGACAAAACCAUCCAAACAAUUUUGUUAAAAAGGUUUCGCAUAUAGUUGAAUGAGGGUUUAAACUUGGAUUCACCUAUAAAGAUGAAAGUUUUUGGACCAAUCAAUGAUUUGAGAUGGUAUUAGAGUGGUUACCCUAAUUUAGCUAUGUCAGCAAAAAUUCUUCAGGUGUCAAACAAAGAUAUAGUAUAACCUUGAAAUUAUGUCAUAUCAUGAUUUGUGGUUGAACUCUAUGAGAUAUGUGGUGUGUUUGAUCGGGUGAAUACAAGAGCUAAACAAAUGCAUGACUAUUUGAGGGAAGAUUCAAUGGUACUUUGUUCGAGGGGAGGAUUGAUAAAAGUGUGACCAAAAAGUUUCAUGUCGAUUAGAUAUAAGGGUACGAUCAUGAAUAUACAAUUGACAACCAACUAUUUUCACAAAAAUAAAGUUUUUUAAAAUGAAGCCACAAGCAAAAGUAAAAGUAUUUAAUAUUAUAUCAUUUAAACACAUAUAACAUAGUACAAUUAAUCAUUUAUGUUUGCAUCAACCAAUGUCUUUGUUUUUUUAAAAAAAACUAGAGAUAUGGCUUCAUUUCCAAACAAUAAUAAUAGUGCUAAGAGAGAAACCGACAAGUAUAUGUGAUCUAACGGUCGAUUAUCAUUUUAGAGAUAAAGUUUUAUAUUUAAAUAUAAUUUAAAAUUUAAAAUUAUGAAUUCACAUAUAUUCUGAAGCUAAAAAAUGAUGAAAAUAGUUAAAUUUUGUAAAAAGUCACAUAGUUGACUUUUCAGUCUUUAAAGAGUCAAACUUUGACCAACUUUAUAUUCAAAUGUGAUUUAAAUUUUGAAAAAAUAAAUGAAGAUUCAUACUUAAAUUAGUCAAGACGAACAAAGUGGAAAAAUGUCAAAAUGUUAACUUCUCACUUUCACUUGAUUGAAGAAAUGACCAUUUUGCCAUUUAACUUAAGUUAGUGGAAAAAUCUAACAUAUUGUUGGAUAAUCUCACUUAGUUUUAGUGGGAUAAGUGGCUACAUGAGAUGUAAACACCUAAUCUACUAAAUUAAUGGAGUGUGAGGUGUUGGAUUUUGGUGAAUUUACACAUGCAAUGUCUUUUGUCUAUUUAAAGGAUAGUUUUUCAAAAUAUGAAAAACUUUUUGGUGUUUUUUAGAUUGUCUUUAAAAUUAAAAAGUGGAAAACUCAUCUAAAUUCUCCCGACCCUAAUCCAAUUUCCAUCUCUCUCUUUGAAAUCCUUCACUUGUCGAGUGUUAAAUCCGAUUUUAAGUCUGAAAAAUAGUAGAUCAACACUAGUGGUGGUCAAGUUUGAAAUUGAGUGAAGAUCUCAGGCGAACAAGAGCUUCAAAGGUGAGUUCCAUUUACCCUAAUUCAUUUUAAUUAGAGUGAUAAUGCAUGUUAAUUUCAAAUAUAAUUAGAUGCAAUUGGGGUAAAAUUCGAUCAUGUUUUUUUUGUUGCACAUGUCUCUUUUUCCAUUUGUACAUGGUGUUAGUUAAAAGCCUAUUCAAAUAAUUUAGUUUUACUAUGAAUAAAAAUAAGGUUUAAAUCUUAUUUUGGUCUCUAAACUUUGUAUUUUGUUCUAUUUUGUUCAUAAACAUUACUUUUACAUAUUCAUUUCAUGUCUUUAGGAUCAUUCUCAUUCAAAUGUGAUAUCGAUUUAUUUAUGUCUCCUCCUUAAUCUCGGACAUUAUAAUUUUGUUAACUCUACCAAAAUGAUGAUGUGACUUUUAUAUUUUGAUGAUUAGACUUCAUAUUCAUCAUAUUAAUUAAAUUGAUAAAUGACCAAAAAAAUCUUGCUAAUUUAUCAUAUAAAUCUUUUAUCCCAAAACAAAAAUAUAUCAACACCCUUAAAUAAAACUAAUUUUCCUCUAAAAAAACCCAAAUUUCUCACCUUCCCUCUAACUUUCAAACCCUUUGUUCAUUUAUUUACUUUUUCAAAUUGAAAUCUUAAACAAAAUCAUAAUAACAUUGAGUAUAAUAAUAAAAAAAAAGAUUGACAUAUUGACGUUAACAUUCAUAUUAAAAUAAACAAAAAAAAUACAAAAGAUGUAUAAAAUAAAUUCUACAAAAUUGUAAAUAAAUAUAUCCACAACCAAUUACAAUAUCAAAAAAAAAAAAAAAAAAAACCCCUCAAUAAAUCACGGAACAUCCCAUACUUAACACACUAUAAAACUUGUAGGUGGGUAAAAUUGCAUCUAGCAUAUGAGUUAAGAAAAUAAGGUAAGUGAAGUAGAAUACUAAUGGACCAAUAGAACGAUAAUCAAAAUUAAGAAAUAUAGCGUUUAGUUAAAAAUUAAAAGAAAUUUUUUAAAAAUAGUAGAUUUUAUAAAAGAUUUACGAUCUAUAACAAAUUUUAUCACUGAUAGUCAUUGAUGUGCUAUAAUGAUAGAAGACUGUGAGCGAUAGAAUCCAAACUUUUACUAAAUAUUUUAAUUUAUUCAAUUAUUUUUAAAAAUGUUUCAAAAUUAAAAUCCUACUUGUAAUUGUGAUUAUGUUAGUAGGCAGUUUAGUGAUACAAAUAUAGUAAACACUAACGGUGAAAAGAAUACCGAAGAUUUAGUAUUCAAUUGUAGGGUUGGGCUUUAAAGGCUUAAACCCACGCCAUAAGAAAUAGAAAAACCCCAAAUCCGAUUCUAGGGUUUUAUCGUCCUCUUUCGGUCAUUCCGAUCCAGACAAUUCCAAACCAAAAAAAUGUUUCCAGGGAUGUUUAUGCGUAAGCCUGAUAAGGCUGCUGCUCUCAAGCAGCUCCGAUCUCACGUCGCUAUGUUCGGCGUUUGGGUUGCUGUAAUUCGAGUUACUCCCUAUGUUCUUCACUACCUCUCCGACGAGAAAGAAGAACUCAAGCUCGACUUUUAGGUCAUUCCCUAAGGUAUUUCAAUUCCAUCCUCUCAUUAUCCUUCUGGGGUUUUGAAUUUUUAGUGUUUUUGAGAAAUUAUAUGAUCUCAUCCCUUGGGAUUCUGUUUUGAUUAUUACUUGAAAUUUAGGGUUGGAUUCACUCUCUGCUUCUAUCUUGAAUUUUCAGUUGUUUAUACUGCCGAGAUUCGGUUGAUUUUGUUAAAUUAGCCUGCUUGGAAGCUUCUGUGGGACGGAAUUCAUUUGUUCUCAGUUAACUGCAGUGUUUUAUUCUUUCCUUGGCUAUGUAUAUUGACGACUGGGGUAGGCUUUUGUAUUAAGGACUUGGGAGAGACCUUAAUAAGUGAUAUGUCAACUACCAAGCAUUGGUCAUGCUUGGUAGUUGGUUCUGCUAAUUGCCAUAUUGGUCGGAAUAUGACAACAAACUGGAUUUGUCUCUGGCACAUGUUUGAGAGUGAUUUUAAAAUGCUUUAAAUUGAGGGAUUGAAGAUGUGCUUUUGAAGUUGUUUUGAGUAGGACGAAAGUAAUUUUAAUAAUUGCAAAGCAACUCCCAAACAUGCACAUGCACUUGCACUCAUCCGAAAUGCUUUUCAAAGGGUCAUCUCCUGUAACCUUGAGCCGUUAGUCGAUACUCUAUUACCCUAUAUCAACAUACAAUUUUCUAGAUAUUCUGAUGAAAGUAGAGACUGAGGAAGAUUCCACGCUUGAUUAUUGUUCGGUGCACUAGAAGUUGUCCGAUAAAAUGCUUAUAUCAUAAACGUGACAAAUUUUAUACGGGUAUGCAAGGGAAUCUGAGAUUGCACGGCCUUCCUUCUUAGGACUUAGAAGGGUCUCCUGACUACGAUGGGGUGAGAGCUGGGGAAUUUAACAUCUUUUUAGCUUGUAGGUUUGCUGCUUGAAAAUGAAAUGAAAAUAUACAGAAUUGAUGUCGUCUUCUGAUUAAUAGGAAAUAUAACCAUCUCUUUACUUCCUUUUUAUGGAAACCUCUUUACUUCCUUCCAGUGUGAUUUAUAUCAGGUUUACAUGGUUAAGUUACAAAUUUGGUCUCUAUGAUUAGGAGAAAGUUAAAUUUAGUCCCUAUGGGUUUGAAAGUUAAAAUUUCAUUUCUUCCUUAUGGUUUGAUGAAACCUUACACAUAAUCCUUAUGUGUUGAUAAAAUAUAAGGGAUGAAUGGUAAGUUUUAAACCAUAGGGACUAAAUUCUGACUUUCUCUAAACUAUUUGUAUUGCUGGUAUAUAUCUCACUAUUUGCUGACUAUGACUCGAGGUAGUUUUGUUAAUUUGCAUGAUGUUUAUGUAGCUCACUGUUUCCACUUUCCAGGAUGUCUGGUUAUUGACGACCUCAUUUGUGCUGCACGACCAUGUGUAUUUACAUUUGCAGAAAUUGAUAACUGUUAGCUCCUUCAUUUCUUAUGCAGUUUUUGACUCGAUCAUGCGGUGAGGUGAGGUGAGGUGAAGUGAAGACUUUCCAAAUUAAGCUCAUGGGAAAAGAAGGGAAGGAGACUUGUAAUCUUUUUCAUUAUUUUCCAUUUUUACCUUUUCUAUUGGAUAAUAAGCAAAUGGUUAUUAUAGUGUUUGAUGAGACGUGAAACCAUUCCAUUAAUUCUCUGGUUGGGUGUGGGGGCAGGCAAUGAAGGUUGCAUUUUAGUUGGUAGAAUGUGUUAAUGUGAGAUGCAGAUGACACUGUCCUUUUAUGCAGCUACAGUUAUUUGGCCUUAAUUAUUAUUGUAACUUUAUUUAUUUUAUAUAUUAAAAUCCCAUUGAUAAUUAUAAUUAACUUCCCCCAACUAUAUGUGGUGAGAACAUAGAAAUACUUCAAUUAGCUCCAUAAGGCCACGUCUAACUAAAUGUGAUGUUGGAUUUAAAGGGUACAUUCUGGACCUUGAGAUUUACAGUAGGUUUCUAAAAGGGGGUCUUUUUGACUGCGAGCUAUUAAAAGUUAGUCCGAAAGGGUUUCUUUCACCCAAACAAACUUUGUCCUCAACGGUUGUACUUGGUGUCUAUUUGAUCUUGGAGUUUUCAAAUGUGACGUUGAAAGGGUUUUCUUCGCGAAAAUAAACUUUGUCCUUAACGGUUAUAUUUACUGUGUUUAUUUGAUCUUUGAGUUUUCAAAAGUGACAUUUUAUUCCCUUGAGUUUGAGAAAUGAUUUCUAAAUGUUUGAUGAUUGCCGAGUGUUGGUUAGUCGAUCAUUUGUUGAAGGUUAAGAAAUGAAAAAGAAAGAUGAAAUUUGGGGGAGGAGAAAUGAAAAAGAAGGGCAAAACGAAGGAAUAAAAACCAAUAAAUUUUCCAACUCAAUUAUUAAAACUGCCACCUCAAUUUUUCGUUUGGUCAACUAUGGAAAACCAUUUCUACUUGAUUUCUACUUGGACUUGGAUGUCCCUUUCCAAAUUUAUAAAGUUAAGUAGAGAUACUUAAUGCCCAAACUUUAGAGAUUAAACUAUGAACUACAUUUAUGUAAAUUUAAAAUUUUUACUUUUCUAAGCAUGCAUCAUUUAUAAUCACUCAUUUCAUUAAUUAGACAUGGGAAAAAAGUCGAACACGUGUAAAAGUUAAAUAUACACAUGUGAUUUUCAAAAGUAAUCUCAAUAAAAAAUAUAUACAAUAAUUUUCUAAAGAUAAAAGAAGGUAUCAAUUGAUACACUUAUGAAAAUUCAUAAUUUAAAAUAAUAUAAUUAUUAGUUAAUGAUUCAAAAUUGACAAUAACUCAAGAUAUAAAUAGAGAUUUCUUCUCUAUAUAACACUUCAAUUAUCUAAAAUAAAGAAGUCAAUUUGAAUAAAGGUUGUAGAUGUUACAACUUUUUGGUUAAUCAUAUAAAAAUUAAUUUAGUUUAAAAACCAAUUUUUAUUAACUAGUGUGAGUGAGUAUAUCUUCAAACAAGUUAAUAGUUUCUAUUUCUAUAAUCCAAAAUGUAAAUGAAAAUUGAGCAAGUGAAAGUGAAAGUCAAAUAAGAAGAAAUUAGAUUGAGAAGAGACAAUGAGUUGAGAGAGUUCUCAAAAACAUCAAUUUGUAUGACUACACAAAAGUCAUUAUUGUAGGGCAUAUGCCCUUAGGCCUCUAAAAACAAUUCAAAUGUCUUUUGUGAUUUAUUACUAUUAUAUUUGGGUGUGAAUAAACUCCUUUUGUGGGGUAUAUGACCUUAACUACUAAUAACUCAAAUGUGCAUUUGUAGGCCAUAUGAUGUCAUGAGUUCCCAAUAAUUCAAAGUGUCAUUGUAGGGUAGAUCUUACCCCUAAGUUUCUAAAAAUAAUUGAAGAUUGUAAUUGAAGGGGACAUCAUGUCCAUUGCUUCAAUUAAAUUUUCUUGGCAUCAUAUUGUUUGGCUUCACUUAACAUUUCAAAGAUUCUUAUUUUCCAUAAUAUAUGGACAAAGAAUGUCUUUAACACCAACAAGAAGAACAAAAAAAAGUGAAAACUUAUUUGGUUUUACUCUUGUAUUCACAAAUUUCUCUUGGAUUUACACAACCUUCACAAUUCCCUCAUUUUAAUAAUAAAAAAAAGAAUCUUCCACGGUACUUUACAAAUCUAGUUCAUAAACUUUAAAUUUUGCCUACUUGAUCCUUAAAUGUUAAAUUGUGUCUCACACACCCAUACAAUGUUGUUUCUCAAAUAGUCUAAUUUUAAAAGGUGUAUGAUAUGUCCUUAAAUUAACAUCAGUAUGAAAUCUGCUGAAAUUUAUGAAGACAAAUUUAUAGUGUGAACAAAGAGAAUAUGAUACUAUAGGAGUACUAGAAAAAUGUUCACUCGACACAUUGUCCUAGUGAUGCCAUCUGGGUUAAAGUUUCGAUGCAUGCAUAAUUCUUCUAUGUUUGAGAAUAAUACACAAAAGUUUGAAUUAGACCUUCACUCUCAAUUGCAAAAUGCUAUUAUAUUCCUCUUUUUACCACUCAACCACAAACAAGAGGCUCAAAAGUUAGACAUCAUCUACUGCAUAUCUUACUUAAGAUUAGAAGUAUCUAGUAAGUCGUCUUAAUCAAAUGAUAGGAACAAGAAGAAAACUUUUAGAAGGUAUAUGUAAAGAUACAAAUUGAAGACAUGUACAAGGAUAAGGACUAAACGUGUAAUUCAACGAGAGUAAAAAGGGAGGGAUCGUUUAAGUAGGGUAGCCAUGUACUUGCCUUGAUGAUGAGCAAGAUCAAGCUCAUUGGAAGAUGGAGGUCUUGAGCCAUCACCAGAGAAGACUCCAGCCCCAUAUGGAGAUCCUCCUCUUGUGGACUCCAAAUUACUCAUUUCACUCCCAAAAGUGUACCCUAUUGGAACAUACACCAUCCCAUGGUAUGCUAGAACAUUCACUGCUGUUAACCUACACAAACACACACCAUUCAUCCCAUGAUAUUGCAUCAGCUUAUUUACUCUCUCUAUAUAUAUCGACAGUUUCACAACUACUUGUAAACACAGUGUUGAGAGCUCAAUUCCGAUGGUUAUUUUAAAGUGUUGGAAUCAGUAUACAAAUAUGCAAAUUGCUACUAUAUCUUUGUCGAUGACAACUCUUACUUUAGUUUGUAGGAACAACUUAAUGUUUUAUUUUAUAAUUUUAUCUAUGAACUUUUAAAAGAUUGAACGAUGUUUUUAAAUUAAAAAUAUCCUCAAAUAGUCAAAGAUUUCGUAACAAACAAUUUGUUUUUUUCUUUUUAAAUUUUGAAAAUGAUGUUGAAUAAACAUAUUUAAAUUUCUUUAGGUCCAUUAGGAGAAAAACAACUCCUCGACUUUUCAAGGUUUAUUUAGGGAGGAUUCAAAUAUAACAAAAUUAAUCAAAAUAUUUAUAAAUAUAGUAAAAAUAUAUUGUCGAACACUAAUAAACAACUCUCAUUUAUUAUCGAUAGACAAUUUUAGACAUCUUUUAUAUCAUAUACCAUACAUUUUGUUAUAUUUGUAAAUAUUUUCAACAACUUCCUCCUUUAAAACAAUUAUCUUUUUACUUCUUUUUUAAAUUUAACUUAAAUUUAGCACAUUUAUUUUUUUAAAAGAAAAUAAAAAUAGAACCGUUUGAAAUAAAAUUUAGGUAUAUAAGUUAAUUUUCUCUUGAAAAAAUAAAAUAAUAUUUUAAAAAAUAAAAAAUAUUAAAAAUAUUAUAAGAUAUAAUAAAAUUUAUCAACUUUUAUAGCACACUUAAUUUUUAUUUUUUUUGAUAUAUUUUAUAAAUAAUUUCAUUUUUUAUUAUUUAUAACAAUUUUCUUUAUAGAUUUUUACCUUUUCUUUCUAAGAAAAAAAACAAGUUUGUUAAAAUAGUAUAUAUUGAUUAAAUUUAGUAACUAUACUUAUAGAUAUCUAAUUUUAGUCUCAAAAUUUUUAAAUUUGAUUCAUAUUUUACUAUUAAUUUAUAAUAACUUUUUGAGAAAACAUUUACCAAUUUUAGAAUACAUAAUUACAUUUUAUAUUAUUUUGUAAUGAAAAUUCUUAAUUGUUUUACCAAUUUUGAUUGAUUGAAAGUUUAAAUACUAAAAAUGACAAUUUAACUUAAUAAAUUUAAAAUUAAAAUCAACAGAAUUCCCCAAAUGAUUGAUGCUCACUGUUGAAACAAACAACUUACGCCGUCGUCUCUUGCCCGCCGCCUUGAGUUCCGGUACUCACAAACAAUCCGGCGGGAAUUCCGGCCAAUCUCUGAUCCUGCCAAAGAACAAUCGUCGAAUCAAAAAACGAUUUCAUUUGCGCCGCCAUAGAUCCAUACCUCGUCGGAAACCCAAACAAGAAUCCAUCUGCUUCCACCAUCUCCUCCACGGAAAUCACCGGCACGCCAUCAUCCUUCACCGGAACUCUCAUCUGUUCCAGCGUUUUCAACGGCAGAGUCUCCGGCACCUUGAACAAAACACCUUCGACGCCGUCAACAGAAUCGACUCCUUUCUUCAUCCUCUUGGCCAAGAGAUCGACGUGACCAUACAUGGAGUAAUAGACGAUGAAGAUUCUGAGAUUCCUGGAGAUUUCUCUGGCGGUGGAUUUUGGUUGAUCGGGAAUUGGAAUUGGAUUCGCAUCGGAGACGGUUACAGAUGGUCCGUUCUUGCUAGGUACGCAUCCGUUCCCUUUCCCCAUUUUUGGUAAAAUUGAGAAAUGUGGAUUGAAUUAUUGAACUGGAGUUUGAAUUGAUGAUGACGAUUAAUGGAAGUUUAUUAUAAGGGUUCUAAAUUAGUUGUGAAGAUGAAGGGGAAAUUUGAAACUGAUAUACUCAUCGCUGGCAUCUUCUACAAAUAUGAUUGACUUCUUCCUCUUCUUCUUCAUCUUCAUCUUCUUCUUCUUCUUCUUCUUAAUACAAAAAUCUUCAUUAUUUUAUGUCUAAUCUUUAAUGGCAAUUUCAAAUUUACUUUGGAAAAUGGAGGAAUCAAAAUUGAAACCCAAACAAAUUAAAAGUUUUUACCGUUUUGUGACAUUAAAACACUCCCAAUUCUUUUAAAUUACAAAAGCCUUUUUUUUUCAAAAGAAAAAAACACUUCUACUAUUUUUUUAUAUAAACGUACAAAUAUAACAAAAUUUUAUUUUUGAUUAGAGAUGAAUUAGGAUGGAUGGAGAUAGACAUGUAUGAGUGUUUAAAUAUAUUUAAAAUUUAUAGUAAAUUAAUAACACUUAAAAACAAUAAUUGGUAUUUAUGACCUUUUUUCUUCUCUUCCAUAACCCACUUUUUUUAAUGAUAUAAAUUUGAAUUUAGAAUUAAAAUGAGUAUAUGUGGUAUAAAUUGAUUUAAAGUACACAUGGAUAUUUUUCUUGAUAUUUACCUAUUGGUGUGUUUGAAUGUUACAAGUUAUUUUAAUUAAAUUACAAGUGUUUAUUUUAGAGUCCCUGAAUUUUAUCAACUUGAAAUUUAUGUCUAAUAUAAUAAACUUUCAAUUUUGUAUUAGAUGGGUUGGUGAAUUUUUUGAAAUGUUGUAUUGUUGGAUGACUUUUUAUACUAUUUAAAACUUAAUGGACUCAUUUGACAUAAACUUAAAAAUUUGAAGAACUAAGUAGUUAAGAUAUUUACGGUCGAUUAGAAGAAAAUUGUGGAAACCUGCCCGUCGUUCUUAGAUUAGGUGGCAAGUGGGGGGAAAAAAUUCUCUGCUAUCUAAAUGAAAUGGAGAGCGGAAUGGGAACGGAGAAUGACAUCUCCAACCUUGUUCCGUGGACAUAUCUAGUUAGUAGUUAGAAGUCUCACUUAGGGUUAAGAAAAGAAACUGAUGCAACAAAUUUGGGUAUAAAAUAGGAAGAAAGGAAUCAAGUAAUGCCUUUAAUUGGAAUGUACAGUUGUAUACACCUGUUGAUAUUGUUGUCACUUUUUGUUUAAAUAACAAAAUCAUAUGAAUUAGUUAUUUCAAUUUGUUUAUAUUUUAUAAGAACACUAUGGAAAAAGCAAAAAACAUAGCAUAAAAUAUUAGUGGGAAUGAAAUCAUGUGCUGCAUAAAGUUGUAAUGACUAAUAAAUAAUGAGUUUGGAUUUGGAAGAUUCAAUCUGAUUUUGGAGUUGGGGCUUUCAAAUAAUUUUUCCAAAAAGAGUUUAAAGACAGAUAUAAUUGUCUACUUUCCAGUUCAACCAAAAAGAAACUAAAAAGAGAAAGAAAAGGACUGUCUUAUAUUAGAGUGGAUUAAGAACUAGAACCAAUCUAACUCGAACUCAUAUUUGGUUCACCCACUUGUGAAGUCCAACUUAACGGUGUUAAAAAGCCCAACUCCACAAUAUAUCGAAGUUUUUACAUUUAUCGAUGAACACAAUUUUCCUUUCUUCUCCUCUCUCUAACCCAAACUCCAAGCAUAAACCCCAAACUCCAACAUAUUAAUUUCAGAUUUGAAAACUCAACUCAACACCUCAAGGUCUUAGGAGUCAUUCUCACAUUUGUAACGUAAUAUUUUUUUUUGAAAACAACAAUUACGACUGUAAUGAUAAAAGAGAGAGAAGAGAGCCAUGGAGACUUCGGAGCUUAUGCCAAAACAAUGAUUAGCAAAGAAGAAGAAGAUGAACAGCUAAUAUACAUUGGCAUUGGCAAACCGACCAGCUACUUGGAUUCCUAAGCUCUACCAGAAGAUAUAACUCCACAUCAUGAAUGAAUUAUCCCCCAAGUCAAUGAUCAGAACAAAGCCUCUCAGAGACUAAAAAACACAAGUGAAAAGAGAGAAAAAGGAGAGAGAUUAGAGCCUCUGUGAUCAAUCCACAAAGCUAAAACCAAUCAGCUCCCAUGGCUAUUAUCCCAAGAACUGGAAGAAGGAAAACUUGUUAGAUAUCUCAAAUCCGCGUAGGUAGGUUGUCUUCUCCUUACUUGAACGACCAGCUUUUUGAUCUUUUUAGUUCCCAUGGAGGUAGGCAGCCUUUGUAGUGGGAGUGUAGAAACAGUGAAGAUAUUGAAACUUCCUUCUGAUUCAUGGAGAUUGAGGAUAAGCAACUGAAGCCACUUCUUAGCCUUUUCUUUUCGCUGUCCUGUCCCUCAAAUCUCGGGUCGUGUUGCAUGGUCGUGGCCUUAAGAGCCUUGGGGAGUAUGCAGUUGCAUUUCGAACCUGCAAGUCGCUUGAAGAUUGUGAGUGAUUUUGUUUUGUCAAAAUCAAAGAGGAAAAAGCAUUUGAGGCUAGGGGAAUGAUGAUGCACGUACCUAUUCUUGCAAGUCGAUUAAUCCAUUUUGGUAUGCAUUUCCCUGUUAGCUUUCUACAUACAUCCUCACAGAAGUGGUUGCAAUUCUUCACGAUCAAGUGAUAUGAAUCGCCAUGAUAGUUUGCAGCUUGACGCUCCAUGAAGUCUCUCACUUGGAUUGGGUCCAAGCAAGUUGUGCCGAUAUAGAUUGACUUCCUAAACUUGAAGCCAGGACAUGUUCGGGGUUCUACCUCAAAGAUCCCACUCGUCGGGUAGUCAUGGGCUCCAAAGGCAUAUUCAAUGCCGUAAACUGUAAACAUAGAUAAUAACAUCCUUCAAUAAGCACACAUUUAUUACAGAUCCAAAAUAAGUUCUAUAUAAAACAGGAACAUUCCAAAGGGAAUUGUUUGAAAAAACUCUUGCGCUGACUUUAGCAAUAGCCUUCUUAAUAUCAUUAGUAGAUAGUGCAUAGCUGACAAUAACUUAUAUCUGAUCAGGUAAUUAUAAAAAAAGGGUUUGGCAACAGACGGAGAAGUCAGUUUGUGGUUAUAACAGAAUCUUAAGAACAUAGACAAGACCAACAUAAUUGCACUGAAUGGAUUGCAAGCACAAUUACUAUCUGAUUGAAGAUCCAAAGAUCUUUAGUCCAGAAAAGUGAACAAAAAUGUUGUUCACCAUCCAAACGUGUGCACUUACACGAGAUGAGAAACAAACUGACCUUCUAUACCAGAGUGAAAGAUACCAAGGCCAGCCCAGUAGACGUAGCCAUUUGCGGGGGUUAAGUCAUACACAUUGAGAUAAACUGGAGCUUCUCCCGGCGUACUGGCGGAGGCCUUCACCUUCUGCAACAGGCACAAAUCCUUGGUUGGUUUACCUCUAAAGUAAAGAGACUUGAUGCAAUGCCAUCCAUUCUCUGAUCUAGCUUUCAUGGUUGAGGGUUAAACCAAGAAUCAAUUGGCAGUUAGGCUCAGCCUGUAAAUUUCGGAAACAAAAGUAUACAUUACCUUCAUUAAGCUAUAAUGAAAAGGCCGAAAAUUCGCACUGAAAUACCCUGUUUUAUGAUGUUUAUAUCAAGUUCGUUUCUAAUCAAAAUAUGAAAUCAUGAUAACAUAGACAAGGUUGUCAAAUUUCAAUCACACAAAUAUGACCAAAUAAUUAAACAAGAAUAAGAAUCGUCGCCAGAGACAGCUACAUAGUAUUAGACUAUCAGUGAUGUUACUAGACAACUGAAAACUGUGUAGCUAUACAAUAUGAUCUAAUUCAUCCCAACUCAUGAGCUGACCGAUGUGAAGUAAUUUGUGUUCGGUGACUCUUGGUAACCCCCUAAGGACUUGGAAAAUGAAAGGGCUCUAAGAAACUAUCAAGCUGAAAUGAGUAUUUGCCUUAAGGAGCAAGCAAGUAUCACAAAGUAAAAUUGUACUUCUCUUUCUUCCCCUUCUAUUACAAGGCUACAUCAUUCACAUUUUCUUGGGAUCUAAUCAAGUCUCUAGCUCUCUAUGAUCUUUGGCCAAUUCCAUGAACCUAUCAGUAUCACUUGUAUUCCUCCAUCCCGUCAAUCGGGUUAUUAGAACUUCAGUAGCGGGCAGAUGUUCUAUCUAGGAUAUGCUUAGGUCUCUGUAGAUCCAAGAAAACUGGAGGAAAUCCAGUAAAAGUAGAUCUCCUUCAAUGCAUUCCUCCAAUAAGAUUCCUUGUAUAGUUCGACAAGCAAAGCCUGAAAUACAUUUCUAAACUCAACUUUGAAUCUGGGGAUGGAUUUUAGCCUCACUGCUAAAGAAUGCUGAAUGUAAGUAAAAAAAAAAAGAGAACGAUUUGUUAUGAAAUUAAUCAUAGCUUAGUCAUAAUGAUCCCAAAUCCAACUAGAUUAUGUCAAGAUCCAAGAAGAAGUCAAACUCCCUAAACAAAAAAAAAAAAAAAAAAAAAACAUCUUGCAAGGAGAGAUUAGCAACAAAAUGUAACCACAAGAAAACAAGUGGUGAGUGGGUGUAUCAGAUUUAGCUUCACACAUUUCCACAACAACCAAAAACAAAGAAGCACAAAAUCCAGAAACCCAAGUGAAAAAACAAGCCAAUUAACACAAAAACUCCACAUAGGAAGCCAGAUCAGAUUCAGAACAAAACCCAGAAAGCAAAAUGGCAAAAGAAGCCCAGAAAAUGUAGAAAAGUUAAGAGAAGAGAAGAGAACCAUUUUGAUAAAAGAAAGAAACAAUCGAAACCCAUUCGUGGGGAACUGCAACAAACCUUUUUGUAAAGGGUAAAACAGCCAUCAGAGAAGCAAAAUAGAGGAGACAGAAAGAAAGAAGACAGUGGCAGCCAUUUUCAGAGCUCCAAAAGGGGGGUGGGGGGGUGGAGCGUGUGGGUGACUGAAAAUGCAGAAAUGAAGAAGGGGAACAGAAACCACUGUCCUUUUCCAAAGUGGGUAUUAAAGAAAAGGGGAAAUUAGAGAGGAUUUGAGAAGAAAAAUUUGAAGGAGCUAACAGUCAAAGAGAGGAAGUAGAAGUAGGAGUAAAACCCUGUAGUUGGUUUUGUUGAAUUCGAUGAAGCUAAGCUCGUGGACAGCUUGAAUCGCAUAGUUUAAGGGAAGAUUUUAACUAGAAGAUUUGAAGACUCGAAUUCCCAUUUUCGUCAAGCUUUGAUUUUCUUUUUAGUCUCCAAGCUUGGUCCCUUGCUAGUACGCUUGCUGUCAUUUUCAGCUUCCCCAUUCUCUCUUUUCUUUAAUAAUGAUGAGUUAAAAGGAAUCUCUUUCUUUAUGGCUAUGGAUUUUGUUUGAAUCACUGAAUUUUAGAUUUUGUUUUCUUUUUCUUCCAAUUUUUCUUUUGCAGUAGAAAUGAAUUUUUAAAAUUGUAUCUGUUUAGUACAAAAUUAAUAAAUAUUAGGACGUGAAUCUAUUGGGUCAUGAACUUACGAUGUAUUUUCUUUCUAAUCUUGUCUAACAUAAUUUUAGUAGUUUAAUUUUGGAUAGUUGAUAAUAUGAGUAUAAUUUAGGGGUCAGUGAUAUGUACUCUUUCUCACUAAGUCUAACACUCAAAUUUUCAAAUUCUAUAUAUAUAUUGUGCAAAUACAUAGAUAAAAACUCUUAUAUCCUAUUGGUACUAAAAGUAAAUUCACUCUAAUCUACUUGAAGUCAAAUUGUUGUAUUAUUCUCCAACAAUAAAUUUGAAAUGUGAAUGCAUAAUAACGAUGAAUAUUAAAAGAAAAAAAAAACUUUAUUUGACACAAUAAAAGUUUUAGUUCAAAUUACAUAGGUCUAUAUAUAUAUAUAUUCUAAUAUGUAAAAGAAAAUGGGCUCCAACCUUUAUUUUCUUGUUAUUUUAGUUUUAGAAUCACUAUAUCACUUCUACUAAGAUUGAUUGUGACAACAAUUUAUUCUCUCUCCUCUAUCUCUCAUUGACCCAUCCUCUCUCUUUUUCCUCUCUAUGAUAACUCUUUGAAGAUUGGACCAAAAAAACCUCAUUUUUCUUCCCUUUUUCUUCCCUUUUUCUUUUCCUUCAUUCCAACAUUGCAUAAAAAUCCAAAAAAUAGGGUGAAAAUGAGGAUUGAAAUUCCACUAGGGUUGGGAUGGAAAAAGAAAGAAACCUACAUAGUAUAGUUCCACCCCCAUCUUUGUGGGAACUUUAAUGCUUCACAACUUUGGCUACACAUGUGUAACUUAUUAAAAGACACUUACAUUUCAAUCAAAUUCACACUAUGAUGUCUAUAAACCAUCAAAAUUAAGGAAAAAUAUCUCCUCAAGCUUUAUGAUUUUGGUUUAGUUUCUAUUUGAUCCGAUCUAGGUUUCAACAUGUUACAUAUUUAGUCACUAGCUUUUGUUUAAUUUCAAUUUUUUAAGUGUUAAACUUUUAGGGUCGAGAUGUAGGUUGUUGUUUCAAUUUUACCCCUAUAUUUCAUGCUUUAUACUUUAAUCUCAAUUUAUUUUAACUAAAUACUGAUUUUUUUUGUUAUUAUUAUUGUUGUUUAACUAAAUACUAAUUAGUUUAAAUGAUUUAAAAGAACUGUGAUUAAUUAAGUUUUAUUGUUUUUCAUCCCUUAUUUUUAAAAUUUCACUUCAUAUUGAUUUAAAAUUAAUUUAUAGACAUUGAUACUAAUGAUUGAAAGCAUGCAUUUAAAGAAAAUCAAAAGUAAAAUUGUAAAAUUUUGAAACUUAUGGACUCAAUUAAGUGUAGAACAUUUUGAAAUCUAGAGACCAAUUACAAACUAAAUUUAAAACGACGAAAAACAAUCGUCUACAUAUAAAUAAUAACCGUCUAUGUGUAAUUUGAAUUCAACUUUGUUUAUAAAUAUAAAACAAGAUACAAAUUGAUUGAAGUGAGUAUUGAAUAAUGAAAAUUACAUAACAAAAUAACAUUUAAGGAACAACGUUUCUUAAACAUAAAAAGUAAAAGUUUGAAUAUUAAAGUCAUUCUUCUUAACUACAAAGUUGAUUGAAUGUUCAUCUAAGAAAAUGAGAUUACAUGCUAUACUUUAAAAGCAAAUUAGAGUGGUAAUCGUACUUAGUCGAAUGAAGAUCAUCUCAAUCUCUAACUAACUUGAUCAUCACUGUGUUGAAAGUUUUCCUUUACUACUCUAAGAAUGAUGAAAUAGUGCAAAUGUGGUUUUGUGAUAAACACUGUGCUUUUAAUGGUUUGUUUGAAUGCUCGAAUAAUUAUUUACAGGACCAUAUGAUGUUCUUUAUAGGACUCACUUAUGUAAGUGUGAAGGGAAAAAAUUAUGUAGUGUUUUAGGUUAAAAUGAACACAGUGCCGAUAACUAACUUUGUUAAAAUGAGAAGUUGUAUGACUUCUAUCGACUUAAUUUACUCAAGAAUGGUUGAUAGUUCAAGACAUCAAGUCCACUAAUUAACCAAAAAGAUUUGAUCGGUGUUCACACGGAGGAAGUUUAAAGUUUUACUACUUGUUCUGAACAUCUGAUGGAUGUUCUUCCCUGAGAAAAUACCAAAUGCUUCCCUUUUCUAUUACAAUUUACAAAAUAAAUGUCAUGGUUCUUGGAUGCACCAUUUCAAUUCCAUGUGAUUGUAUUCUUUUAUAAAUAAAUACGUAUUUUCAAAUAUCUCGAGGAAGAGACAUGCGUAAUUAAACGAUCACAAUUUGUCUAUAUAUACAUCUUCUUUAAAUUGUAUUUUCACAUUUUUCUACUUUUCCGUCAAUACUUUUGUCCCAUUUAAAUUUUUUUGAAGUUUAAUUUUAUUUUCGAGUUCAUUAAAUCUUGUUAGCAAGAUGCUAGUUUCACAAGAAAGGUAAUAUAUUCUAUCCUAAUAGAUAAUUUAAUUAGACAAUUACCUAAUGCAACAACAAGUAUUGUAACUAAUUAUCCUAAGAGAUAAUUAGACAAUUACUUGUGAACUUCAUAUACAAGAGUUAGGGGUAGUAUGAUAGGUAAAAAAAUCAGUCUGAUUGACUAAAUUGAAGUCAAUCGAUCUAUGUCAAUUUGAAAGAGUUAAAUCAAUUGACCGACCAAUCAAUAUUUACUCAUCAACAGUGGAUAUUAGUCUGAUCAUUUCUUAAACCGACCAUAGUCAGUUAGGUAGAAAAACGAACUUCCAUCGAGUAGAGUGAUUAAAAUGAUGUGAAAAUGAAUUGUAAAGUGUGGUUGAAGUUUGAGCGGUGAUUUUAAUUUGAGGAGCAUGUGAAAAUUUAAUAGAAGUGCAGGGGUCAUUUGGCAAAAUCUUUGUAGAUAAUAGGGUAUUUUUGUGAAUAAAGUUUGAGUUGGGGCCAAACUUCAAAUACAUCUUUCUUCCCAAGACUCUACUUCUCUUCACACAACGACUGUAAAAGAGAUCUCAAGCUCUCUCGGACUCUGCCACUUCCUAAAACCCUAACGCCAUGUCGAAAUCCUUUCUCCUCUUUACACUAAUCGCUCUUCUUCCAUUUCUCACCCAUGCCUUCUCCCCUGACAAUCCAACAGAUCGCAAAGUCCUCGUCUUACUCGAUGACUUCGCCAUCAAAUCUUCCCAUUCUUUGUUCUUCAAGUCCCUCCAAUCUCGAGGUUUCGACCUCGAUUUCAAGCUCGCCGAUGACCCCAAGAUCGCCUUGCAGAGAUAUGGACGCUAUUUCUACGAUGCAUUGAUCUUGUUUGCCCCAACAAUUGAACGUAAGUCCUUGUUCGUUUUGUCCUCUGUUGGUUUCGUUUUUGAAUUCUUCUGUUUUUCUUUUUCCAUCGGAAAUUGGAGACAUUGGGUGAAAUGGGGUUUCAAUUAUUUGGAAUUUUAUUAAUUUUCAGUUCUUAUGUUUUGAGGUUGGACUAAUUAGUCGUAAUGGAAUGUAUUGGCAUUGUGGUGAUUGUUUACGUUUUCAUUUAUUGGGUUUUAUAGGCUUUGGUGGAUCCGUUGAUUCUGCUGCUAUACUGGAUUUUGUCGAUUCGGGCCAUGAUUUGAUUCUUGCUGCUGAUUCUAAUGCAUCUGAGUUGAUCCGAGAAAUUGCCACCGAAUGUGGUGUUGAUUUUGAUGAGGUAGCUGGAUAUCUACGACAUGUUACCUUUUUUACCUGUAGCAUAAUUGUCAACCUUCUACGACUAUGAUAUUUCUUCUGUAUACUGUAAAAAGAUUCUACUAGAAAUUUUCUUUUCGAUUUUUUUUUUUACAGUUUCCAUGAACAAAUGUAUUGUGUGUUAGUUUUGUCAAUAAUCUGCUGCUUUUCUGCACUACCUAUACUUAUAUGAGAAAUAUCAUGCCAAAGGAUCCAGCUUCUGUAGUCAUUGACCACACCAGCUAUGCAGUAUCAGAGACUGAGGGUGACCACACAUUGAUUGCUAGUGACGAUUUGAUCAAGUCCGAUGUAAUUGUGGGAAGCCAGAAAAUCGAGGCAAGUAAUAUAUUUGCAUAUAUUUUGAAAGAUGAUCAUGUGCGAAGACGAGAGAUGUUGAAUUCAUUUUUGUUUUCUUAUUUUAGGUUUUGUAUUCUUCCAUUGUACUAACUCUAUUUUGUAUUUGUAGUUUUCAUUGUUGUAAUAAUUCUUAUUUCUAAUUGCUACUUAAUGAAUGUUCCACACAGGCUCCUGUACUUUUCCAGGGGAUUGGCCAUACUUUAAAUCCUGCCAAUAGCUUGGUAAGAUACUUGGAUAGUGUUUACUUUAUAACUUCUUCGUAGAAUGUGGUUCUAAUUAAUGCUUCAGGAAGUUACCACAUAAUUCUGGAUUGACAUCAUCAGUUAUAUUUAUUAAACUCUCUUCUUUUAUUCUAUAGGUGCUAAAAGCUCUAUCAGCAUCUCCCGCAGCUUAUUCUGCCAACCCAAAAUCCAAGCUAUCAAGUCCCCCACAACUAACUGGAUCUGCCAUCUCUCUGGUUUCAGUCGUACAGGUCUAUUUUCUAUUAAGUUUCUGCUUUACUUUCUUUGGAUUUCUGUUAAUGGUUUGUUUCUAUGUUCCUGGAGCAUGGAAUUCGAUAAACAAAAUGAUUAAGUAUUGAGUAGGUACAAUGUGGAAACUUUAUCGUGCAUGAUUGGUGGACUUAGCUUGUAUCUUGUUUCCAAGGACCUUUUGACUUUGAGACUUGGGAUUACUUCUUUAAACUUUAGGUUAUUCUAUUUUUGGUCUCCUAAAUCUUUUAGGCCUCUCCUUUUUAUCCAUUUGAGGGGGAGCAGCCUUUGACUUACUUUCUAGUUGUAAUUUUUUAGUACGUAUUUUCUUGUUGAUUAAAACUCAUGCUUAUGCUGGCCUUACAGUUCUCUUCUUCUUCUUCUUCUUAUUAUUAUUAUUAUUAUUAUUAUUUAUAAAAGGAAUUGACAAUUCCUUCUAUGUUGCAGGCAAGAAACAGUGCCCGGAUUUUGAUAUCUGGAUCAUUAAGUUUGUUUAGCAAUCGGUAGGGAACACUUAAAAACUCUUGUUACCAGAAACAAGCUCGAUUUAUUUUCUUCUUUUGGCAUCUCAGAAUCUCGUGAUACUAUAUUUCUCUCUCUCUUGUUUAUAGAUUCUUCAAAUCUGGGGUACAGAAGGCUGGGAGUCCAACCAAGUAAGUCAAAAUGUUUGAACUAGACUGUUUUUGUUGAUAAAAACAUAUAUCAUAGUUACUGUGAUUCUUCUGAUAAGACAUGGUUGAUGUUGAUAAUCAUUGUGACAUCUUAGGGUGAAAUGAUGGUUGCUUACCUUGGUUUGUAAAUUGAACUUGAAUUGUAAUCUCUGAUAAAUAUUUUUUCAUUCAACCAUUAUAUAUAUGUAUGAUAUUUUCUACUGAGUGGUGGAAAACAAUUAUUAAGCUGGAAUAAUUUUUAAUGAAUUGUUACUUUGGUCCUCAACAACCUGGAUUGUAAUCGUUGGAGAAGAAUAUUGCUUCAGUAUUGACGCUUAUUAGAUCAGUUACACACACACACAUUUAUAUGCAACAGAAAACCAUUUAUUCCACAAAACCCAGAUCACUUAGCAUUUGUUAGUAUUUAGCAUACUUAUGAACUGUUGAAGACACUUAUUGAAUAGAUUAUGUUGUGAUACAGAUUUGAUAAGUCAGGCAACGAGCAGUUUUCAGUUGAACUAAGCAAAUGGGUUUUCCACGAGAGAGGCCAUCUUAAGGUGAGGGAUUUCUUCGGUUGCCUUACAUGCAACUACAAUUUAACUUUUUGGCACUUUCUAUGAUUGAUUGUAGAUUCUAAUUCUAACUGCUGCAUUGUAGGCUGUGAAUGUUAGGCACCACAAGGUUGGGGAAACUGAUGAACCGGCAAUUUACAGGAUUAAUGAUGAAUUGGUAAUUUUAAGGCUAAAAUAUAAUUAAUGAGAUGAAAAUAUUUGAGUUAUUCUGACCUGACCUUGGAUUUUGGUUAAAGGAAUAUUCAGUUGAGAUCUACGAGUGGUCUGGUAAGACAUGGGAGCCAUAUGUAACUGGUGAUGUUCAGGUGCAGUUUUACAUGAUGAGCCCCUAUGUUUUAAAAACUUUAUCAACCGACAACAAGGUAUGAAUCUGUUUUCUACAAUUGUUUUUUGUUUGAUUUUACCUAUGGAUUUGAUUGGACCCUAAUAUUUAUAGAUAUUUUCUCUUGUAGGGUCUUUAUCACACAGCCUUCAAAGUUCCAGAUGUAUAUGGAGUAUUCCAGUUCAAGGUUGAGUAUCAAAAACUUGGCUACACUACCUUAUCUCUAUCAAAGCAGGUAAUUUUCAAAAUUUAUCUUGAUGCAAACUCUAAUUAUGGAGGGAAUCUGCAAGUUGAUGGAUCCUUCCAUUAUAGCUAGAAGUAAAUUGCCAUGUUUCUUUUUUUUUUUUUUUUGCCCUUCAGUGUUUGGAAAUUAUGCUAUUUCUCUUUGUUUAAGAUGGAACUUGAUCGUUUUGCUGCCUCUAUUUGCAUUCACCUUAGUGCACUAUGUACAUGGGUGAAGCUAUUCAUUAUUGGCUUGUUUAAUAGUUAACGCGACAGGUAAAGUGUAUGCUAUCCAUCUGAUCGAGAAAAUAAGACUAGGAUAUUAAUUCCUAGGUAGGUGAAUCCAUGAUCCUUUAAGCAAAGAAAUGUGAGUGAGCUUACUUUGAUUACUAAUACAUUACAAUCCAAGGCUUACUAGUUUUCUAUCAUUAGAUAAUAGAUUCUAUAAAAUUUCUCUUUCCUCUAAAAUUUUCCAACUCAAUCCAUUCAUAUGGUUUAUGAAUGAAUAUUUUGGCAUGAGUCUAUCCAUCUAUUCUAUUUACAAAUUAUAAGUGGCACGCUGCACAAAACACCUUGUGUUGAAAAGAUACAUCCCUACUCAGCUUGGGAUUCAGUUGAGAAGGCAGACAAUGUUGCUUCUAUGCCAUAUUGUUUUACUCUCAACAUCACUGACAAAGAAGCAUGGGAAAACUUAUGGUCUGUUAUUAACCGGCUUUUUUUUCUUUCUUGAACAUUCUUCUUUUGCAGAUUCCAGUGAGACCCUUUAGGCACAAUGAAUAUGAAAGAUUCAUUCCUACAGCCUAUCCAUACUAUGGAUCAGCAUUUUCAAUGGUAUGGCUCUUUUAUGUGUCUGUUUGAGAUAGGGAAUUGAGAGGGAGGGGAGAUGGGUUUUCAUGUUUGAAUUCCUAUUUCAUGUUUAUUGUGUCUUUACACAAUCAUCACAUCAGGUUUAGAUUCGUUCGAUGUACAAACCAUUUUUUAGUUUUUAUAAAAUACGUUUCAUUUCUUUUACCUAAUUUCAAUAAAUCUUUGUUAAAAAGAAAAGAAAAUGACUAAACAAAUAAAAGAGGUAAACGAGCUUUUUAUCUGUAAGUACCAUAAAGAUUUCUGUAUUCUUUUCAAUUGAUAUUACAUAUUAACUUCAUGUUUCGAAAUUGGUAAAUCAUAAGAAUUAAAUUUUAUGCAGAUGGCUGGGUUCUUCAUCUUCACUAUUGUUCACCUAUAUAACAAGUAACCAACUUUGCAGAUGCAAACGAAGUCAAUGUAAGAAUGCAGAGCUUAGUUUCUUUCUGUUAUUGAAUUAUUAUUUGAGUUCUACUUCUCUUUUGCAUACUUGAAGUUUUGAACGUUGCUGCUGAAGUUAUGGAUACUUUAGUCUUAGUGAUUAAUGUAGAGAGAAUGACAAUUUUGUUGAGAAGCAGCUCUUGUUUUAACUAUAGAUUAUUCCAUGUACAAUGCAGUACCUGGAGGUUAUAAUUUUAUUUUGUCUUUUGUUUUCUGAUAAUUAUAAUGAAAAAAUAUACAUCUUGUAGGUCUUUUUUUUUUUUUGUAUGAAUUGAGGGAUGGGAUUCGAAUUUCCAACCUCAAAAGCUAACUUCACUUCGGUUGAACAUAUUUUAGAUUUGUGAUAAUCGUUUUUGUUUAUGUGAUUCCGUUCAUAAAUUUAACUAAAUAGCACGUCUUAGGAAAUGUUGCAGCUUCAGCUUUUUUAUGUUUGCAAAAAUUGACUUGAAUUUUAAUGUGUUUUAGUUGAAAAUAUUUUUAAAUAUAGUAAAAAAGAAAUAGACAUUAACGUAAAAUGUAGUAUGGUGGUAUGGUGGUAUGGUGAAGUGGGGGUGUGGGAAAGUCAUUUUUUGGAUGUUAAAUAGGAAAAGGACCAAUUUGUAAUUCCUUCUACUACAAACAAUAUAUAUGUUUUUGCCUCAAUACUUUUCAUUUUUCCUUUUUCGUUUUUGAUCCAUAAUCAUUGAAAAAGAUGGGUGUGUCUGACAUCUCUCUCCUCUUGUUCCUAACUUUUCUUCCUCCAUCCUUUACUUGCAAGUCUCACUUAUGUUGAUCUCAAAUAUACAUCUUAAGAUGUUUAUUAUUCUUUAUAACAUUUAAGUUUUUUGAACAAUUACCAAAAGUGGGAUUACUUUUUAAGGGUUUGAGAGUUUGUGGAAGUACUUUUUGGUGUCUCUUUUUAAUCAAGAGAUGGAAGAUAGAAGGUGAAGGAAAGAACAAAAAUGUAUAAAAAGAUGUACUCAUGUUUAGGCGGAAGUUUUUAGGUAUUUUUUCAUCUCAACAUUUUGUAAGCAUUUGGCAAUUUCCAAACUCAUUUAGGAUGCUUUUACUCAUGUUUUAAGACGUAUUAUAGUUAUUUUCUGUCUUGCACUUCUGUAAUUGAUUUUUUAAGGUAAUUUAGGGUGAUUGCACAUAUAAAUAUAUGGAGUUUUGUAGUUGGUGAAGCUUCUCAUAGGCAUUUAAAAAAUAUCUCACAAUUUCAAAACUCGAAAUACUCAUUCUCCAAAUCUAUUAUAUACUUGUUUUAGGUUAUUUAAUAUGAUUUUACACAUGUUUUAUAGGAGUUUUUUAAAAUUUGACACUGCUAGAUAUUUGUGAGAUGCAUGCAAGAUUGAAAAAAUAGCUAAAACAAAACUUUAUCAAACUUGUUAAAUCACCUGGCAUAAUUAAUUUGAAGUUAGGUAUUUCAAAUUUGAACAUUGUCAAAUAUUCGUGAGAUGUUUGCAAGUUGAAAGAAAACAACUAGAAAUUUUUUUGUACACGUAAAAUCACCAUAAAUCACCUAAAACAAGUAUAAAAUUGAUUUAGGGUUUAUUUUGACUCAAAUGUGGUUUUUACACAAACAGUGUUAUAGAAUAAAUUAGUAAGAUUUAUUUGGUAUUUAUCAAUUUAAUUAAUAUGAUGAAUACUGACCGUAAUCAUCCAAAUAUAGAAACUAAUCAUUAUUCCGUUAAAAGCUAGCGAAAUUCUAAGAGUAAAGAUCAAUGUAAACUUUUGAAAUUUUUUAAAAUUAAAAGACAAAAAUAGAACAAGAUACAAAAUUUUAAAAAUUUAACAUUAUUAAAAAAAUUUAAUCUUGUCUUCUCUAUUUAAUUAAUUUAGAAUAAUUAUGAAGUAAAAUUUUAACUUUAAUAUUGAUGAUUAUUAUUAAGGAAAAUUGUGAAAUAUGACAAAUUUGAUAAAAUAUAACAAAAUUUUAUAUUUUAUUAAUAAGAGAUAUUGAUAUAUCUCGAUAUGCUUCUAUCAUUGUCUAUCAAUAUCUUUCUCUAAGAAGUGAUGAAAGUUUCUCAAUUUCUAUCAUUAAUAGAAUUUAAGAUUUUGCUAUAGUUUGUAAAUAUUUUUAUUUAUUUUGCUAUAUUUGAAAAUGUCUCUAUAAUUAAAGUGUAAUUAAUUAUUUUUAAAAAAUCAACUCGACGUUAUCUAUGAAAUCCAAAAUUUAAAGUGUACCUUUUGAAAUUAAAAUAAAACCGAAAUUAAAAAAGGGUGGAAUUUUAAAAUUUAAAAAGUAAAUUGGAUUCAAAUGUUUAUUUUGUGUUUAGGAAUAAAAAGUGAGAUAAAAAGAUAUUUUCCCUUUCGAUUUCCAAAGAAAAUUUCAAAUUAUUUUCAAAGCUUUUGAAGGAUUCAAAAGAUUCAAUGUAUAAUGACACCAAAUUAAAAACUCUAAUUAUUUUAUGAAAUACAAAUAAAAUUCAAUAUUACACUAUAGAUUCAAUGAUGUUUAUGUUAAUGAAUUUUUAAUUUUAUACGUCACAUUCUUUAAAUUUGUUUUCAAUAAAUUUCUCAUUCUAAUAUCAAUCGUGAAAGAAAUAAUAAUCCAAUCCUGUGGUUAAAUUAAUUGAAAGUAAUUUUCCUAAUUAAGAUGCAAAAUCCAAAGAAAUUAAUUAAUGAAUUGGACACAUAUGUUUAAGCAUGUGACAAAUAUUUUGCAAUUUUUGUUUUUAAUAUUAUGUUGUUAUGUUCAAGAUAAUGAUAAAAGCCUUAUAAUAUGAUUAUCUUAAUUCAGUUUUAUUUUUUCAUGAUUUAUUAUUGCUUCUUUUUAUUUAUCUAUCUCUAAAGUUAUAUUACUUGUAGAUUCUUCUUUAUAAAAGUGUAUCGGAGUUUCUCACUCUAAUUUAUUUUAAUUAGUUAAUUUAUUAUGAUUUUCACAUAAUUUAAAAUUUUUAAGCAAUCAACCAUUAAUAAAUGUCAUGAAAAAUGUAUUUAAUUAACCAAGUUCAAGUAGUUAUGUAGCUUUUCAAUUCAAUAUUAUUACUUGUAACUUAUGAACGAGUGUUUGACAAAGUACAUAACUGAGUUAUUAAUUAUUGUCUAAGAAGUUAGAUUAUCUUUAUUUUGACACAUCAUAAAAGUACAUAAAAUAUUAUCUUUAUUUUACGAACAUACAAAUACAUAAAAGUCUCUAUUAACCUUACUUUUAUGUUCUCAAAAUUCCUCUCAUUCCAAUGUGAUCGAUUCAUUCAUGUCUCAUUCUAAACUCAAGACGUUACAAAAGUAUUCUACAAUAGGAUCUAAUUUCCAAUCCUUCAUUUAACAAAAUAAUAAGUUCUUCUUCACCAAUUUCACAUCCCAUACUAGACAUACUAUACACAAGCCGAUUUGAAAUUUAGAAGGGUGGAUAACCAUCAACUAAAAUAUGUGAUAUUAAGUCAAUCCAUCAUAGCAACAAUGUAGGGCCAAGGUUUUAGAAAUACCUGCCCACUCUGAAGCAUCUCAGAUUUCUUAAGCUUCUUCAUUGCAUACACGUGACCUGUGAUUUAUCUCUACAAGUCUAACCUGAAAAAUAUUAAAGAAAGAAUAACUAUCAAAAGAACCUUUUCAAAAAACUACAACGAUUCAUAGUAAGAUCCCUUGUAUGUGUCUUUUUGUAGUAUUAUCAGUGAAUGAGAUAAAAAGGAAAUUAGACAACAAACAAUAAGCUAAAAGUGAACAAUAAAUAAAGAAUGGUUGGGUUUUAAAAGUUCAAACAAUAACAUGACGAAGGAGUUAGAAAGGAAACUUCCCAAACGCACCCCUUCCUAUAAUUGUUAAAAGUUCGAAGUCAUCAGCGCCCAUUUUAUGCCUACGAAGGCACAUGUAUUCUGUCUCCUUAUGGUUCUAAAUAUUUAACCGACAUUUAUUUGGUUUUCCUCAUAAACAUCCGCAUCAGCAAGCCUCCUCUCCAACACCCAACAUCUGUCAAAAUAUCAUACUUAAGAGUUAAGAUAUAGCAAAACAUGGAUAGAAACAUUAUGAUCAACUCAAUAUAAGUGCAAAUAUUACAUAUACGAAUUUAAUGGCCCCAGCACAUAUUUUAUUAUAAGUAUUAUAUUUCUGGUCUUCUAGAUCGCAUGGUCGCAUGGAAAACCAUCAACUGUAACCAUACCAUUUAAUUUAUUUAAACAUAAAAAGUAUACAUGCAAAAAAAGCACCUCUCCUUCCUAUCUUGCAAUGACUUCAUUGGAGAUUUGUAAUGAUUUUCAAUAUAUUGCUGGGCAACCUCAACUUUCUGCUUCAUCGCAAUUGAAGGUACAUCCUGAACCUCAUUGUCACAUACAGUUCCCUUCACUCUAUUUUGGAACUUCUGAAACCAACUCCUUGCUGAAUCCACAACAACUCUUUCAAUCACGAUCAGACAUUAUUUUCUUCCACCUGCUUAUAUAAAGAGAUCAUGCAAACUCAUAAAUGAAGCAUACAAGAAUGAUAACAGAUUAUUGCAUGGCCUAAUUGGAUAAUUUCAUAUUGAUCAAUAAUAAGGAUAAAAUAUCAACAUGAGUUAAAAUUCUGCCAAAGACAACUGAGCGAUACAAAAGAAUACAAAAGUCUCAUUGCAAUCGAAAUAGAUUGAUAAUUCAGAAGCCGUCCCCAUAUCACCUCCUCAUACUAGUAGAAGCCCCAAGAACAAUAUCUGAUGAUCAAUAUAAAAGUACCGUUAUCACUAUAUUCUGGUAAUUUUACUUCGGUUCACCAAAAUUUUCUUCUCCCAGUCUCCAACCCCUAAAAAAUAUAAAUAGACUGUUGUAAGGAUACGAGAUAAGUUCAUACAUUUCUUGACGGUGAUAACCCCCAACUCCCUUCUAAACUCCAUUAGCCUACACUAAAAAGGGAAUUUAAAAAAUGAAACUAAAAAUUUAUACCCUUAAAACCCAGGUAGCUCCAUGAUGCAUGUUCAAGAAAUAGUAUGCUUGCUUGUAAUGUCCAGUCUCUGAACGGGGAUAAAAUGACUUCGGUUAUUCAGAAUAAAAUCACAUUUUAGCAGAAUAAUGAAGUACAUAAGAACUGAGACAGAAAGUUCAAGGCAACCAAUGUUGGAAUGAAAAAUAAGUAUGCUUGCUUGUAAUGUCCAAUUGUCCAUACAUGAAAAUAAGGAACCAAUAUUUAUUAUUCUCAGAUGGAAAAGGUAAAACUCUCGAACACCAUCUUGAAAUUUGAAAAGCAUACUUCUCAAGCUCAAUAAGUUAGUAUUAGGCUAUUAGCAUCUCAGACCUUGUCUUGCAUUUGCAGAGAGAACUUCAGUCAAAUCACAAAGAGUACCAAAUUUGAGACAUUAAGAAUUUAACUUCACAAAAGAUUAAGCCUUCCAUAACACCAAAGUUCUAGAAAUUUCUUGAAUUUCUAGCGAAUUGUUGCAGAGGCACUUAAUUGUUGGAUUUAUUAUCUUUUUUCCCUAAAUUUGUCAGUACGUCCAGCAAAAUUCUCACUGGAGUGAGACUUAAAGAGUGUGUGUGUAAGAGAGAGAGAGACGUACGUCAUUAUCCAUACAGACUUCUGCAACACUCGUCUAUGGUUUCUCGAAUCCUUUUUGGUUUGCAUGUUCUUUGAAUGACUCUGGACCAAGUUGAUGGCUCCGGUGGCAGAAAUCUUAGGAGCAUUUCCUCUACAAUUCUCAAAGCAGAUAGUUUUCUCUCUCGCUUAAGUAACCUUACCACGAGCUCAUCUAAAAACAGCCUUCCAUCUUGUGGUGGAUUAAUCCUCUCCCUCAAAGUUUCUAAAAAGAUAUUGCAUGUCAAUGAGUCAGGGUCACAGCCUUCAUCGAGCAUACUAUUUAGAAGAUCAAUGGCACGGGUGAGAUUAUCCUGCCUACAGAGGGCAUUGAAAAGUAUAUUAUAGGUGACCACAUCUGGUCGGGACUUGGGCUCCUGACAUUGCAUCUCAUAGAAAAGCUUCAAGCCCUUGUCUACAGAGCCGACAUCACAAAGACCUUUAAUCAUUGAACUAUAAGCCACGACAUCAGGCUUAAGUCCCUCACCGAGCAUGUGCGUCCACACUGUCAACGCCUCCCUUAGUCUUCCACUCUCACAUAGGCCAUUAAGUAAGACACUACAACAAACUACAUUGUGCCUCAUAUCCUGACUCAUCAUCUCUUUCCAUACAAGGAUUGCUUUUUGGCUGUCGCCUUUUUUAAAAAAACCCUUCAUCAAGGAACUGUAAGUGAAAGCAUUUGGUAAAAAACCUUUACUUAACAUUUCCUGCAAAAUGUCUUCGGCUUCAUCUGGCUUUUCAUCUCGACAUAGACCAUCUAUAAAGGCACCAUAAACAACAACGUUGGGUUUGCAUCCCUUCUCUGCCAUUUCUUUCCACAGCCUCACGGCAUUUUCAGACUUGCCCUCCUUAAAUAAACCACUGAUGAGAGACGAGUAAAUGUACUCAUUUGCCUUUUGUCCUCUCUCUUCCAUAGACAUCAAAAUGUGUACUCCAUCCUCGGCCCUUCUUUGUUUAACAAGACCAUUAAUGAUUGUUCCAUAUGUGACUUGAUUAGGAACACAUUUACUCGACACCAUUUUCUCCAAAAGACUAAGAGCUUUGUCCAACUUUCCUUUCAAGCACAAACCAUGGAUAAGGGUAUUAUAAGUCACUUCGUUUGGAACACAACCUUUGAGAAACAUAUUAUCCACAAGCUUUGCUGCUCGACUCAAGUCACCAUUCUUGCUUAGUGCAUCAAUCAACACAUUAAAUGUCACGGGAUUUGGAAGGCAGCCUUCUGCUUGCAUCUCAUCCAGCAAAAACACUGCCUCGUCUACCCUUCUUUCCUUACAUAACCCAUUCAUUAAUGUACUAUAAGUGAAGACGUCGGGAUUGCAGUUCUUCAGUGGCAUUUCUCUAAAAGUGUCAACAGCUCUAUCUAUCUGCCCUAACUUGCACAGUGCCUUAAUAAUCAAAUUGUAAGUAAGUAGGUUGGGCUGAAAGCCUUUGCUAUUGGCACCGAAAACGUGCAAAUAAAACUUGAAUGCGUAUGAAAAGUCCCCCUCUUGAAUAAUUACGUUAAGAACUGAAUUGAAUGACUUUACAGUCUGCUUACAAUGAAGGUCGUUGGCCAUUCUGUGAAAAAAAUUCACAGCUUCCCCAGGUAAAUGAGCUUUCCCGCAAGCCUUGAAAAUUAGGAUAAAAAUAGUUUCCGUAAGGACCCGCCCUUCACGUUUCAUUCUAUCCAAAACUUGGUGUAUGAAAUGGAAUUCCCGAGAAGUUGCAUAGUUCUCAAUCAAACGAUAAAAUGUAGCAUCCCCCAGUUUAUAGGAACCGAAUUGAGGGCGGGAUUUGAAUAUUUGAGGUGAUAUGGAGAGCUCAUUUUGGGCAUCCGGAGUUGAGUUGGAAGAAAGAGGGAGAGAGGAAAAAUAAAAGAAAGGAGAAAGGCGCGCCGGCUUGUGAAGAGAGAUUGUGAGGGGGUUUAAUUGGUGUAUGGAAAAUUUGGGCAUGGGAUCGAAAGGGUUUCUUAACAGCGCAGAAUCAGAAAAGUGUAGGGUUAGAGUAGAGUGAGAGAGAAGCAUAGGUUGUAGUUUGAGAUCGGGGAUGGUGCAAGCGCAGUGUUGGAUGAAUGAAAGUGAAAGUGAAAGUGAAAGUGAAAGGCAUGGGCAUGGGUGGUAUCGCCGGCUGCAAAACUCUAGUGAAUCUCAAUGCCUGACCAGUGCCCACCACCUUCUAAAUCGAAGAUGGUAGAUGGACUCCAACGCCGCCCCUCGGUUGAAGUUGUUGAAAUUUUGAUUAAUCUGAGGAGACACAGAAAAUAAACCAAAUACAAAACUACGGAAAAAGGGUAAGGGGAAGAGGAAAGAGGAAUGUGGAAAAGACUAUUGAUAAAACUAUAAAUAUUUUACUUUAUUUUCUUAUUUUUAAAAAUAUCCCUAAAUUAUAUUUGUUCCAUAAAUAAUAUUCUAAAAUAUGAGUAAUUUAUUAUUUUUGAUAAUUUUAUUUACCAAACUUAAAUUUUGGAUUUACCAAAAAAAAUAUUUUUUCAUCUAAUUUGUAAUUUUUUAAAUGGUAGAAUAAGGAUUCUCUUGCAAGCUUACCAUUUUUAUUUUUAUUUCAUUUCUAAUUUAUAAACUACAUUUUUCUUCUUCUAAAAACGGACAUUUAUAAUUCUCAAACAUCAUAACCCUAUCAAAUAAGUCCACCAACAUUCAAUUUUUCAGACGCAUUUGAUUUUAAACCUGCGAGUUAAACACUUCUAUAAUGAUUAAGAAAUUAUAAGAAAACAAACGUACUUUGUUGGUACAAGAAGCCGACACACUUUUAGAAUCUUUUCGAUUCACUUAUACGGUUCAACUUAACCUAAGUGAGAGUGCUUGUACAAGUAUGGUAAUUUAAACACACUUCGCUGCUUGAGUUAUUAUAUGAAGUAUUUAGUUCACUUGCUUCUUCUUUUAAAAUCAUCCAGCAAGACUAUUCAUCCAAAAGUUACAUGUAAAAUGAUGUUUAGGUUGAUUUUCUAAUCUAAGGUAGAUUUAACCAUUGUUUUUUAGACAAUUUCAAUACUUUUCAAAGACUAUAAAUAGAGUUGCAAUUUAAUAGAUAGGUAAGCUUUAAAAAGUAAAUAACAAAAAUUGUAAAAAUGGAAAUUAGGGCAAGUGAUUGAAGGUAUGUAUUGAUUAAUGGCGUAAGAGAGAGAUUGCUUCCCUUCCCAAUUAGCAGCCCAAAGCCGUCUUCUUCCAUUUUUCUUCAUGCGUGCAAGCCAUUCUCUUCUUCUUCUUCUUCUUUCUUUAACGGUUUAUUUAUUCUUCUCCAUCUCUGUUUCAACUUCAAAAUUCAUCUCUCUUUCUCUCAAUAAUCUUUGUUUCAUAUCAAUCAAUCUUCAUCUUCCAUUUCCUCUGUUUUUUGCAAUCACCAUGGGAAACCACCACACAACCAAAAGAACCACCGAAGAACUCCAACCCGCCGUAGCCGCUUACGAAGCGGCAUGUCGAGCCGACGACGACGUCCGCUCCUUCGAUAAAACUCUCCAAGCCAGAGCAAAUCAAGUACUCACAACAUUAGCCGACGAUGGCGGGGUCGAAGUCAGAGCUCUGUCAUUUGAUUCCUUGAAACAGGUAACUGAAUGCUUGCUGGAAAUGAACCAAGAAGUGGUUCGAGUGAUAUUGCAAUGUAAAAAGGAUAUCUGGAAGAAUCAGGAACUGUUUGAGCUGGUGGAAGAUUACUUUGAGAAUAGCUUGGAGACGUUGGAUUUCUGUACUGCUCUGGAAAACUGUUUGAAGCGAGCUCGAGAUAGUCAGGUGAUGAUUUUAAUGGCGGUGAGGCAGUUUGAGGAAGAUGAAAGGGAAUCUCAAAUGGGUCCGAAUCAGUUCGAUAAAACCUUGAGGGAAUUGAGGAAUUUUAAAGCCUCCGGCGACCCUUUCACCGAUGAGUUCUUCAGAAUCUUCCACUCUGUUUAUAAACACCAAACGGUAAUCUUAAACAACCCCAUGUUUAUGCUUAAAAUUACGAUUUUAGCCCUAUAAAUUUUAAAUGUAUUGAGAAAUUUUAAAAUGCGGUAAAUACUUUAUAUUAAUUAAUUUGAUAAAUAUAAAAUUGAAUUUUAUAUCUGAAAAAAAAUGUAAUUUCCCCAAAACUUCGUAUAGAUAUUUCUUUUAAUUUACAAACAAAAUCCUCAGAACUUAAAUUUAGUAUAUAACUAUAGGUUGCAAUAAAUUAUUUAACCAUUUAUUCAUAUUCUCAAUAGGCAAUGCUUGAGAAGCUUCAACAAAAGAAAAACAAACUUGACAAGAAGUUAAAGUCCAUCAGCACAUGGAGGAAGCUCUCAUGCAUGAUGUUCGCCGCCACAUUCGCCGCCGUCUUAAUAUGCUCCGUGGUGGCAACGGUCAUCAUGGCACCACCCGUUGCAGCAGCGCUGUCCGCUGCUUCUUCCAUUCCUUUAGGUUCAAUGGGAAAAUGGAUUGAUUCUUUAUGGAAGAGCUAUGAGAAUGCAGUGAAAGGGCAAAAGGAAGUGAUAAACUCAAUGCAAGUAGGGACAUACAUAGCCAUUAAAGACAUGGACAACAUUCGGAUUCUUGUCGAGAAGCUCGAGAUCGAGAUCGAAGGAAUGUUGGAGAAAGCAGAUUUCGCAAUUAAAGAGGAUGCUUUGAAGUUUGUGGUGGAGGAGAUGAAGAAGAAACUUGAAGUGUUCAUGAAGAGUGUUGAGGAUUUGGGUGUUCAAGCUGAUUUGUGUAGUAGAGACAUUACAAGGGCAAGGACUCUGGUUUUGCAAAGAAUUAUAAAACAUCCCUAAUUGAUUAAACAUCCAUCUAAUUUGGGUUUGUGUACUUUGUAAUUACAUUCUUUCAUUUGUUAUAUGUUCUAUUAAUUAAUUUGUUUGUAAAAUAGUUUAUCACGUUGGUUUUUUUGUUGAAUUUUUGUCUCUAUUUAAGUUUCAAAAAUAUGUUUUCCGCAAAAUUUAUUAUUAUUUAUGGAUGCGACUAUAUUCUUGGGAUUGAACGCAAGAAUUUUUGUACUUUUAGAUUUGAUCAAUUAUUGUCUUAUCAAUUUCAAAAUACUUACUUUAGUCUUCUAUACUUUUAACAAAUAUUUUGAAAGUACAUGAACAAAUACACGAACAUCAAAGUAAUAAUUAAACUGUAUUAUUACCUAACCAAAUUCAGCAAAAAAAUAACUUGCAAGUUCUAACUCCAAGAUUUAAUGAAAGUAUAAAAACUAGAUUUAAGAUUCAUUAAACUAUAGAGACUAAAAUUAAAUAAAAUCCAAAUGUUAGAUUUCAUUUGUUUGUCGAGCAUAUAACAACUUCAUAUAUUAAUGCCUACGAAAAGGAUCAACCGUACAAAAAUCUUAAUAUAGAGAAUGAUCACUCAUUUCUUCCAUUUAUAUCGGUGUGUUUUAUCCAAUAAAAAGAAAUAUCUUUUUCACAACAAAAUUUAGACUCUUACAUACAUGAUGGAUACACCAAUAAAGUUAUUCGACAAAAUGAUAAGAGACACGAAUAUCUAAUCCUACGUAUCGUUGUAUUAAAAUUGAUGGAUACACCAAUAAGGUUAUUAUAUUGUGUCACACAUAAUGACAAAUAAUCACUUGCUAAUCUUAUUACCAUGUCAUAUCCACACUAAGAUUGUGUCAAUUAUCAGCUUAAUAGAACCAAAUAAAAAGUAAUAAGACAAGAAUCAAAUCCACUUUUCAAAGAAAAAGAAUUUUGGAACAACCUCUUUCUACUUCAACAAGCAUUUGCCUAUAUUAUUUUAUAUGAUAAUGUCUCAAGUCUAUUUAUUUUGUCACAUCACUAUCUUUAAAUUACUAAACAUAAUCUAGCAAAUAUCUUACCAAACAUAACAUAUAUAGCAAGAACAAAAAUUAAAAAGAAAAGAAAAAGAAAACAGUUAAGUAUACACUUUAUCCAAGCGAUUGGAGCUGUGCAUUUCCAUCCCCUUUGAUGUCAAAAACCUUCUUAAGAACAUCUUCAACAACCUAAAAUUUUUAACCCAUUUGAGAAAAAGUUAAUGUCAAGGAAAAUGGCAGAUUAACAUUUCCAUUCUUUGACAGUAACUUUUAACUUACCUUAUCUGGUGUAGAGGCACCAGAGGUAACUCCAAUGGUGAUAUGUCCAUCAGGUAGCCAGUUUUCUUUGUUGGCCAGCUCCCCGUGCUGCCAUUCGAUUAAACAAGUUAAUAUGAGUUGGAAAGAAAGAUGUAGAUGGAACUGGAAAGUAUAGUAUCAUUGGAUCAACACGACGAAUUAAGACUUACAGCAAGCUUGUAUGAUAUUGAGUUUCCUGGACCUAUUCGUUGCUCGCUGUCGAUCCAAUACGAUGGGACUCCUCGAGCCUCUGCAAUCUCUUGAAGAUGAGAGGUGUUGCUUGAGUUCCAUCCACCAACAACUAACAUGAGAUCCACAUCUUCCUUCACCAGCUCGUACAUUGCAUCUUGGCGCACCUAAGGAAAACAACACCCUCAAUCACCAUCAUGGUGUUUAUCUCAAGUAUAUACACAAUUUUGUAAGUUAACUACAAGGAAGGUUUUGCUAUUUAUAUGAACUUUAUAAACUCAAUUAUAAUAGUAUACACUAUUAAAGUUCACACAUUUAUCGACUAACUUCAUCUUUCCAUUUCUUUUACUUUUUACAUUUACCAAGGAACAUCUUCUCUAUAUUUCUAUCUUUUACAUUAAUCAAGUAACUUCAUCUUCCUAUUUUUUUCUACUCUUUACAUUUAUCAAUGAACUUCAUCUUACAACUCUACACCCCAUACACAAACUUACAAACUCCAACAUAUUAAUGCCACUCAAUGAACCAAAGCUUUACACGACCUUUUUUACAUGUACAACAGUGUACGAAGAAUGGAGUGCUUACUUGAGUGGCAUUACAGAUCGUAUUGAAACUAAUGAAGUGUUCGUUAAUAUUUUCAACUCCAUACUUCCGCAUCAUAGUUUUCUCCAUCAGUUUUCCUGUUAUCAGAAUAAUAAAAUCAAGUUUCUUGCGAAAUUACGGUUUGAAAUAGCAUCAAUAGCUCAGAAGUUUACCAAUCUCUUCUGUUUCCCCUUUGAGCAUUGUGGUCUGAUUGGCAAUACCAAUUUUCAUGAGGUCAAUAUCUGGGUCGAAUCCUUUUGACACAGCAGACUUGAAUUUCUACAAACAAGCCAGAAACUCAACUUGUAUCAUGAACAUUACCACAAAAUAUUGUCAAGUUUGGCUAAGCAAAUAGCUAUCAUGUUGUACCUUCAAAAAUUCUUCUUUGGUUGAGAUUGAUCCAUUAUGUUCAACCCCAAGAAUGUAGUCGGAUACACAUGCUGCCUGACAUAGGUUUAGAAUUUUAAUUUUGAAAUUCUUUACUUAUUUUAUGUGGCAACAGUCUGACAUGUUGAAAAAGGGACAAAACUACCAAGGAUUUACCUCUGCCAUGUCUUUCACAAUGAUGUACCUUCCAGCAAAAGAAGCAGUUGCUAUGGUUUCUUCAUGGCGAUACUUACCGUGAAUUAUCGACGUGUAUUCUCCUUUUUUGUGCUUGCCAACAGCAUUCCAAACCUAUAUGGAAAAAAAUGCAUCUAAGCAUCAACAACUAGUUUAUGCCUUCUGUCCUUCAAUGAUGUUAUUAAGUGGAAGUGGAAAAUUGGCCAAAAGAAAAAACAUUCACAAAAGGCAGUGAGAGUGAUUUUUUGAGUACCUUGGAAACCCACGGGCAAGUUGUGUCAACAAUCUUAACUUUUUUAUCAUUCAGUACAAGUAUUUCAUCAACUGCAGCCCCAAAGGCCGGCAAAAUCACAACGUCGCCGGGGUUAACGACAUCAAAUCUUUUGUUUCCUUCCUCCAAAGGAAUGUUAUGCACUCCCAUCUCCUCCAAUCGCUGCAAACACACAAGAAUUUUCAAGGAGUUACAAAAUGAUAUUUCUUACAUCAUGUUUGUUAGCUAGUUAAGAAGCGACAAUCACAUAUGAGCACUAAACAUAAAGCAAAAGAGAAUUGACACACAAAUUUACAUGUUUCAUUAAUAGUGUGUUAGUUACAUCCAUGGACACAUGGAGAACGGUUUAUUAUUAGAAAGAAUAAUUCAGAUAACAGAGGAGAGAGACACCUCUAUGAUUUGAGCAUUUCUCUAAACCCAAAUGUGAAAAUUGUAAAUUACUUACACAUAACAAAUAAGAAUACAACUUAGGUAUUUGAGGCACUCCCUCCACCGUCCACACUUAAUUGUUUGAAGUGUCAGAUAACAGAUUUAAGACAUUCCAACAACAACUACCAUAAAAGCAAAACAGACGAGAACAACAUGAAAAGAAAAAAGCGUGUAAAGAAUAAGGAUCAUCUAAACUUGGGACUUGGAAGAAGUUCUUAACCACAGAAAUGUUUCUAGAACUAUUCUACUAUAGCAUGGAUCUAUCUUUUUAUAAUUAUGUCAGUAGCUUUUGAAGUCACAUGUGUCACUAAAUAGAAUAGUGUAACAACAACUCAACAUUUGUGAAACUCAGGGGAAACUCAAUAGUGAUAACUAAAGAAUCAAAUCCUAUUUGAAAUGAAUUUUGAAGUACUUAGGGGAGUGUUUGGCCUACCAACUUCCCAAGUCGGAGUUAAAUAACUCAACUCCACUUUCACUAGAGUUUGCACGUUAAUCGAGAAACUUUCUCUUUAUGUUGCGAGCAUAUUUUUCAAAGAACUCCAUUUUCACAACUGUACGAACACAUAAUUCCUAACUUAACUACCCUUUUAAGAACACUUAGACAUGUGAUUGAACUUUUGUGGUCAUGAUCUAACCGAUGAAACAGUAAAGGCAAGAAAAGUUAAGCCAUUCAAGAACCUUAUUAACAGUUGGGUUAUGAAUAAUCUCAUUAGUAAUCCAAAUUGUUUCACUUGGAUAUUGUUUCCUCGCUUCAUAAGCAAACUGCACAGCUCGCUCAACUCCCCAACAAAACCCAUAAGCUCCAGCCAAUUUCACAGUAACUUUCCCCCAAGUGAACUGAUACCCAUUUUCAUUCAAAGUAUUCACAAUUUCACCUGCCACAAUUGAAUACAAAAAUCAGUACCAACAAAACAAGAAUACACACAACACACUAAAAUCACAAAUACAAUAAAACUCACUUGUGAACUCGCUGUUCAUGAGCUUUAUAGUCUCCUCCUUAUGCCCAAACCCUUUCCGAUUAUAAUUUUCACCUCUGGAAAAGUUCUUCAAGAACAGCUUCGGGUCGAAAUCGGGAUCGACCGGUUUGGGAGAAGAAGAAGAAUCAGCUGUGCACCGGAGCAAAAGGGGUUUCCGGCACCGGAGAGCUCCGACCCCGGAGAAGGUUUUGGGUGAAAAAAACUGUAUGCGAUGGGGAAAACAAGGGCUCUGCAGAGAGAUCGCCAUUAGAAAUGGUGGUGGAGGAAGAAGGAAGAAUCGACGUUGACGGAGAAGGAUUAACACCCAACAUUGUUGGUAAUUUGUAAUUAAGAUUCAAAUUCAAAGUCCAAAUGUGGGAAAUUUCUAGACUUAAAAGUACUAAAAUAAAUGGAUCAAUGGGAACCAUUGUUGGUGUGAGUGGUUGAAAGUGGCAAGAAUGGAACAACUCCCAGUGAAAAGAAUCCAACUUUUUGUUGUUUAAUCGGAAGAACUUUGAAUUAUGGGUUUAAGGAUUUUGAUUGUUUGUUUUCAUGCUGAUGGGUCCAGUUUGAACAGAUCAAAAUAUGUAUCCACCAUAGUUACAAUGUAUUACUGAAAUAAAAGAGGCAAAAGAGAAACCAAACGUUUCUUCUGUUCAUACUAUGUAAUAUAUUAUAUUUUAAAUACAAAAUGUUUGCUUAAUAAAUUGAAUAUUUUAUUUUUUAAACCCACUUAUAACCAUAAUUUAUAAAUGAAAAUACCGUAGUAGCACCAUUUUUCUUUUUUUUUGGAUAAAAAAAGUACUUUACUUGUUCAAGAUUACUUCAAUUAAACAAUUAAAUUAUUUACAAAAAAGGGAAACACAUUUACUCUAAAACUUUUCUUAGUCAAACCAAAAUAUUUAAGGCAAAUAAUUCAAAAUUUAGAAGAAAAAAAAAUUAAUUAAAGAUUCUAAAAUUUCCUUUCCUGAAACUACUAUAAUAAUCUCUUCUUCUUCUUAUUAUUAUUAUCUCAAAUCUUUUGCUUUAACUUAAAUGCAAAUAAUUAGUUUAAAAGAUUUAAAAUAAAAACAAAAAAAAAAGAAAUGCAAAAAGAUUCCAAGAUGCCAAGCUUGCACAGCAAUCGUCAACCAGAUAUUCCAUUAGCCCAAAACGAUGUCGUCUGUAUGAAACGAUAGUACGACGUCGUAUAGUCUCUUCUCUCUCAAAUUUGCCUUUUUCUGUUCUUAUUUUAUUUUUUAUAUUUUACUUUAAUUUUUCAUCGGAAGAACUCCCACCAUUUGGUCGUUGUUCUUUCACUCUCUUCGCCGGAUUUUCCAACGAUCUUCCCGGAGGGAAACGUUCUCCGGCGUUUCCCGAUUUCUCCGGAUCCGAUUUAUUCAUCGAAUCUCGUUAUCGAUUAUUUCUGUUUUGCCUUUUUCUUUCACCCCUUUUUUGUAUUUUACCCACUCACCUUUACGCCUUUCUUCUUCUUCUUCUUCUUCUUCUUUCCAUUUUCUCUUCUUUUCCCCCAAUUACCCCUUCCCCUUUUAUCAAUGGACGACUGUAUUAGCAGCGAUGAGGACUAUUAUGACUCCGAUCGAGAUUCUCUUCAUGGUCUUGAGAACGAGGACUCUGAAAUUCAGCGGGUUCCUAAAACUCCCUCUACUAAGGUAUUUUUAUUCUAUUUCUUCUCAGACUCCAAUUCCCCCUUCCUUACUUCCUUUCUACUUUAUUCCAAGUUUAAAAUCUCUUGUUUCUUGAUUCAAUUUUUUAGAGAUAUCCCUAUUUGUUUUCUGAUGGCAGUGAAUGAAUUUUCAUUCUGCUGAAAUUUUACCUUCUUUCUUAUUAUUAAUCAUAAAAGUUCAGCUUUUCUCCUACUUUGUGAUGGUGAGGCGGCGGAAUUGGGUGAUAUACUGCUUGUAAUUUGGGCAUUAUAGGAAUUUUCUCAUUGAUCAUGUUUAUGGAGACCUUUUUUUGUUGUUGUUGUUGUUUUCAGGUUAUUACGAAAGAAUCUCUCCUUGCGGCACAGGUUUAGCUCUGUUUUCCCCUUGUCAUAUAAAAGAUGAUUUUUCUGAUUUUAUAUUUUAUUGGGUACCUGGAUUCUUUUUUGUUCUUUGAAUUUGAUUUUAGGGUUGUUUUGUUUUCAUGUAGAAGGAGGACAUGCGUAGAGUUAUGGACUUGCUAUCGUUGAGGGAAUACCAUGCUCGGACAUUACUUAUUCAUUACCGAUGGGAUGUUGAGAAAUUGUUUGCUGUACUUGUGGAGAAAGGGAAAAAUCACUUGUUUGCUACAGCUGGUGUUACUAUGAUUGAGAAUCGAAGCAAUACUUCCUCUGAGGCUUCUUCCAUGGUGAUGUGUGAUAUCUGCAUGGAGGAAGUACAUGGCAAUGAUGCAACGAGAGUGGAUUGUGGUCAUUGCUUUUGUAAUAACUGUAAGCAUUUUUUCCCUUAUUCAUCGUACAUGCACAAUCAUUGCACUCUACUUUUGGAGUUAUUUGAAAACUAUUUCCAGUGGCCUUGUGAACGGAUAUUGUAAAAUUGACAGAUUUUGUUAGUUGUAAGCAGUUCUUGUGGAAUGAAAUUACCUCAGAUCAAAUUCAUUUUAUGUUUUGCCUCAGGUUGGACUGAACAUUUCAUUGUGAAAAUAAAUGAGGGGCAAAGUCGGAGAAUCAGAUGCAUGGCCCACAAAUGCAAUGCAAUUUGUGAUGAAGCUGUUGUUAGGACUCUAGUUAGUAAAAGGCAUCCAGAUCUUGCCAAUAAAUUUGAUCGUUUUCUUCUUGAAUCAUACAUUGAGGACAACAAAAGAGUCAAGUGGUGUCCAAGUACCCCUCAUUGCGGCAAUGCUAUACGCGUGGAGGAUGAUGAGUUUUGUGAAGUAGAAUGCUCGUGUGGUCUUCAAUUUUGUUUCAGUUGCUUAUCUGAGGCUCACUCACCGUGUUCAUGUUUGAUGUGGGAACUUUGGAUUAAGAAGUGCAGAGAUGAAUCUGAAACUGUUAACUGGAUUACAGUACAUACAAAGCCCUGCCCAAAGUGCCAUAAACCCGUCGAAAAGAAUGGAGGUUGUAACCUCGUCAGCUGCAUCUGUGGUCAGGCAUUUUGGUAAGGAUUAUACUAACUUUUAUAAUCAUUUCAAUAAAUUCAUUUGGGUGAAAUGGAGAAUUCUGUUUAACAUUACUUAAAUAGAAGACCUGAAAGCAAACUUUCAGAUAGCGUUAAUCUCUUUCAUACAUUGCUGAGACUUUAAGGCAGAUAGCUCAUUGUCAUAUAUUACUGAAACUGAGGCUCACAUUGCAAGUAUCGGCCAGUAUGGUAGUCUUCAGAUUCAAACAGUUCAUAGUUAGGUUCGAUAUUAGACGAAUGGUUACAUAUUCAAUAGAUUUCCAAAUAAGUUGUCCAACCGGUGCUUCUUAGAUCAAUGUGAUUGUCUGACUCUUUUGAGUUUGUCCAUGAGCGCUUGUGCAGAUGUUUUUCAGUUGAUGCAUGCCUAGUCUUUUAUAGACUUCGAUUAUUUUGUUUUCAAGUGGUAGCUAACUUUUAAAAGUAAGUCCAUGUCAUCAGAAGGUGUUUCAUGUGGCUAAUUUGAAGAAUUUCUGAAAUGAAGAUAUUUCUGUUUAAAAUUUAUCUGAAUUCUUCUCUUGAAAGCAUACAUGAUGUUAGCUACCUUCCGUAAAUUAUUUUCUGCAUUUCAUUUGAUGUGAAAAUGUUCUGAAGGAUCUAGCCAUUUGGUUUGCUUUCUGUCCCUUUCUAAGGAAAUGAAGGUAUUGAGGCGUGUGAAAGAUGGGUAUUUUGUUUUCUUUUAACUUACCAAAUAAUAGAUUAAACUCUUUCGAAUUUGAAUAUAAAUUCAUAGAAGCCAGCGUUUAGUGCUUUCAAACUUAAGCUUCUUAUAGUAGAACUCUGUUUCUUUUUCUAAUUGUUAUGGUAAAAAACAAUUUCACAGAUACUUAGAUACACAUAGUGCAGUUGUUAAUUUCAUCUGUUAAUCUGGUGUUUGUGUCUAUUUUAGCUAUUUGUUCUUCUCAACCUGUUUUAAUUUUAUCAAGUGUGUCUAAGUUUCUAAUUCCCACCCUUCUGGCACAGUUGGCUGUGUGGUGGAGCUACGGGUCGUGAGCAUACUUGGUCAAGCAUUUCUGGUCAUAGUUGUGGGCGUUACAAAGAAGAAUCAGAACAAAAAGCUGAGCGAGCAAAACGGGAUUUGUAUCGGUAUAUGCACUAUCAUAAUCGGUACAAAGCUCAUACAGAUUCUUUUAAGCUUGAAAGCAAGUUGAAGGAAUCUAUACAAGAGAAGAUCUCGAUUUCAGAAGAGAGGGAAUCCAUGCUCAGAGAUUUUAGUUGGGUAAACAAUGGACUGUCUAGACUUUUCAGAUCAAGGCGGGUUCUAUCAUACUCUUACCCAUUUGCAUUCUAUAUGUUUGGGGAUGAGCUAUUCAAAGAUGAGAUGACUGAGGCGGAAAGGGAGAUAAAGCAGCAUCUAUUUGAGGACCAGCAACAGCAACUUGAGGCAAAUGUUGAGAAGCUCUCCAAGUUUUUAGAAGAGCCGUUCGAUCAAUAUACUAAAGAUAAGGUAAUGGAGAUACGCAUGCAAGUCAUCAAUCUGUCAGUUAUCACCGAUACCCUCUGCAAGAAGAUGUAAGUGCACUUGAACAAUCUGUUCUUCUAAAUGUGUGUAAAGCCUCUUGGAACUCAUGUCCUAUUUUCAAUCAGGUAUGACUGUAUUGAGAAUGAUCUUCUGGGUUCUCUUGAACUGGGUAUCCACAAUAUUGCUCCUUACAAGUCGAAGGGCAUCGAGAAGGCACUGGAGCUUUCUGCUUGUUGGAACAGCAAAGCAAAUACUUCAGAUAAAUAUCCGCCAUCUGACUGUGGUACAAGUGGUAAAGUAGUGGAGAGUACUUUUCUACACUUUUCUUAAUCCAGUUUUGAUUUCGAACCUACAUCUCUUAAACAAGAUAGAUAAUUGGCAGUUUUUGGUCUUUCUUUAGGUUGAUCCUAUUUGACGGGUAGUUUUCUUUUUUCUUUUUCUUUUUUUUUUCGAAAAUUCUUUUUAGUCUAUUCCUGAGACAAUUUAUAAGGGAAACUACCUGCAAAUACUGCUUUAGAUAGAUAGAUAGUGGGUAUAAAAGUUUUACUGAUGGUACAAAUGCAGGAGGAUUGUCGGAAUGUGAACGACUGACUAGCUUGAAUUCCGAGGAGAACGGAUGCUCUUCUAGGAAACGUGCCAGAGCAGAAGUUGUUGCUGGCAACUUUUUUGAUCUUAACUUGCCUGCUGAGGUUGUUGAUAGAAACUGAUCUCUGGAAGUUACAUGGUUAUAAAGUACAGUUGUACAGAUCUGACAUAAAACGUUAGCUUCGUUGUUAGCAUGGGGGGACAGGCAAUCGAGGAUUAGUAAUCCUAGAGGUGCCUUUUUAACUCUUUUUUUCCUUUUUACUCUUUGCUCAUCAUGUUCUUGUCUCAGGUUGGAAUAUAUUGUCUUCGGCUGAGCCUAUAUUUUGAAAGAGAAUCUCCUUUUAAGUUCAUGUUUUUCUUUAUUUCCCAUUUAGCUUUUGAAAAAUCCGCAAAAUUGUACAUAGCCGUGAUAUCAAUCAGGCUUUGAUGGUAGUAUUUGGAAUGUAAAUGCUUAAUUCUCAGCCUGAGACAGACAAAGAAGAGAGUAUAUGCAUUUUCUGAUAAGAGUUGUCUAAUGUUUUCUUUGGCUGGAAAAGUAAAAUUUCUAUGCUUUCCCAAGUUCAUACUGUUCCAUGAACAUUAUCAUCAUUUUGUUUUAGUUUAUUAACCUCGAGUGGUGUGGUUAAUCUUCAAAUGAUACAUCUAUACAUCUUAACUAGUUGAGUGAGUUUAAGUUUGAUGGAUCAGAUUGUAAGCUGAGUUUAAGUUUGAUGGAUCAGAUUGUAUUUAGUGGUUUGUGAUUGGAUUUUUCCUUUGUAAUUUUGAGAUUACUUUUUAGUUGGAGAAUGGUCCCAAAAUAAUGUAGAUUGUAAAAUUAAGGUACAGUUGUAUUCGAAGAAAUGGCUUUCAUUUCCAAAUUUAUUGAAGAGUUUUUCCUUUUUCUCUUUUCUUUUUUUUGGACAAAAUGUUUCCUUUUUUUUCUUUUUAUUUUAUUUACUUAAAUGAUUACUUUUGAGUUAAUUUUCAUAAAUAGAACAAAAUAGUAAAAUAUUUACGGUCAUAGAACAAUUUAAGAAAUGUCCAUUAAGGUUGAUUAUUUUUUUCAGAAUUUCAUAUUUUUACCCUAGUUUAUAACAUCCUUUUAGAUUUUUUUCAUCUUCAUCCUUCUCUGAUACUAUUUUUUUCUUUUCAUAGUCAUUUUCCUCUCCUUUUGCAAUUUUUUCUCUCUCCUUUGCCAAGUUUUUUUAAACUGUUAUUUAAUUUGAAAUAAACGAUAGUUCAAAUCAUAAUUGACAACCCAAAUUUAAACAAUCAAUCUAGAUCAUGUCCCAAAUACUAAAGGAUGGUUUUUAAAAUUUAUUAGGCGUGCAAUUAAUUGAGAUAUUUUUUAAAUUUUUUAUUGUGGGCUUGUGAGUUUUUUCCAUUUCUUUCCAUUUUUGAAAUUAUCGUGUAAAUAUUUUGUUAUUUUUUAAAAGAUCCCUUACUUUUCUAUAUUUAGAUUUUAAAAAUAAUAAAGUUUAAAUUAUCAAUAUUGAUAUUAUAAUUUCAUGAAAAUGUCGAUAGAAAUAUUGAUAAUAGAAGGUUGACAUUAUGGCGUUUUUAGAAAGAUUUUGUAAAAUCAAAAUAUCUGGUGAACAUUCUAUGGUUUUAAAUUAGUGUUGUUUUCAAAUAUAAAAAAAUACAAAUCAAUAUAUCUAUAAAUAUAGUAAACUCUUCCACUGAUAGAUAUUGUCUAAUGAUAUACUUACAAGUAUACAUAGCAAAAUUUCAUAUUAGAUGUCUCUGAUAUUUUUUAAGACUUUGUGAGCGUUUUAGUUUACUUUAUGUAUUUGAAACAACAAUUUGAUAAUUGCUUUAACAUUAAAACAACUAUCUUUUAAAAACACGGUAACGUGUUUAUUAUUUACGCAAUAUUUAUAUUAGUGACGUAUUGUUGCUUAUUUUGACAUGCUACGUUGCCACAUAGAUUAAGGGCUUAAUGACAUGGUUAUGAUUGGAUUAUUAUUAUUUAUUAUUUAUUCUAACAUUUUUUAUUUAUUUUCUUUGGUUGAUGCUUAUACAAUUGCAAGUAAACAUGUCUAGUAGGCAUUAUUUUCCUAUGUUUCCUUAAUUAGAAUAAAAUAUAGAAAGAUUUAGGAAAUAUAUAUCGAUACAUGGGUGACAGGCGACGAAAAAAUCAAUCAAGCUCAACCUAAAAUCUAAACUAGGGACGAUCAUGAUAAAUCAAAAAAUUGAACCAACCAACCAAACCAAAGUCGGUUGGUCAAAAAAUGAGAAGGGUCGAUUUCAAAAAGUUUUAAAUCAAGAAUUUCCAAUAAGUACUUUUAAGUGUUAAACCGAUUCGACAAACACUGAUCGAUCGACCGAUCAUCACCCAUCAAAGUUGAGGUCAGUUUGACGCUUUACUAAAUCGACUAUGGUCGGUUCAGAGUUAGUUUUUAAGAAAAAGAGACUUUGAACUUCACCCCUAAUCUAAACGAUAGAUGUUGCCCCAUUAAUGUAUCUACAUUGGUACCGUCCAAUUAAAGAAUUGUUUUUGAAGGAAAAGAAAUAUGUGAGUUUGAGAAACUUUUUCUUGAUUAGAAGCUAAGGAAUGCUAUAGUAUCUCAUUAUUAUUGAUGCCCCAUGAUCAUUUGCUUCUUAAUUCACCUAAUUAGAA
This 140502-nucleotide long non-coding RNA is filed under the name Cucumis sativus (cucumber). RNAcentral's name for it is "long non-coding RNA (CSAT_LNC000637)". The record is from RNAcentral. Lineage: Eukaryota; Viridiplantae; Streptophyta; Magnoliopsida; Cucurbitales; Cucurbitaceae.